AACUAUGGAGAGGAGGGGGAGGAGGGAGAAGGAUGCUGAGAGUAAGGGAGGAGAUGAAUCAGAAAAUUUAGAUUUUUUUUCUUUUUAUUUUUCUAUAUUUUCUUUUAACCGUAUUUGUAGGUAACUUGCACCAAAACAGCCUUAUUCUCUUAGUACUUUUUUGCCUUUUUAUAUAACACAGGUGCAUUAACGCACAACAGAAGCACCCUAUCAGUCUAAGAUCCCAGCCUGCUUGUAGCUUUCGACAGAGUCAACAAGAGUUUCUUCCACUGGCCUAUAUCUCCAGCCCAGCCUCUCCAAUUUUUCUGAGCUAAUAUUCCUUCGGCUUUGAUCCUUCACCUCUAUGAGUCUGCGAAGAAAUGAGUUAUAUCAAGAAAAUAUGCAGACAACAUAAAUGGUUCUUGUAGAGACUCGUAGAUGCCACACUUUUGGAAAUGGAAAUCAUGACGGACAUGAACAAACAAGAAAAUCAGGACAAACGGGGUGUCUGAAAAACGAGACAAUUAAUUUCAAAGAUGGUAAUCCACCUCUUAGGGUACUUGUAGUUGGCAUAGUUUUUCCUCAGAGUUUCCACCAUAUCUUUUGUCGUGGUGACGUGAGGUGAACAUAUGUACCGGCCUUCAGCUUCAGGUCUCCCGUAAACCAAAAGCAGUGCCUCGGCCACAUCACGCACAUCUACUGUGUUGUAGAAUUUGUUUUCUGUUUCUUCACAUCCUUCUGUGCAGCCAAGGAGUAAAAAGAAGAGCAGUUUAAUAUCAAAAAAUGAUGUUAUCUAAGCUAAUCUCUGAGUUCUUUACUGCAUAUAUGAAACAUACAAUCCCUUUGACAAAUCGUACCGCAAUAAAUUCAUGCGACUUUUGAACUGCAAAGGACCUACAGGUCGCAAUGUUAACCUUUUAUAUCUUCAACUACGUCCCAAAGCAAUCAAGCAAACAGUUGAAAGAUGCAACCUCUUCAGAUGUUAUGCCUAUUGUCUUUCUCACCUUCCAUUAGGUUCUUAAGUUUUUUUUUUAGAUCACUUUGCAAGUUUUCAGAUCAUUGCCAAAGUCAUAAAACUAUUAGAAUGGCAGAUAGCUUACAGGUUUAGAAUCUGAAAACCUUUCAGCUGGCUUGAAGAUUAAAAAAAAUGCCAAAAGGACGGCAACGCAGUUAUCUCAAUGAAUAUAAUUUCAUUCCUAGAAGUUCAACCGCAACCAUGUUGACGAAUUUUGUGAAAUUUUAUUGACAUCAAUUCAUUUUGUAUCAUGAAAAUAACACUGGAAGCCAGAAGCAUAAAAAUGAUGGGUUACUUGGAAAAUUAGUUGAUCAACCGCAUGAAGAAAUUCAAUUGCUUGACCUUUGACGGACCAAAAGAAAAAAUGCUAAGCUUUAGAGUUCAUCAGAGUUCUACAGUGACUCCAUGCUCACUUAGGCACAAACCAAUAUCAAGGAAAAAACUGUAUCACUUACGACCACUUCCAUGCAGAAGGUGAAAGAAAGAAAGAAAAUAUAUAACAUAACAGAAUAGUUCUCUAAUUGAUUUGAUUACGGGCAUUAGUAAAUCACCUUUCAAUAGCUUUAUGAGAAUUAGGCUGCUAGCAUUUGCGUCAUGCUGAAGCAUGGGGCCAAAAACAUAGGAUGGGCAUACAGUUAAAACAUCAAGGCCAGUUUCUUUUGCAUAUUGUAAAGCCUCUCUUUCAGCAACCGUCUUGGAGUAACAAUACCAGAUCUGGAGCAAUAUUAGUACAGGAUGGUCAACCAAAAACAGAUAGUAAUUGCUAAAAUCUGAUUUCUCAGCAAUCUUAGAAGCAGUAUGAAUAAGACAGUGAAUUUUCUGCACAAUUACAAAACCAAGGUGCAACUGUAAAAAGUGUAAUUAUGUUGAUGCAUACAUUUGUUGCCUUGCAGUAUUCUCCGUCUGACCAACACUUCUCAUCUAUAAUUUCACCUUCAGGCAGAUUAGGACUCAUUACAACAGCAGCAAGAGAGGAAACCGCUACAACGCGCUUGACAUUUGCUUCAGAACAAGCCUUCAGUACAUUAAGGGUACCCUUUACAGCUGGCUCAACAAGUUCAACCUGCAAGAAAUCAUCAUGUUGGCAGAGGAACUAGCACUCAACUCUUCAUGCUGAACUGCUUGUUUUUGCGUAAAAUAUAUCCAGAUAGACGACUAAGUAGUGUCGGUUAACCUGACAUCUUUAGAGUGAAUGAGUACAUAGUUAAGAACUCAUGACUGCUUAUGCCAGCGAUGAACUUGGUUACCAGCUUAGGUUAUUAUUAUAUGCAUUUAUUCACUCAUUUCAACAUUUGAAAAAUCCUUCCACAAAUAGAUAGAAAGGCAAAGAGCCCCAGUGACUACAUAAGUUCGUACAAAAGCUUUAACAAGAUCCUAUUUUAAACGAUACCCAACUUUAGCUCAUGUUUGGCAAAACGCAAUAAAAUAUCAUCUGUUAUGACAAAAGCUGUCUCUCAUAAACAAAAGAUAUGUUAAAGAUGUUAUUCUGGGGGAACCAAAAGGAUAAAAUAUCAUAGCAAUUGAAACGAUUGAAAAUGGUCUUGCCUCAGGAUUGGGAACAGAGCCUGAAGGAACAGGACUAGCUACAUGAAAUACGCCAUCACAACCCCUGAUGGCUGCAGAAAUGGAGUUGUAAUCCAGCAAAUCAGCCUUAAAGAGUUUCAAAUUCUCAGCUGCUUUGUCAAGUUUCUUCAGAUGAACAUAUUUCUCAUCGUCUACAAAACAUACACAGCAGUGCCCACAUCAUCAAGUAACGAAGCACACAAUUCACAGCAGGUGCUUUUAUAUAUUUCUUCAAUUAAACAUAUUUCUCACCCUUCACAAAACAUUUACAGCAAUUCCCACUACAUCAGAUAGGAAACAGCCAAUUGACAGCAGGUAAAAAAUCAAUUGUUGUAUUAAAGGGAAUGAAACAAAUUAUACAAGACCCAAAACCCCAAAAAAAAAAGAGCAGUAAAUCAGGAAGGAAGGGGUAUGAGGAUGAAAUACGUACCGGGGUUUCUGAGGGUGGCAUGAACAGUAUAGUGGCGGGAAAGGAGUAGCUUGACUAACCAGGAUGCCAGGUAUCCCCCUGCUCCUGUAACACACACUGUCCUGUCCUUCUCAGCCUCCCACGCUGCCAUGUCUGAUUGCUUACUAGUAGCAGUAGUGGGAUUAGUAUUUUAGCACCAAAUUCACUAUAGACUGAUCAAGAAGGUGGGUGAAGUUCUAUUCUUUUCUUUUGGUGAAUAUUAAUUCUUUUUUGGUUGGACAAGGCAGAGAUUUCGUCGAUCCUUAAGGAGAGGGCGAUUGGAGGAGGAAGAGGAGGAGGAGGAGGAGGAGGAUGUGGUGGAAUUUUGAAUGGAUAAGUCCUGUAUGUAGGAGCUAGCUGAUUCCAGCAGUCUCUGUCAAUACUAGCAGUGAUCAGCAGCUAGCAGGCUUGGGGGCUCGUAUAUAGCAGCAGACCAAAGGUGCUGUUGCGAUUUGCAUGGCUCAUAGAUGACGUAGGGUUCAUGGUUUCAGUGGGGUGUGGGGUGGGGGGGGGGGAAACGGUAAUAAUGGUAAAUGUAUGUCAAAUGAAAUUUGAGUGUAUUAUUGAGAGAUUUCUAGCAAUCUGUUAAUAAAAUUUAUUUUUAUCAAAAAAAGGAGUAAAAGAGCAUAAUAUUAUUAAGUUAUAAUAAAAUUUGAUGCAUAUAUCAAUAAAAGUAGAUAUUCUGUGCAUUUGAAUACAACAGUAUACUAUGAUUGUACCAUUGUCAGAUGUUUAACAAAUUUAUUAAUGGAUAUUAAAGUGUUAGAUUUUAUCUCAUAUUUUCCCAAUUUAUGACUCAGAUUUUAAAUUGAUUAACUCAUUAGAGAAUAAAAAACUCAUCCCGUUGCUAAACUGGACAAGUAACAAAUACUCAUGUCCAUAAUGGGGCUUUGCUUCUUAUUGAAAUUCUAUAAUGUGAACCAAACCCUAAAUCCCUCCAUCCUGAAAUAUAAACUAAACUACUCAAUAUUCAAAGCAAAUUCCGGUCAGUAAAAGUUUGUUCGAAUUUGAUUUGCAAACUAACUUAAUCAAGUUACAAUAAAAUUUUAUGUUUAAAAAAAUUUUAACUGCAGCUCGAGCAUAGCUCGAUAAUCAUAAAAUUGGAUUUUAUAGAUAAAAAUUACUCGAAUUGGACUCAAUAAAAAUUCUUUUGAACUUGCCUCAGUAAAUAAACGAGUCAAUCCUAAAUACUAUCUCAAAAUUCUUUAAAAUAAAUAAACAAGAUACUUGGUUUGAUUAGACACAUUCACAGCCCUAUUUUUCAUAUGCUCGAUAAUAACAUAUUUCUGCACUGGACCAGAUCAGGAAUAGGUAUCUAACUCGUUGAGUUUUGGGACAUGUUUAUCAUUUUUUAAAAUCUUUUUUUUAUUUCUUGUUUUUGUAGGAAAAAACUAAAGGAUGUGUUUGGAUUAGAGACCAAUGAACUUUUUUCCCCCUCGUGCCUAAUUGCAGAUUAAAAGGAAGAACUAGUUCUUAGAUAACGUUUCUAAGUACAACUCUAUUACUCAGAAAACUGGUCUACCUGACUGUGGGUUUUCCUUUAGUCAGGCCAUUUUGUCAUUAGUGAUGAUUGCUUCUUCUAAACCUUAGCUCACUGCACACGCCAAGCGUAUGAAAGCCAAACUUAAAUUGAACUCGUCAAGUUGCAAAAUAAGAAAAUUUGGGUUACGUUUGGUAUGAGUAGUAAGGGAAAAUUUAAUUCCUAUAUUUAUGAUUCUUGACUAAUGUGAUUGCUCAUCUAUGACCACGUAUCAGUUUUAUACCUUAUCUUCAUUUAAAUGUGACGAUUGUAGAAUUGAUGGCUGAAACUGAAAGGAAACUGAAAAAGAAAUGUCAUGUGAGUGCAUACGCAUGUUAAAACAAUACAAAUUAUAACCAAUUUGAUCCCUUGUUUUUAAGGUUUUGAUCGUUUUGGUUCCUUAGUAUCAUGACAAGCCAAUUUUGCCUCUUAAAUUUAAAAAUAUGGUUAGGGAGGUCCUUUUGAUAGAAAUUUGAGUCGCUAAUGAAGUGAAGAGACCCUUUAAUGCCUUUCGUGUCACAUCCGUCUCAACAGUAUAUUAAAGUUUCAAAAAAUCUCAAAUAAGUCAUAAAACUCAUAAAACUAAACCCAAAACUCUUUAUCGUGAAGAAAAUAAAUUUUUGUAACUUUAAAAUAAAUCAAACACAAAACUUUAAACAUAAUUAUGGAAUUUGUGCCAUUUCCGAGUUGAAAUAUCAUGAAAAAGAGUACCUAAAGGUGAAAGAAAAAAUGCAUAAAUUUAUGUUUGACAUAGUAUAAAAAACUUUUAUUUCAUUAUAUUGAAGGAGUUUAUAGUUUUAGGCUUUUGUUUGAAUGCUUGGUGUUUUCUGCAAGAUGGUACGAAGUACGCUCUAAGGUCUCUUAACUCCGUUAACAACUCUAAAUUAGCCUUGGCCAAAUUCUUAAAAUUUAAGAAAAAUUGGUUCGCCAUAAUACAAAGGGACUAUUUUGUUAAUACAUUGGAGAUAAGAACCCAGAUUAAUUAAUUUUUAUUCUUUGCCUAAUUCAAGUGAUUUCUCCGUUAGCUUCCCACAAUUUUGCUGCAUUAGUCUCUUUGAUGGAGAUAGAGCACUAAAUUUGUUGAUAUGACAGACCAUAUUGGCUGAGACUUCAAAGAUAGAUGACCAAAGCAACAACAUUUCCUAAGUAGUUCAUGAAUCAAUUUCAUUGUAUAGUUAGAUAUGAUAGAGAAGAUGUAUCUUUUUUAAAAAUGAAAGGAAAUAAUAUUAAGUUAUAGAUGAUUUCUUGAAUAAAAGGGCAAUAAUAUUAUUGUACUCACUUUUUUAUUAUUUUUAACUUAGAAUAGUUUUCAUGAGGGGUAAAAUAUACAUAUUUAAUGUUAAUGGGAGCAAAGUGUGAUUAUCCACUAAGUUUAGGGGACGCAAAGUGUUAUUAACCCUUUUUAUAACUCACAAUUGUAUUCGAACUUAACUUACGCUGUAACCGUUAGGAUUUUCUAAUAUUCAUUCGACAACUCAGUAACCAUCCUAUUGUAUAAUAACUAUGCUACACCUCAUCAAAGCCUGAUAAGAUGAAGAAAAUUUCUUUUCUGGCAUCUUAAUGCCUUAUAUCCAGUAUUGAGGGAAAAAAAUUAGUCGCAUUACAGUCUGAGAAUUUGAAUCCAGCAAUUUCAUGGUCUGAUGUAGUCACCCAAGUAGGUUCUCCUUAAAACAGGGUCUUGAGGCAAAAUACACAUCAAAUAGGUCAUCUGUCGAUCUUUGAUUAUGUCUACACGUUCAAAAGAUAGGCUUAAUCAUAUUAGUGGAAAUAACUCAUAGUUCAUCAUAUAUUAAUUUGCUAUUCAAUUUAGUUUGAAUACAUGAUCAAUGUUAUCGUAUGCCAAAAAAGAUUGAGGAUACUUUUGACCUAGUUCUUUGCACUAACUUGAAAUCUACCAAUUGUUCUUUCUUUGAUGCACUUGCAAAAUCUCCUGCAAAAGUAAAAUAACUCGGUGAAUUUUGGCUAACUGAGAGGCCCUAUCUUCUUUUUACUUCUUUAGCACAAGCGAAGAAUGAAUUUGUGCAUAAUAACCGUGUGAUUCUAAUGAGAUAUGAUUUUUUUGGUUUUGCAUGCUGGUUAAACAAUUGUUCAAGCUCUUAUCUCGGUUUUUGAUACUUCACCGGUAUGUGGAUGUUGCUGCUAAAGUAAUUUACAUUUGUCAUUAGACGAAUUUUCUAUUUUAUGACUGGCAAGUGAUUUGGUAUCUUAGCAGUUCAUCGAUUUUGGUGCUUUGUUUACAAUUUAAUUGGCUUCAAUGGUCCAUACAUAUAGGAACUUGGAAUUUACCCUUUUAUUUCCUUUUGCAUGAGCAAAGAUUAGUAAUUUUUAAUCAUAAUUUUCGAUUCCUCUAUUCUGGCCAUAGUGAAGAAUCUACCUUUUUGUACUUGUGUAUAUGCACACCAAACAUCAUUGGGCUGUCUACUUUUGACAUUAUUCUUGAAUUACUCAGUUUAGAAUGUGUAUUAGCUGCUGGAAGCAAAUGCAUCAUCGUUGGCAAUUACUAAACAGAAAAUAUGCAUGCCAUUACUAUUUUCACUGAAAUUAGCACCUAACUUAUAGUGAUCUAAUUAAAGGUUAACCACAUUGGUUUUGACUAGAACUAAGAGAUCACUAGCCCUCUUAUUUUUGGAUUUGCAUUAAUCCAGUAUCAUCAAACUUCUUCAAAUGGGCUCUUUAGCUACUAACCCCUUCAAAAAUAAUUUAGGCUUACGGUUCUGUUGAUGUCGCAAUUGCAGGAGGUUCAGAAGAUAACGAAAGGCUCAUCUAAGAUUUCUUAAGGUGUUUGGCGUAUAUUGCUAGAUUUACUUAGGGUCUGUUUGGAUUGUAAGUUAUUUGGGAUUAUUUGGAAUAUUUUUACUGUAGCACUUUUUGUGAUGUGAUGUAUGUGAGAUAAAAAGAUAUUGGAAAGAUAAAAAGGUGUAUUGGAAAUUGUAAAGAUGAUGUAAGCAAAUAAAAUUGGGGAAAUAUGAAGCAAUCCAAACAAACUUAAUCUAUUUUCAUUCUUCUCCGAUGUCAUUAUUGUUAAAGUUCAAUUCAUAAGUUCGUUGUGUUAGAAAAUUGGCUUAAUUUCUUUUUAGAUAGGUUUUUGUUUUGUGUAAAAGUAACUAGUUUCCUAAUUGAUUUUAGUUACUCGAAAUAGUAGCCAAGAAAUUUCUUAUUUUGUUUAGAAUUAGAAGUUAUUUCUUAUUUUCUACAAGUCUAGGAAUUAGAAUUAAUUUUCUGUUGUUAUUUGGAUUUUUUGACCAAAUAAUGUUUUUAUAAAUAGGUGGGUUGGCAUACUAUAAAAGAGACACAUAAAGGCACACAAGGACGACAUGUAACCUUAUACAUGGGUGGUGAGAGAGAGUUCUUAGGAGAUGAGAAAUGGUAUCAAAGGUUGUACUUGAAUUCGAGUUAUAUUCUUGUAUAAGGUUUUUCUUUCAUAAUAAAGAACAAGUUUCUCUCCGUGGACGUAGGUUCAAUGGAGUCAAACUACGUUAAAUAUUGUGUGUUGUUUAUCUUUCAUACUUGUGGCUUGUUUCUCAUUAAAUUAUUGUGUACUUGAUAUCUUAAUAGUUAUUUAUUUUGCAUUUAGUUCCUAACAAAUGGUAUCAGAACUUGGUUGCAAGAUUGGGCUGCUCACAAGCACUUGGAUCCCAACAAACUGAAUAGUUGGAUCAAGAGUUUGGUUGUUCAAGGUUGGAUCCUAAUUAACUAUUGAGAUCAAGUAGGUUGGUGACUGUUACCAAUUGAACAAUUUAAUGGGCGGUAUCCUUAUUUCAAGAGUUUGGCAAAAAUCAUUGACGGUGAAUGAUGAAAAGUCGAAAAGCAUGGAGAUACUUGACGAUGAAUCUAAGCAGGUGAUUCAAGAGUCAAGGAAAAGGUGGAAUCCAAUGUCGAUUUUGGACGUGAAUCGGUGGAGACUUUCUCACAAUUUCAACGGUUGAUACUUCAUCCCGGUGGUUUUUAGAUUUCGCUUAUGUUUUUUGAGUGGUACGGCACGUGUUCAAAGAUGGAGAUUUGUUAGGAAAUUGACUUAAUUUCUUUUCAGACAUGUUUUUGUUUUGUGUGGAAGUAACUAGUUUACUAAUUGGUAUUAGUUACAUGAAAUAGUAGCCAAGGAAUUUCUUAUUUUAUUUAGGAUUAGAAAUUAUUUCCUAUUCUGUACAAGUCUAGAAAUUAGAAUUGGUUGUCUAUUAUUAUUUAAUUUUUUGGCCAAAUAAUAUUCUCUAUAAAUAGGUGGAUUGGCAUACUACAAAGAGACACACAAAAGCACACAAGAGACGACAUGUAGCCUUAUACAUGGGUGGUGAGAGAGGAUUUUUAGGAGAUGAGAGAUGGUAUACAAAGGUUGAAUUGGGGUUCAAGUUGUGUUCUUGUAUAGAAUUUUUCUCUUAUAAUAAAGAAUGAGUUUUUCUCUGUGGAUAUAUGUUCAAUGGUGGAGUCGAACCACAUUAAAAAAUAGUGUGUCAUUUAUCUUUCAUGCUUGUGGCUUGUUUCUCAUUAAAUUGUAGUGUACUUGAUAUCUCAAUAGUUGUUUAUUCCACGCUUGGAUCCUAACAGACUGCUAAACCAAGAUUGAUGUAAUUGCAUCCUAUACUUGAGAUAAUAGAAAUAAUAAAAACAAGAGAGUUUGCAAUUCAAUUGAUUAAGGGAAGAACAGAGAAAAUCCCUGAAAAUAGGAAUUAAAGGAAACAAAGGAAACCCUAAAACUAGUUUCCAAGAACAAUUCUGUCGAAGACAGAAAACAAAGAAAAUAGUUUCAAAGGCUAUAUCGUUAUUUAGAAAACAAGAAGCACUUGAAGGUGAAUGUUGCAGAAAGUAGAAGAUCCCACUACAAUUUACUAAUUCAAGGAGCUGUAAUUAAGAAAGAAAGAAGACAACUCAGAGAAUUAGGGAUUGUUAUUGAUUGAUGAAUGAGUAGGAAGAAUGUAGAUGAAGAUGAUAAUCAAUUACAAGUAAUGGAAAUCGGAAAUCCAAGAACUGCCUUCAACUUACCACCCUCCUCUCUUUUAUUCAGCUACUACACUUGUCCAAGUCAGCUAAUUCAUUACAACCAACCGACAUACAAGAAUUAUAAGGAUUUAUUCAUUAAGUCCCUAUCAUACUUGCUUUAUUACAAAAAAAAAAAAAAAAACCCUAUCAAUAAAACUAAGGUAACAAAUACUUCCCCCUCAGAGAAUCCUUGUCCUCAAGGAUUAAAUUCAGGAAAUUGUUGUUUAAGGUCAAACCAGAAUUCCCAGAUAGCAUCUUCAAGAAAAGAAUUGCUUCACUAUGCCAAAACUUUUGUAGCAAGAGAGUUACCACAUUUCACCAAUUUCUGAUCAAGUAUGGCUAUAGGCUCCAUUAAUAAUUAUCCCUGUGUAUUGAUUGCAAAAGGAAUGUGUGAGGUAACUAGUGAGUGCCCACUUUCUUCUUUAGAAGAGAUACAUAAAAAAUAGAGUGUAUUUUUGCCAUAUUAGGCAGCUAAAGCUGAUAUGCAACAGGGUGUACUCUUUUGAUCACUUGGAAAGGUCCAAAAAACUUAGAAGCUAACUUCUGACAAGAGUGUACCUUCAAAGAGUGUUGCCUCUACAGUUGUAGUUUCACAUAUACCCAAUCUCUUGCUGAGUACUGUCUAUCAGACCUGUGUUGGUCAGCUUGUUGCUCCAUCCUAUUUUGUGCCUUAUGAAGGUUGUACUUUAAGUGAUGCAAAACUAUCUCCCUUGCUGCCAAGAUUCUAUCCACCACUUCCACUACUGAAUUCCCAAGUAGACAAGGCAUAUGCAGAGAUGGUGCAUGACCAUACACCACCUCAAAUUGGAUAACCUUAGUGGCAGCAUGAAAUUUGGUAUUGUACCAAUAUUCAGCCAAGGGUAACUAGAUAGACCACUGCUUUGGAAAAUCUCCACACAUGCACCUCAAAUAUUACUCCAAACACCUGUUUACCACCUCAGUUUGACCCUCUGACUGAGGGUGGUAGGUAGAAGAGGUAUUAAUCUGCACUUUUAGUAACUUAAAAAGUUCUUGCCAAAAAGUGCUAAUGAAGACCACAUCCUUGUCACUAACAAUGCUCUGAGACAGUCUAUAGAUCUGAUCCAGGAAUAUGUGCAAAUAUAAAUGCUGAAUAAGCAUGUGACAAUGCCAAGAAGUGUGCAUACUUACCUAACUUGUCAACCACCACCAAGAUGGCUUGUUUACCAUGUGCAUUAGGUAAACCUUCCAUAAAGUCCAUGGAAAUUCACUCCAAACCUUUUGAGGCACACGUAAAAGUCAUAAUAAACCGAAAUAAGCAGUAUUGUCAUAUUUGUUGCACUGACAGACAUCACAUGCAGCCACAUAGUUGACUAUGUCUUGAUACAUUCUUCUCUAAUAAACCACCGACUUCAACUUCUUUUAGGUAGCAUAAACUCCUGAAUGCCUCCAACAGCACUAAAAUGCCACAAGUGAAUUAUAUUAUUCUUGAAUUGGCCGUCAUUUUCUACCACUAGUCUCCCCAUCCUCCUUAACUGCUAGUUGCUCCAUGUGUAAUAAGGUGAGACCUUAGAAAGAUCAAAUUGUAAUUGAGUGAUGAAGGUCUAUAGCCUUAUAUCUAUUUGCCAUCCCUUUUUAAUCACUAUCAAAGAUCACUAUUAACAAUGAUGAUGGCAAGAGCUUCUCUUGGUUCUGCUAGUUUUCUAAAGAGAGUAUCUCUCACCAUAUUAUAUGCUUCUUUCCUGUAUUGAAGCUCAUAAUCAAAUCUUACUAGCUUAGCCAUCCAUUUCUGCUGCACAAGAGUGUUCAAUCUUUGUUCCAUCAUAUAUUCAAUGCUCUAAUGGUCAUUUUUAAUGAUAACGUACCUUCCAAGUAGAUAAUGUCUCCACGUCUAUACAGCAGCAACUAUGGCUAAUAUUUGCACUUUUCCAAUAUACUAUCAUAUGCUAUUUCCCCAUACACCUAAAUUUUACAUUAUCCCCAAAGUAAAAUAAAGAAUAAAAAAAAAGUAAUGGGGAUAACGAAACUUCCUGAUAACUGAGGGGGCCAUGGACAGCUACAGGUGAGGGGCGAAUGAUUGUAGAGCUCGACGUGUGUUGAUGGUUGGCGGCGGUGGAGUUCGGAUGGAGAAGGAUGGAAGAAAGAAAGAAAGAAGAAAGAAAAAGAAGAGAGAAAGAAAGAAAGAAAAAGAAAAGGAAAAAGAAAGGAAAAGGAAGAGAAAAGAAAAGGAAAAUGCGAAUGGGAAUUGCUCUAAUCCCAGCUGGUUUUAUGUACUACUACUUUGCUUCUUGUACGAAGCUUGAAAUGCAGCAAGCGCGGAAAAUUUUUUUUUUUUUACAUCUGGUUUUGAUUUUUUUUUCCUUUUCUGUAUUUCCUUUUCUUUUCUUUCUAUUUUUUCUGCAAAAACAAUCAAAUAAAAAUCAAAUGAGAUGGAGUGAUUUUUUUAAAAAGGUAAAAAUAUAAAUAGAGAUAAAUAAAUAUAAAUAAAUAAUAAUAGAUAUUAACAAAUCAUAAAAUGAUUUAUGAAAUUUUUUUGGUGUCUACAUAUAUACACAUACUAAUAAUUUUUAUAUUUAUAUAUUUUUUCUAUUUAAUCUUACCUAUAAUUCUUCCUUAUUUUAUUUACUUUCUUUAAUUAAUUUUAUAUUUUUAAAAAUAUAACAUCUAAAAAUAUAUAUUAACAAAGAGGGCAUUCGUUAGACAGGCCCUAUUUUAUGUAGCAUAUAUGUCACUACAUGGAAAAAACUUUUUUAAUAGGUAUCCCGUUUUUUGACAUGAAAAAUACCUUUUGACUACAUUCUGACUAGCGCCAAAAGCUAUCCACUUUUGACAUGUUGCCCAUGUGGGUCCUUGAUGAUUGGUGUCACAAUUUUAACACAUGGUCGUACUAGGUACAAUGUGGUCAAUAUUGGAUUAGGAGCACUAAUUCAAAAAAGUUGGUGUAAUUGUACGGUUGUUAUUUUUAUAUAAAAUUUGGCACAUAUUUGUAUAAAUGUUUAUAUAUUUUUAUACAUUUUCAAAAAAUAUUUUAUAUAUAUUUUUAAAAAUAUAUAAAUUUUUGUAUAUAUAUUUUAAAAAUUUUGGCAUUUAUAAGCAAAAUUCUUACAUACAAUAAAAUAAUAGCAUGAUAUGAGAUGAAUAAUAAUUGAAUAGUACUGCUGUUGCCCCAUUUACCGGUGAUGCUACUUGUAACUUGAUGUUCAAAAAGCACCACCAUAACUUUUGCUGAACUAAAUUUGAAAAAGCAUUUCAUCGAAUUUGAAUGGCAUCGAAUAUAAAAUAAUGUUCAAAGUUGAUUUGACAAGUUGGUGAACCAAAUCGAACGAGCUUUUACCGGAUUGAACUUAAUUCGAAUAUUAGUAAUUUGAUUCAUCUUUCGACCUUAAUACCGGCCAAAAAAAAAAAAUAAUCAAUUACCAAUCAAGUAUAAUGUCUUAUUUUUUUACCAAGUUUUUAAGGGUGUGCACACCAUUGUUCUCCCUUUUCCUUUGACAUGUAAGGCCACUUUUCCUGCUUCAUGUGUUGCCUAAUUUAAGUUUCGUUUUAUGUUGACUCCUAAUUUAGCGUCUUCUUGAAAGCUCCGACUAUUGCUCGGAAAAAAUAUAUUGCUGUUGAAAACAUCAUCACAUAUUUGGAAAGAUUUACUUGUUGCUUGGGAUUUUAGGUUUGAUCUUUUAUUUCAUAAAGCAUUUUGUUAGAUUUCAAUGGCUUAAAAAAAUGAUGACUUUUGUAAGAAUAUUGAGCUCUCAGACAUUCAGUGCAGGCCUAAUUUUUUUUAGUACUGAAUUUGUUUUGGAUACGUUAGUAUUUCUUGAAUUUUAGAAAAUGCUUCUCUUUAAUAAAUGUAAGUUCAUUUUAAUCUUGAUUCGCAAGCUUUUUCUUGAAAAUGGUUUGCCAUUUCUUAUUAGUUGUUACAGUAAAUUUAGCAUGCAUAUAUGUUUUUUGUCAAAAUUCAAUCAUUUCAAAAUCUAGAAGGGAACUUCUAAAAUACCUGCAUCCUCCUUUUUCUUUUUUAUUUUUCCCCCUCUUGGCUUUGUAUUCAGAAUCAGAUUGUGUUCAAUUAGUUGGAAUUUGGCUUUGGAGUUAAAAGGGAUUUCCAUUUUUUCCUAGGUAUUCCACAGCUUGCAUACCAAAAGCACAGAGGCGGAAGAAAACCUAUGAUUAAAUCAUCCAACAGGCUUGUAAGAAAAUGCCCACUUUGAAAAAAUGAAAAGUUGAAUUUCCUAUUUUCAAAUUUACAUGCAAAAAAUCAAAAAUGGCAUGCAAGAAAUAGUCUACUAUUUCGCCAUGUUUCAUAGUUUAUGAGAAAUAUAUUACAAAUAAAUCCACAUAAAUGGUGGGAAUAAUAACUCAAAUAUGGUGGGACAAAAAAACAUAUAGGGUGACCCCUGCCAGCUGAGAUAACUAGCUGGUUUAUUUAAUUUAAUACUUUGAAUACAAUAGUAAAUCAAUGCCGCCAUAGCUCAGAUACUGACUAAAUUUUUCUCCCUGAAGAAUUCAACAGCAUCUUUUAGGCUGACCUCCAAAGGAGUGAAUUGAACUCCCAGCCUUUUUGCCUUCUCAUUGGAGGCUCUGUAGUUUGGGCUGAUAAGGUUGGUAUUGUUUGACAUUCUGCUGUAUGCGGGACAAUACACAAUUAUGGCAAACAUAAAUAAAGCUUAGGUAAUGAAAAUGCAAAUGUAAAUUCAAAUGCUUGAAAAUCUACUGGACAAUUGCCUCAUAUCUACUGUAAAUUGUGCCUUUUUUACGAAGUUUCAAAAGACCUUUUAAAAGAUAACUUUAGUUGUGAUAUGAAUGAAAUUUAUUUUUUUCUAAAAAAAAGCCUAAAACGGAAUUUCUAUUUUGGAGACAAAGCCAAUUUGGUGAUAUAUCCUAGUCCAAAGAAGACCAUCUUCUAGAAAUCAACCUGAGAAAGAGCUCAUUUUUUAUGGAACAUGAGACCAAAAGAAAAAAAAAAAGAAGGCAGAAAAUUUAGGAUUUAGUGUCCUUUAAAAGAGAGUAUAAAAAUAUGUGAUACAUUUUGGACGUAUACAAGGCCAUCAGCAAAAGCCUGUAAAGACCUAAACAAGGAAAACAAGACUUACUUAUCAGGAAAUUGGUGAGUUGGGUAAUGCUCAUGCAAAAUCUUGAUGAUCUGAGAGGCAUUUGCACAUCUUUCAACCAGACAAUAUCUUCCACUUGCAGAAGGGGUUUCAAGGGCAAGAACAUGUGCAUAGGCAACAUCUCUAACAUCAACCCAGCUACAUGUUGCCUUAGGAAAUGGUUCAACCCCUGCAUUUGGCACCUAAGAUCUUUAAACACAUUUUUUUGCAGGCUCUUCAGCAAACAUAAGUGAAACUGUGCAUACAAUUAAAUACAAUUGGUUUGUUUGGAUCAGCAUGAUUUCAGAUAAAAUAAUUUGCUUCACAAAUUCCAAUCACCUUUUUAUCUUCCCAAUCACCUUUUUAUCUCACAUACAGCACAUCACAAAAAGUGUUACAGUAAUUAUCUCAAAUAAAUCAUCCAAAUAAACUUCUAUCCAAACAAACUCAAUGUUGUUUGCCAUGAAAAGAGUCAAAUUUAGAGGCCAUGGCCUGCCUUCCAGAAGAAAUGUGUGGUAUGUACUACUUUGUUCUGUUUUAGUAUCAGCAAAGCCACAGAGGGGAGGGAGAUGUGAGGAAUGAACUAGUUGAGACAAUUCAGAUAAUUGGUGAAUAAUAAGAAAGAUUAAUCCCAACAAUCUACUAGUUAAUCUGUCCCUGGAAUUUCACAGAUUUAGAGUUAGGUUUCUCUUUCAAAGGAUAGUUUAUUUAUUUUCUUCCAAAAAGGAUCAAUUACUAGACAAAAGAAUAAACUACAGGCAUGAUAAUACUAGUUGUCUCGUACUUAAGAGUUAAAUGGUGAGAGUUGAAGAAACUUGUCCCUUCACUCUCAUCCAGAUAGAAAAACAGAAUUUAUUCCUGUUGUUUUGUUCUAGAGAGUGAAAUAGUAAUCAAUUCCUGAAAUUUGUUUCUUGCCAUUGUUGUACAAAGUGGCUAUUUGGGUCGAAGGAGUCCUUGCGAAUUGAAAGAAUAAUAAACAUGCUUUAGCAAGUCUGUACAACAUAAACAGUGACUACUCCUAACAAAUUUUUCCUCACAAUUACCACCCAAAAAUUUCUUUUCCUUCCUGUUAAUCACAUAGAACCUCAAUGUUGUUGAAAGGAAGAUGCACACAACGUGAAUUUCAGAUGAAAGAUUGUACUGCAAACCUUUAAAACAUCAUAAGCUGGUCAGAGUUUAUAGCUUGAUAUAUCAGUUCACAUUCUGACCUAUGUCUGUCAAUCAUGUGAUUAGCCAGCAGUGCCUUGAAAUGUUAUUAGUCAUAAGUUUUUUGUUCUACUGUAACAAAGAAAGUUGUGGUGCAUAAUAAAGCUAUAAGUAACAUAGAUGGAAGAGUCAGUUAGACAAUGAUUACUAAGGUGAUUCAAUAAAUUUUGAAACAAACCCUUUAAUAGGUUGAGGAACAAAACAGCGCUCGAAUUAACAGAUGGCUGCAAGAGAGGACCAAUGACCAAUCCUGGAUGAAUUGUAAUCACGUCAAUGCCAUGCUCCUUUGCAAAUUUCCAUGCAGCAUUCUCGGCCAUGGUUUUUGAAAGUUCAUACCAAGACUAUCAACACCGAAAAAUCAGUAAAUGUUGGUAAGAUGGUAGCAGAAAGUAAUUAGAUUUGUAAACUUUAAGAAGUAACAUUAUAAAUUUCUACAAAUUUGACAAAACCAGCAACUUACAUCAGUUGAAACUAUUAUUGCUGUAGCUACAAAGCACAGAGUGAAAGUAUCCACAUUUCCCAGGACAAGCAAUGCUAUAAGUGAAUAAGUAGAUUUCUCAAGGAUCCUAGGAAUGGUGUAAACUUUCUAUAUUCAAGGAAUGAUGCAAAGCACCAGUGUCGACAUAUCCUGAUCAUCUGAUCUCUUAAUCCACAAGUUAACAGCAAAACUACAAGGGACCUUGACACUUUAACACAUAUAGCCAUAUUCAUAAUAUUAUAGCAGAAGUUCCUUUCCAACCGACCGACCAAAUAUUGCUCAUCUAGGUGUGUAUUCUCAGACAAUAGUAUAGAAUUUGAUCAUGCAAGAGAUGCAUAAUUAAGUAGGAAAACUUUCAUAUUGCUCUUUCCCCGACUAUUCCACACUACAUUAUUAAUUUUUCAUUAAAGUUAAGUUGUUACUUAGAUAGAAGGAAAGAAAUGGACUGACCAUUCUGGUUACAAAAAUAUCCUUCUUUUUGCCUAUUAAAGUGCCACCAAGUCAUGAAGAUCCUAACUUAAUUAUCUCCACAGCUGGGCUAACUCCUCAUAUGUGUUCCAACAACAAGUUAAAACUAAAGAAUUCCAGCAUUCCAAAUUAGAUUUUACUGGAAGAAGACAGAUAAUAUAUGUACCUUUUGCUCCUCACAGUAUGAUGGAUCGGAAAACCAACUUUCAUCAACUACCACAUCCUCCUUUAAUUCUCUGUUUUUUGAAACUGCAACCAUAGAGGAUGUUAUAACUACUCUUUUGACAGAAGAAGAAUUUGCACAUGACCGCAGCACAUUCAGUGUUCCGCUUACUGCAGGUUCCAGUAGUUCUGCCUAUGAAAUCAAACCAAGUAAAAAAGGAAGUCAUUACCAGUCAUAGGUAAGACUAUGCUUUUAACCUGCAAAAAACUUAUCAUUCUGGUAUUAUGUUUGAGAAUUUCACCACAAAUGCUGUAAACCUACAGCUUUAGUUACUUAGCUAAAGGAUACAUAUUGUUGUCUUAUCUCCUCUUGCUGCUAAAAUAAGUUCUCAGGUCCUUUAUUGUUGUUUUUUCCCAAAUUUUUUCAGCUUUCACUGGGUGACAGGAACUUAAGACCAAUAGAGGAACAACUGAAAUAAGUCUCAGAUGUGGUCACCAAUUAAACCGUUUGCUACCAAAUAUCAACCGAUGAAAUUCUGUUCUGGCUUGAACAGGACAGACAGAAAAUAUAAAAGGUGUAGCUCCCAUGAAUCCUGCCAACAGAUUUUAGCGUGAACACAUAAUGCAUGUUGCAAUUUCUUUUAGUGUCUGUGAGUCAACCUUGUUCAUUGAAAUGACUAAAAUCAAAGUUCUACAAAGUUACUUAAAAAAAAUCCAUAAACACAAUUUGAGAAACAGACAAGGAUAGGUGUACUGCAUAAAAUUUUAAGGCACAAUCAUUAAUAGAAGUUAAUCAACUUACAAAUGAAGAUACAUAUAAUUUGCAGAUGCUUGAACAUAUAUUGUAGUUUCUAUAAGCUUCUUAUUCAUUCUGGUAUGGGCACGCAAAAGCCAUUGGCUCUACACUGGCUGAAUAAUUAGUUGGUCAAAGCAGGGAUUCAUUUGCUCCAGGACAAGCUUAUAGCUUGCUCUAUAACCUUACCCUGACUGACUUACCCAGGAAAAUAGUUAGUCGGACCCAAUCUACUGCCCAAUUGUGGACCAUUUGCUAUGUUUAUGGCUCUUAAUGUUUUUAUUUCACAACAUUACACCCUUUGAAUUGUUUCGCUGAAGUACCAAUUUCCAGAUCAUUUCAUAGAAACAUCAUGUAUACUGAUUAAAAAGAGACUAAAGCACAUAACACACGACAGUCUUUUUGUGAAUGACCUGCAGGAACAGAUUAGUUUUGUAUGUACCAAAUGUAAAGAAAUAUUCUUCUGGUGUUUGACCUGAUUGCUACAUUAAUCUCCUCCCUUUGGUUAAUAAAAGAAAAAGUAGAGCCAUAGAAUUGGAAACAUUUGAUUCUAACUCUUUUUUAUUUUACAGCUGUAACAUUGUCAUAAAUCAUAUAUAGAGGAAGAGGAAUAGACUAUAACCCAAAAAAGCCAGUAAAAAUGCAACAGAGGAAGAUACUAAAAGAAGUCGCACAAUUAUAAAUCAGAAAGUAUGCUACGAUUUUCAAACUUCACUAGAUAAAUAGCAGAUUUUGUAGACAGUAGAGAAUUUCCAAUCUUGUAAAGCAAAUGUACCUCUGGAUUGCUAAAUGAAAGUUUGAUUGGAGAUGCAGUAUGGAAAACCCCUUCACAUCCCUCGACUAUUGCAUCAAACGAUCCCUCUUCCAGUAAGUUUGCCGAGUACAACUGAAGCCUUUCCUUAGCUCCAUCAAGUGAUGUCAAAUGUUGUGUCCUUUCCGGAUCAUCUGUGUCAUGAUUGCAUCAGUAGAAUGUUCAGAGGGACAAUUGUAUGCCAUCUACCACUAUUUUUAUAACAAACUCAGUCCUUCAGAAGAAGGAUAUAGAUUCGAUAGGCUAAAGAUUUUUUAGUAUAACUUGAUCGUUGUAUCUGGAGCAUGAAACAAUUAAGUUGGUCCACAUCAAAAAUAUAUAUAUUUUUUUGCAUGUGAUUUUCUUUUGAGCAAACAGAACAUGGGGAGCAUUUCGCUGUUGCAAGAAUAUCAUCUGGAGCUACAAGACAAUUUCACACUGCAGAGUUGAAUAAAAAUAUUGGGCAAAUUACAUAUAAUCCUCCUGUGGCUUUGUCUGUUGCCACAUGACCCUUCUAACAUUUUAAAAUAUCCAAUUCGCCCAUUAUGAUUUUAUGUAAAGCGGAAACUUGAUGGAGAAUAGCCUAUAUAAUGUCGUUAAUUGAAAUAUCAGUAGUACUUUUACUUAAAUGCUAAAUCAAUCGACAAUUUAAUUACCUUAUAUAAAAGUAUAAGGGGAUUAUAUGAAUAAAUAUAAAAAUCACAGGAGAGAUAAAGUUGACAAUUAUACAAACUAUAAGGGAAUUACAUUGAAAUUAAGACUUUAUCACACACGCUUUUAGAGCGCGUUUGGUAUAAAUGCCGUAACUAAUUGUGCAUUCCAUCAUUUUCCGCUUUACAUAUAACUAUGGGGGGUAUGUGGUUAUUUUGAAAUCUUAGGGGGACUAUCUAGCAUUAUAUAAAAUCACCCUAAAAUAUAGUUAUAAGUAAUUUACCCUAAAAUGUUAGAUUCCAGGAGCAAUUAAACAACAAUCAGAAUAGGGCAUCAAAAACUGUACAAGCCACUAAGAUAGUUGAUCAAGAACAAAAACUGGACUUACAGGCAUCUCGAACUGAACCUUUAACAGUAUAACCGCGCUCGAGCAGCAGCUUCACCAGCCAUGAAGCUAUGUAACCCGAAGCUCCGGUCACACACACCAUUUUCCCUUCUCCUGCUCCACUCAUUUUGUUAAUAUUUUUGUGUGUGAACCUUUCACCUGUUUGCCUUACUUCUGGACUUAAUGGAGGGAGGCAUAUAUGGUGUAUAUAUAGCUAUGGUGAAGAAGACGAAAGAUUGGAUAUGACAUUACGUGGGAGACUAGGGAGAUCCAUAUGUAUUCUUGCAAUUUGCAUGCAUCAUCGCUGACAUACGUAUGGUAUAAUCGGGUCACAUCCCAUUUUAUCAAGGUCAAUUGAUCAGUGUAAAAUAGAAAUGAACAAUAAAUACAAUGGUAAAUUACCUUCUACACCCUAUGAUUUGAUGUUUUAUCACAUAACUCCCUAUGAUUUAAAAACCUAUAUUUGACCCUUUCAUAGUUUGGAUUAUUGUGUCACUUUAGAUUUUUCCGUUAAAACUAACGGUCAAUAGUAAAAAGUCAAAUUCAAACUACUAAAUUGAUAAAUUCACCAUUUCACUACUUUUUUAUUCUUGUUUUCCUUUUCUUUCUCUCCUUUUUUUUUUUUUGGAAAGAGAAGAGAUGACUUUGAAAACUUGUAUUUUGGCUUACAAAACCUUAAUUGUUUCCAAAUACAAAAGAGAUAGAAGGGAAAUAAAAAUAAAUCAACAAGAAACAAAAAAUAUGGAAGGUAAAGAUAUAACAAAUAAAUAAGAAACAAAAAAACACCAAAUAUUUUUUACUAUGAAUAUCAUUAUAGGUUUUUAAACCAAAUCUUUAAUAGUAUUUUCUAGUUCUUAUUUAUCUAUAUUUUAUUUCAAUUUCUUCUUUUUGAUGUUUGUAGGGGAAAAAAAACAAGUAAUGAAGGGAUAAAUUUGUCAAUUUAUUAGUUUGACUUUUUAAUAUUAACUGUUAGUUUUAACAAAAAAAAACUAACAGUGACACAUUAACUCAAAUUAUUAGGGGGCUAUAUAUAGUUUUUAAACUAUAGGGGGUUAUGUGAGAAAAUACCAAACUAUAGAGGUUAAAAGGCAAUUUAUCCUAAAUUCAAAAUCAGGCGGUUGCAUAUGAAAAAAUACCAAGGUUCUUGACUUUGCUCAAUACAAUUCCAAGUCUAGAGACACAAUUUUUAAAUUCACUACCAGGAUAAACCAUUCUCCUUUUUUUUUUCGGGUCAAAAAGUACAAGCUACUUGAACUAGAAACUAGUCCUGACAAAGUUUGUGGGUUUUUUGCAAGAGUUUUAGUUAAAUAUUGGUUACUUCGCCUAAUUUGCACCUAUUUUAUCACGUAAAUGCACACACACUUUUAAAAAAAUAAUGCAUGCACUUAUAUUAUUGCCUUUCGUACAUUUAAAUACUUUUUUCAAUUUAAUUUUACUUUUCUGGCAAAACUAAAUCUGAAGCCCAUUUCAAGAAAUAUCCACCGAAUACCAGGUCAACAAACCCCCUUCGUAAUAAAGAACGAAAAGGACCGCAGCGUUCUUAACACGCAGCGGUGUUUUUGCGUGUAAGAAAGCUUUUGAUUGACUAGAAAUCCUUCUUAUCUGAUUGAGAAAUGGGAAUCGACUUGAUGAUGGCAACUCCAUUUAGAAAACUGGUCCACACCCUUGAAUGUGGUUUAAAUUUAAUAACACCAUUUCAUCAUUUCCGACGACUGCUUCUUCUAUGUCCUAGCUCACUGCACACGCCAGUCGUGUGAAACUUGGCAAAAGAGUUACACCCUCCGUCCUAAAAUUGUUUGUCGAAACCCAACUUUUUAAAAAUAGCAGCUUGAUGAUGAUAUUUGUAGAUUUGUCUCAAAAAUUGUCAUCAAAAAUUCAAAUUUUAAAUUGAAUUUAGUAUGAAAUAUAGAUAAAGUUAUUGGAAUAAUAUUGAAAAAAAGAGAUUAAAAGUUAUUUUGAUUUUGAUAAGAUAAUAAAUAUUUUAGAACGUUUCAAAAUAAAAAAAAAAUAUGACACUUUCAAUGAGACAAAAGAAUGGAGAGAAUAUAUAUAUAAGAUACUGAAAACUAGCAUCCAUCAGAAGCAGUCAAAUCAAAGCCACCAUAUUACUUGUAGUUUGGUUAUAACAAAUAUCUCAGCUUGCUGGUAGCCCAAAAAUUUAGCAAAAUAAAUUAGGUAACCCAGCGCGAUAGAGUAUAUUUCACCCAAAUAUAUUAAAAGUGAAAAAGAUUUAUUUUUAUUUAAUCAAUGUGAUUUUUUGUGUCCACAUGCCCAUAAAGCUCAAGGACCAAAAAGCCAAACAUACGAAGUGAAAAUGUGAAGAGCAAUAAUUUGAAUAUAAAAAAAAAACGGGUAGAUGGAUAGAAAACCAUGUCGAAGGUCUCUUCUCUCUCUUUUUUUUUUUUUUUUUUUGGUUUGGCCAUGCAUGGUGCAUAUGAUAUGAAGGAUAAUUGUAAAGCACCAUAUACUGCCCAAGGAAAGUAGAUUACACAGUGGGAACCAAAAAUAGAAGAAAAUAAAGCCUCAUAUGAACCGAAUCUUUCCCCUUGCUUUUUUUUUGGGAAUUUAAAGGUAUAAUGCAAGAAAUAACUCCUGGUCAUGCAAAAUUGCCAACAAAAAUGCGUCUUUGGUUUUUAAUUCCUUAAUAACAUACUAUCCAGCAUACUAUUUAGCAUAAUAACAUACUAUCUCAGAUGCAUCCACUCAAAUAUCCUGGCCGAGAUGGUAUGAGGCCAAUUUUCUAUCAAAAAUAUAGGUCUGUAGCAGGUAAUGACGUUACCUCACUACAACAAAAAUGGCCUUUAGCGGCAUUUAAAGGUGUCAGUAUAGAAAAUUUAAUCUGACACUUUAUCUAUCCUAACACCCAUGGCGAGUGUUGUCCCUUCCAAUGUGGGGAUAGCCUCAAAUCUUUAGCAGCAUUCAAAUGUGUCAGGCAAAUCAUGCUGCUAUAUUUUUACCUCUGCCAACAAAUCCUUUUUUUGUGAUAAUCGAAAAUGUUUGUAUAGCGUUAGGACAUCAGUAGGGAAUCAGUAGGAUAUCAAAUUUAUGAAGGCAUCUUGAGUUGUCUUAAUAUAUGGCUUUAAGGACAUGUAGCCAUGUGAAUUUACAAUGUGUUGGACGACAUGCCUAUUUGUUGUUAGUGUUUUUCGAAACUACAUAAUUUUAUCAACCCUUACACCAAAUGAAUUUUAUCAAAUUCAUUUCCUUGUAGAUGAAUAUCUAAUAUGACUGAAUUCAGAAUGUGUGGGUCUGUUAAAUCUAUUGAAAUGUUUGGAGCACAGUUAAAAUAUAUGGGUCCAUUACAUACAUUAGUUUGAAUCAUAGAAAGUAAAGAAGUUUUAUAUCUUUUGAAUCUAGUAUCUCUUAAUGCUAGAUAUAUAGGAGCAUUUACUCCUAAAUGGAAUAAGGGUUUUACUGCAAUUUGUAUUAAACCUAUAUGAAUAUAUCUAUAUUAAAAUGUGGAUCCCUCCAUUGUAUAAACCUAAUGACUGUAAUCCUAAUAUUAUAUCAUGAUUUAUAUUUUUUACAAUUAUGUCUAAUACAAUAUUCAUUGUUACAUAUUGAUCCUUUUGUAAAUUUAUAUUUUACUUGUAAAUUUUCUCCAUUUGCUGCCAUUAAGGUUUCCUUUGUUCUUUCACAAUAUUUAGUAGGAAUUAUUCCUUCUUUAAUACAACUUGAAUCAGCUCCACUAUUUAUUAAAGCUACAUAUAUUUCUUUGAAAUCUUCUACUGUAAUAGUUACUAAAGCAUACCAUUUUUGAAAUAUCAUUUUUUCUAUGGUAUUUAAAUAUUGAAUUUCAUCUGUUAGUCUUUCUGAUAUACUUAUUUCUUCUGUUUUAGAAUUGGAAGUUGAGGGUUGAUUUUCUAGUAAUGUUAUUUUUGCUUCUAUUUCUAAAUCUUUUGUUUUUAAUUCUAUGAUUUCUCUUUGUAAUUGUUUUACUUGUAUUUUAAGAUCAUUAAUUUUUGUUUGAAGAUCUUUAGUGGUUUCUUUUUUCAUUAGAUUUAUGUUUGGAUAUUUAUCUAUUAAUUUAGAAAUACUAAAAGGUUCUAUUAUUUUUGGCAUUUUGUCUUCUUGUAUAAUUAGACUUUUUAAUCUUUCUAAAUACUCUUUUUUAGCUACUGGAUCAUCAAUUUUUUCUAUUAUAUCUAAUAAAAAUUCUUUAUCUUCUUUUUUGGUUAUAACAUUUAUAUAUUUUGAAGUGUUAGAACAAUUACAAUUUUCUUCACUUUCUGUACUAGAUAUAUCAUUAUAAUAAUCAUCUUCAGAACUUUGAUUUUUUUCAUUUAUUAAUAAAUUUAUUAAUUUAUUUUUAAUUUCUUCUUCUUUUGCACAAAUCUCUGUAAUUUUUUCUUUUAAUUUACAUUUGUUUGCUUUAUGUUCUAUUUUUCCACAUUUAUAACAAACAAUUUUUCUUUUAAUAAAUUUUCUCUUCUUUUCUGGUUUAUCUUCACUACAAGAAAAUUGUUCAUCAGUGACAACACAAAGUCAUCACAGAACAUACAAAUAUUGUCACAAAUACCUUUUAUUGACGACUUUUUGAUCGUCACAAAGUCGUCACUAAAUCCCCGUCGGUAAAAGUAAACAGUGACGACCUAAAAUGUCGUCACUAAAUAGUUCUCAUUAGUGACGACUUUAAGUAGAGCAUUUUUGACAAAAGAUCAAGUCGUCAAUAAAACACUUCCAGAUUGUCGUCACUAAUGACAACUAUUUAGUGACGACCUGAAAUGUCUUCACUAAAUAGUUGUCAUUAGUGACAACAAUCCGGAAGUGUUUUAUUGACGAAUUGACCUUUUGUCAAAAAUGCUCUACUUAAGGUCGUUACUAAAAAGCACCGAAAGCCAUUGUAUAUAACUAUUUUACUGACAACAAUUGUCGUCACAAAUGUAGCUUAGAUUUAGUGACAGUCUCUGUUGUGACAAGGAUUUUUAUUUUCUAUUUUGUGACAACUUUUUUUUGUCAUUAGAUAAUUUCUCAAUAGCUUAAUAGUCAUAAUUUGGCUUGUAAUCAUUGCUAAAUCAUUGAUUUUAAACAAACCAUACAAAUAAACAUGAACGAUUGAUAACCAAAAGUAUUUGCAUUAGAUUACAUGGUAAUAAUAUAGCAUUCUCAAAUGCCAAAUUCAAGUGUACAUUAGCCAACUAAUGCCUACAAAAAUAACAUUUGUUCAAAAUAUCACUUGUACAUAAGGUACAUUUAUAAAAGCAAUCACAGUUUAAGAAAUUGAAGAACAUCUAAAUGAACCACUCCAUGAGCAAAAGACAAUUUUGUCUUCAACAUUCUUCAACCAUAACCAUAGAUAUCUUCCAAAAGCUAGUAUGAAUAGCAUUUAUCUGUCAUAAAAGAGUAAAAGAAGUAGGUAAGGGGAGGAGUAAAAUAAUAAAGAACAAGUAAUGAAACUUAGAUUAUUAAGACAAAAAUUACAAUUCAUUAAGAAUCUCAUAUAAUUUGGGCCCACAUAUUACAACACCAGCAAGAAGUUAGAAAUCACAGUCCAAUCUAUACAAAUACAACACUGCAUAAGCUCAACUAAAGAGCUCUCUAAAACAGUUUUUUUUUUUAAUUUUCUUUCUUCUUCUUUAAAUAGCUCAACUUAUUGAACAAUUAAAUUGGACUCCCACAGUAAUUAUUGUUUAAUCUUUAUGCUUUUGGUUGUUUAUAUAUUAAAACACAGAAAGCAACUUAUUGUACGAGGUAUGAAUACAGGAGGUACUAGCCCUCUUUGAUUUUAGGAGUUUAUGCUUCAUAAAUCAUGAAGGAAACGAUGCCUCUGUAGGAUUAAACUGUGCAAAGAGAAUGAGUUAUUUGCCUCACAAUGUGAAAGUGAAGACCAUCUAAACUGGUGAAACCAAUCAAAGUUCACAAACGCCCCCUUUGCAUUAUAUUCAUUUCUUUCAAGUCACUACAUAGGCAAAAAGAAGAUUGCUAUCCAUGCAUGGUCUGUCGCUUGUACUUGGAAAUAAUAUACUAUUGCAGAUGAACAAUCAGAUUUUUACCUCUCUAUUGAUAAACUAACAGCACUAUAUACAUGAUACUUAGAUAUUUCCCAAAGAAUAAGUUCAGAUAACAAUGAUGCAUAACAUCAGCCCCAAAAAAUGCUAUUACCGUAUUGUUGGUAAUAUGUCUAGUUAAACUAACCUAAGAGGAUCUCCACAAGAAUAACCGGUAAAUCAGAAAUAUGUACUGUUACAAGCACAUAUUCCAGAAGAUAACCAUUUAGCACAUGUACAAAUCUUAUGCACAAGGAACCUGAUGAACGAAGCAUAACCUAUUUCCUUUUUUUCUUUUUUAGCUUAUUUUAAUCAUUACUUCUCUCACUUCUCAAAGGUCAUCCUCAGUUUUCCUUACCAUUCUAAAUACGGCCAGAUCUGCUUCCAAAAAAUUUCUGAUCUUUUAUAUAACAAUACGAUACAACAAUCAAUGAGUAUGCGUCCAAACACAAAGUUUCGCAUACAGCUAGUCUUCCAAUAAUGUGUAAAUCACGUAAGAAAGUUUCCUACUUGUGGUAUAAGAGUUAAAAAGGUUCACUUGAAUGCGUAAUAUCAAAAUGUAUUCAACCAACUACAAAAGGAUUAAGUUAGACUGGAUUCCCUCAAGGUUUGCCAGGUACUCUUUCUUGGACCCAAAAAUGCAAACUCAACACCAAACAUUCCAUUUUUUCUUACAACAUAAGAUGAAACAACAAUUUAUGUGCAAAAACUCAGUGAGCAGAGAGGAAAACAGCAAUAAGAAUGCAGCAGCUUUUUGCUUCUUUCAUUUUAGCUUAGAUAUAUUCAUGCCAAACAGUUCAAAAAACCAAACAUGCUUGAUUUAUGUAACUUUGGAUCAACAACAUGUAACCCCAAGCAUCAUUUUCCGAAUAGCAUCAGAUCAAAAGACAAACCCGAAUAGCAGGUAGUGAAACAAACCCGAAUGGCAGAAAUCUAGCCAAUCUCAAUGACAUAUAUGAUAUUCAAAUCAAAUUUUCACAGUCAUCAACCAGACUCAAAUGCGUGAACUUGGGACAGGGAGAGGAAGAAAUAAAACGCAGCUACAUGAUAUGAACAUCCACUUCUAACUCAACCACUUUCGAGAAAGCAUAUCAAAGCCCGGACAUGUCACCAAAACAGAAUCACCCAACAAACUCUCCACCCAUUUUAUUUUAUUAGCAGCCGUGUAGCUCAGCUGAACCACACUCCAAGCAAACAACAAAAACUGGACACUUGAAGUUAAUCAACCCCCAAAAAUCCAUCGGAAACACAGGCAUUCAAUCCAAAAUUUGGUUAUUCGGACAAACAAAAAACCAACCGAAUGUUCGUCAUUUAUUUUUUCACACGUAAAAAUGCAGACCAGUUAUCUUUCAAUUAGAAAACUCAGUUGGGCAUUUCAUCGAACAGGUUAGGGGCAUUAGAAACUUCACUACUUCCUUACUCAAUUGAAGCUAUAAUUGGCCCCAAAAUUUUCAGCAAACCCAAAAUUUCAGUCCAAUCAACAUCCAGAAAAAGCCAUGAACAAUUGACAUGAAAUUUGAAACAAAAAACUAAUAGCAAACAUGGCAUGUUCAUCGGCAGACAUGCUCCGAAAACUUUCAGAGUUUGUAUUCGAAUGAAAAAACUGAAAUGUAAAGGAGAAGAUUAACUUACAGUGAUCUCUCACGGUGGAGGUUCGUGGAUGACAGUGGCGGAUUCCGACGGAAUGUGGCGGCUCCGCCUGGUCUUUCUCCCUCUAGUUUUUCCUUCGCUUUCGUUUCUGCUCCAACCGACAACUUCCUCCCUCUCUCACUCCUUACCGCCGCCUCCCUUUCCUUAUCCUCUGUUUUUCGACUUUUUCCUCUGUUUUUCUGCUUCCCCAAACCUCAGACGAAGCUCCCUCUAUCUCUGUUUCUUCCUUUCAGCCCCUAGCUCUCCCUUGCUUUCUUUUGGUUUCUUUUCCUAUGUUUCAUUUUUGCGCUUUCCUGUUCUCUCCUCUAGCCCUUUCUCUCUUUUGUCCGUUUUUUCUUAGCUCUAUCCGCCGCCCCCUCCUCUUAGCUCACUCCUCUCUCCUCUGAAACCUUCCCUCUCUGAUUUUUUGUUUUUCUUUCUUUUCAGCUCGCCGUAGCUUUCCUUUUUCCUCCUUUUUGUUUCCUACCCUUAGCAGCCGUCCACCGCCACUCUCUCUGUUUUCCUCAACCUCCCGAAGCUUUCUUCCCCCUUUUUCUUUUCUGUUUCUUUCUUUCCCUUUGUUUUUCCUCUAGCCUCAGACCAAGCUCCCCUCUCUAAUUGUUCUUUUUCCUCUCGCCCGUUGUUCCCUUCAGCUCCCUCUAGUUCCUCCUGUCUUUCUUUUUCCUCUUCUCAGCCGAAGGCUUUUUCCCCCAUUUUUCUUGCUCUCUCUGUCAUCAGACCGCCCCCCCAACCUUCAUCAGAUCUCCCUUGAAGCUCUUUCAAUCUCUCGGCUCUCUCUCACUCAAGUCUUAGCCGCAGCCAAGAGUUUUCUUGCUCUCCCCGUUGUUGUUUUUGUUUCCUCCCUUCUUCCCGUGAAAUCAAUUUUCCAACCAAUUUCUUCUGGCUCUCCAUCAAUCUCUCGAAGCCAGAAAAAUGGGUUCCCCUUCUUCCUCUAUCCCACGAAGCCCUCUCUGCCUUUUCUUUAGCUUUUUCCAUUUUUUUUCCUUUCCCCCAACCGUAGCUCUCUAUCCCACGAAGCCAGAAAGUUUGUGUUGCUCAAGUGUUUCGUUGCUUUAACUCAGACCAAGUGUUCCGUUGCUUUUAUUUUCGGAAUGUGUUCCGCUGCUUUGGUCUUUGCUUUGCUUUGGAUAUUGUUUUUGUUGCGCGGCACUUUCACUAUGAUUUGAUCAAAAUUUUGACUUCACUCAUUUUCCCUCCAUUUGAUACCAAAAAUCAUGUUUUUUUCUAGAUUUGUAAUAUGGUUUGAACCAUAGAUUUUAAUGUUAUAGUAUUAUUCUUUAUUUUUUAGCAAAAAAUAAAAAUUUUCAUCAACAUAGGUGGCAAAAUUUGUUAAUUUCAUAUAAUUGAAAAUGUACUUUUAUAAUUUGCUAAUAUUUUAUACUAAUUUCUUACAAUUGCAGCACUAAAGAACAUCAUGUAAUUGAAAAUAAUUAAACUCAAAUUAUCUGGUUAUAACAUAGUUUCAAUAAAAAUAAUCAUUUUCCUAACAUUUGAGACCAAUCAUCAUGCUUUUUUUAUUUUUAAUUUGGUUUGAAGCAUAGAUUUUAUUGCUAUAGUAUUAUUCUUUAUUUUUUAGUACAAAAACACAAAUUUUCAUCAAUAUAGGUGGCAAAAUUUGUUAAUUACAUAUAAGUGAAAAUAUACUUUUAUAAUUUGCAAAUAUUUUAGCCCUGCAAUUUUUUAUAAUUGCAGCACUAAAGUACAUCAUUAAUUGAAAAUAACGAAAGUCAAAUUCUAUGGUUAUAACAGACUUUCAUUAAAAAUAAUCAAAUGCUAUUAAUAAGACAUUAUUGUUAAGUCAAAAUCAAAGAAAAUUUAGUGAUGACAUAAUGUUAUCACUAAUUUAUUCAAGAUUAUAAUGACAAGAAAAGUCGUCACUAAUUAAAUUGCUAGUUUUUAAUAUUGUCAAUUGCUAGUUUUUAAUACUUUUGUGAAAAUAUUGAUAAUGGUUGAGAAAAUUUUGUUACAUUACUGCAAGUGAUAAAUGUACUUUUGUUCUUUUUCAAACAUUUAUUUUAAUGUUUAAUUUUGUUUAAAACUAUUGUACUAGUAUAGAUUUGCAAGACAAAACUUAAGUUCUCAAUAGUUAAAAAAUUCAUUACAGAGAAAACACAAAGUAGUAGUUGCAAAAUGUGUAUAAAUUACAGAUAUUUUAAUGUGUAUAAAUUACAGUUUAUUUUAACGUUUAAUUUUGUUUGAAACUAUUUUACUAGUAUAGAUUUGCAAGACAUAGAUUUAUGGGUAAUUUCUUUUUUUUUUUUUUGCUUUCACAUAUUUAAUUUAUGUUAAAUAUAAAACCUACCAGUUUCCCUUUCAUAAAAAUAUUAGUGCAACACUUUUUGAAUUUUACUUACAAACAUUUAUGUAUUUAACAUAAAUUAAAUGAUUCAGAGUGAAAUGCCCAUAAAGAGCAGAAUAUUUGUUCAUGUAAUGGAGGAAACCCACAAAGAGUUGGUACUUUAUGGGCCAUUUCUUUUUUUUUUAAAAAUUUAAUUUAUGUUGAAAAGAUAACCUGCCAGUUUUCGUUUUAUAAGAAAUCAGUGUAACACUUUUUGAAUUUUACUUACAAAUAUUUAUAAAUUUAUCUUAAAUUAUAUGUUUGAGAGUAAAAUGCCCAUAAAAAGUUGGUACUUUGAAUAGAUAAUGCUUAUUUGCCCAUAAACUACACUCCCUGAAGGCUAUUUUGUUAAUUACUUUGUAGUACUUUGUUAUUCCUUUGCUAAUACUAUUUGGCAUGUAGUACAAAGGAUAAAUCUGGCAUAAAUUUCUUAUUCCAUUGAUAAAAAGACCUGCUUGCCUUAUAACUAUUGUAAUGAAAGAUAUAUCUUUAGAGUUCAUAACAAAUUAUUACUUAAAUUUGAGAAAAUUAUAAAAUAUUUAUGCAUAGUUUAUCAAGAUACCAUUCGCAAUUUCCUAAUAAAAAAAUAGGGGCUAAAUUGUAAAAGCUAGGGUGCCAUAAUAGAAAUAAUAAAAUUUGUGUAUUACAUAUGGGGGUUAAAUUGCAAAAGUUAGAGUGCCAUAGUAGAAUUACUGAAAUUGGUGAAUUACACAUGGGGCUAAAUUACAAAAGUUAGGGAGUAAUAAUAGAAUUAAAGAAAUCGGUGUACUACAUAUGGGGCUAAAUUGUAAAAGUUAAGGUAUCAUAAUGGAAUCAAUGGAAUUUUUUACAACAUUUGGGGCUAAAUUACAAAAGUUAGGGUGGCACAGUAGAAUUAAUGAAAGUGACUUAGAAAUAAGUACUUUAAACAGUGACGAUUAAUUCUUGUCACUAAAUCCGAAUCGAUAGAGUGACAGUGACGAUAUUAGAAGUUGUCACUAUAUAGAUCAUUUUAGUGACAACUUUUUCAAGGUCAUCACUGAAGACUUAGUUGCUUUGAGCAAUUAUGACAACUCUCCUUGUCGUCACUAAACAACCACGUUUUGUGACGACUUUUGUCGUCACUAAAAAAUGUUGUCACUAAUGACCAUAUUUCUUGCAGUGUAGUUUGUGACGAAAAUAACGGGUCGUCACUAAACAUUUAGUUGCUUUGAUGCAAUUGUGACAACUUUAGGUAUCGCGACUAAAGAAAUUCCUUUUGUGACAACUUAUUGUCAUCACUACAAAAUAUUGUCACUAAUAACCUUUUUUUUAGUGAUCAGUGACGACAACAAAAACUCGUUCGUAAAUAGGCCAAGCAAUAGUGAUGAUACUCUUAAUGUCGUCACUAUUGUGUGUUCUAAACACUCCCGCGCUCUUGCUAAAUUUUAGCGGGAAUUUACUAGUGACGACUUUUCUAAGUCGUCACAAAUGAGUUGGCUCCCAUUAGAGGUUUGUGACGAGUUAGAAAGUCGUCAAUAAAGGAUCCACAUUUGUGACAACUUUUUUUCGUCACAGAGAAAAGUUGUCACUGAUGACCAAUUUUCUUGUAGUGCUUCUUUAGAUCUUUUAUACUUUAUUUUCUUAUUAUAUUUUUUAACUUUUUUGUUAUAUGCAGAUGGUGAUUUAAUUCUUUAGUAGCAAAUUCUAAAGCUCUAUUAAUUGGUUUUAUUGUUCCUUGUUAUAUAUCAUGUCCUAAAAAUCUUAUUUUUGUUUGGAAUAAUUUCAUUUUUGGUGCUGAAACAACUAAUCUAUUUUUCUUAACUACUUUUAAAAAUAUAUUUAAAUGUUUGAACUGCUGUUCUAUUGAUUCAGAAAAUAUUAAUACAUCAUCAAUAUAAACUAUGCUAAAUGAACUAUAAGGAUUGAAAAUAUCAUUCAUUAUAUUUUGAAAUUCUGAUGGUGCAUUUUUUAAUCCGAAUGGCAUUACGUUCCAUUCAUAAUGACCAAAAGGUGUUGUGAAUGCUGUUUUAUAUCUAUCUUUUGGUGUUAUUAAUAUUUGCCAAUAUCCUGAUUUUAGUUAUUUCAGCACCAAAAAUGAAAUUAUUCCAAACAAAAAUAAGAUUUUUAGGACAUGAUAUAUAUCAAAGAACAAUAAAACUAAUUAAUAGAGCUUUAGAAUUUGCUACUAAAUUUCCAGAUGAAAUAAAAGAUAAAAAUCAAUUACAAAAGUUUUUAGGAUGUUUAAAUUAUAUAGCAGAUUUCUUUCCUAAAUUAAGACAAGAAUGCUCUAUAUUAUUUAAUAGAUUUAAAAAGAACCAUUUCCACCAGUGAUUGAACCAGAUUGGGAAUUCUCUACUGCAACUUUCUUUGAAUGUGAAGAUCCAUGAAUGAUUGAAUGGUCUAUACAAAAAAACCAAAAGUCUAAUUAUACAAGAAGACAAAAUGCCAAAAAUAAUAGAACCUUUUAGUAUUUCUAAAAUAAUAGAUAAAUACCUAAACAUAAAUAUAAUGAAAAAAGAAACCACUAAAGAUCUUCAAACAGAAAUUAAUGAUCCUAAAAUACAAGUAAAACAAUUACAAAGAGAAAUCAUAGAAUUAAAAACAAAAGAUUUAGAAAUAGAAGCAAAAAUAACAUUACUAGAAAAUCAGCCCUCAACUUCCAAUUCUAAAACAGAAGAAAUAAGUAUAUCAGAAAGACCAACAGAUGAAAUUCAAUAUUUAAAUACCAUAGAAAAAAUGAUAUUUCAAAAAUGGUAUGCUUUAGUAACUAUUACAGUAGAAGAUUUCAAAGAAAUAUAUGUAACUUUAAUAGAUAGUGGAGCUGAUUCAAGUUGUAUUAAAGAAGAAAUAAUUCCUACUAAAUAUUGUGAAAGAACAAAGGAAACCUUAAUGGCAGCAAAUGGAGAAAAUUUACAAUUAAAAUAUAAAUUUACAAAAGGAUCAAUAUGUAACAAUGAAUAUUGUAUUAGACAUAAUUUCAUAAUUGUAAAAAAUAUAAAUCAUGAUAUAAUAUUAGGAACACAUUUUUUAAUUCAAAUUUACCCAUUUUCAGUUAGUCAUGAAGGAAUUUCAAUAAAUAUAAUGGGAAAAAUUGUUAUCUUUAGAUUUCUAACUCCAGUAAAACAAAGAGAAUUACAGACAUUAGAAACAUCCUCUAUUUACAAAACAAUAAAUAGUAUUACUAAAGUACAACAACAAAUAAAUUAUAUAAAAGAAGAAAAAUCUUAUUUAAAAAUUGAAGAACAAUUAAAAGAAAGUAAAAUGCAAAAAAGAAUUUCAGAGUUAGAAGAAUUAUUACAAAAAGAAAUUUGUGCAGAUAUUCCUAAUGCUUUUUGGGAUAGAAAACAACAUAUGAUUGAAUUAUCUUAGGAAACAGGUUUUAAUGAGAAAAACAUUCCUACUAAAGCAAGACCAAUACAAAUAAUUCUGAUCUAUUAGAAUUUUGUAAAAAGGAAAUAAAAACAUUAAUAGACAAAAAAUUAAUAACACCUUCAAAAUCACCUUGGAGUUGUGCUGCAUUCUAUGUAAUGAAUCAAGCUGAAAAAGAAAGAGGAGUUCCAAGAUUAGUUAUAACUUAUAAACCAUUAAAUAAAGUAUUACAAUGGAUUAGUGAAUAAUACAAUAAAUUUAUAAAUUUAGAAUUAAUAGAGGAUACAAUAUAUUAAAGUAACCAUUUUUAUAAAUUUAAUAGAGCUCAAAUGCAAAUAAUACAAUAAAUUUAGAAGACAUUAAAAAAGUUUAUCAACAAAAUAAUUAUACAAAUCAAAUCCUUCAUACAAUUUCUCAACAUAUGGAAGUAUUAAACACAAAAAUAGAUACUAUAAAGAAACCAGAAUUAAAAUUCCCUAACAAUAUUUCAGCACCUCAUUUUCAACCUAGAAGUUUGACAAGAGACAAAGAACAAGAUUUAGUUCAAAAUAUUAAUAAUCAAAAGAUAAAUAAUACAGACAAUAUAUUAAAUAAAUAUCUCAUGCAUUACAAAACUUAACUACAGAAGUAAAACCUCCAACUCCUAGGAUAAAUACUUUAGACCAAAUAAUAGAAGAAAAUUCAUCUGAAGAAAAAGACAGUUCAUCUGAAGAAUCAAUAAAUUCAGAAAUAGAAGAAGAUAUAAUUCUACCAAUAGAAAAAACAAUUUGAAGAAAAAGAAGAUAAUCAAAUAAAUAAAAUAAGAAGAAAUAAAAUUUAUAAUAAAAAUAAUAAUAAAGGAUGGAAAAUGAUAAGUACUAAAAACUAUUAUUCAAGACCAAGCCCUCCAGACAUUCAAUAUAAAGAAAGAUCAAAAUUUCGUACCACUAAAUACGAUGGCGAUUCAAUAUAUGAAUGGAAUCUAGAUGGCAAAGCAGAAUAUGAAUUAUUAAAUAAUUUACAAGAAAUGAGAAUGGCUAGAUUAGCCUAUAAAAUUAAAAAUAUUCAAGAAAGAAAUAUUGCAACAUUAUUAGUUUCAGGAUUUACUGGACAAUUAAAAAAUUGGUGGGAUAAUGCUUUAACAUUACAAGAUAAAUUAUCAAUGUUAGAACAUACGCAAGAAAUUGAAGAUGAUCAAGGAAAUAUUCAAAUACAAUCAGAUGCUGCAGAAUUUUUAAUUGUAAUAAUAGUAAUAUAUUUCAUAGGAAAUCCAAAAGAAGAAUUAAAUUCUAAUAAAAUAUUUCUAACAAAUUUAAGAUGUCCAACAUUAUCAGACUUUAGAUGGUAUAAAGAUAUGUUUUUAACUAAUGUAUUAAGAAGACCAGAUUGCAAUGCUUCAUUUUGGAAAGAAAGAUUCAUAACAGAAUUACCAAGUUUAUUUUCACAAAAAAUAAUGGAUAAUUUACAGCAUCCGAGGCAUUUACAAAUGACUUUCUGAUGAAAAAGAUGAUGCAGAAUCCCGAGAUGCUCAAAGAAUAUUUGGACUAUUUGCAAAAGCAAGAUAAGAAAGAAAAAACCGACAAAAUUGAAGAGUCAACCGGAUCAUCCGAAUCUACUUUUGAUCCUUUCGGGGGACCCUGCGGACAAGACCCAAAUGACUUUUGAAGAAAGGUGUCGGCCACACCUCAAAGAAAAGGCAAAUGAAAUUCAAAUGAAGAUGAAAUGCAAGACCCGACGAGUCUAUAAAUAGAUUCAAAAUCAGAAAACAAAGCAUCGGCGAAUUAGUGAGAAAAAGAGAACAAAACACUCUCAUGUAAAAAUCCUUAGACAAAUCUCUCAAUCCCUCUUUCCAACUACUCUUGUAUUCAAUUACUAAAUUAUUUAAUACUUCAUAUUCUGCUUUGCCAUCUAUAUUCCAUUCAUAUAUUGAAUCGCCAUCGUAUUUAGUGGUACGAAAUUUUGAUCUUUCUUCAUAUUGAAUGUCUGGAGGACUUGGUCUUGGAUAAUAGUUUUUAGUACUUAUCAUUUUCCAUCCUUUAUUAUUAUUUUUAUUAUAAAUUCUAUUUCUUCUUAUUUUAUUUAUUUGAUUAUCUUCUUUUUCUUCAAAUUGUUUUUCUAUUGGUAGAAUUAUAUCUUCUUCUAUUUCUGAAUUUAUUGAUUCUUCAGAUGAACUGUCUUUUUCUUCAGAUGAAUUUUCUUCUAUUAUUUGGUCUAAAGUAUUUAUCCUAGGAGUUGGAGGUUUUACUUCUGUAGUUAAGUUUUGUAAUGCAUGAGAUAUUUUAUUUAAUAUAUUGUCUGUAUUAUUUAUCUUUUGAUUAUUAAUAUUUUGAACUAAAUCUUGUUCUUUUUCUCUUGUCAAACUUCUAGGUUGAAAAUGAGGUGCUGAAAUAUUAUUAGGGAAUUUUAAUUCUGGUUUCUUUAUAGUAUCUAUUUUUGUGUUUAAUACUUCCAUGUGUUGAGAAAUUAUAUGAAGGAUUUGAUUUGUAUAAUUAUUUUGUUGAUGAACUUUUUUAAUGUCUUCUAAAUUUAUUGUAUUAUUUGCAUUUGAGCUUGAUUCAACUUCUCUACCCUUUUUAAAAGAUGAGACUAUUAUAUCUCCUUGACCUAUAUUAAUUUUUACUUCUUGUAAUGGAGGAUGUAUUGAUGUUAUUAUUUGUUCAUCUUUUAAUUUCCAUUUUUUGUAUAAAUUGGUUUGAACAUUUAUUUGUGGUGUAUUAUAUAUAUCAUUUAUUCCUAUUUUUGAAGUAUAGAAUGAUAGCCAAGUAAAGAAAGGAAAAUCAAAUUUUUGUUUUUCUAAUUCAUUUUUCCAUUCUAAAAUUAAUUUUCUUUUAUAUUCAGAUUCUAAUUGAAAAAACCAAAUUCUUUUUUCAGUAUUUUCUUCAUCUUCAAAAUCUUCUUGUAAGUAUUUAUGAUUUAUUUUAUAUGGUUUAUUUAUAACAUUUAUUUCUCCUUUUAUUUGUGAAUGGGUUGGAGAAUAUUCUGAUUGAUUUUGAUUUAUAACUUCUGGAAUAGGAGUUUUAUAUUUAAAAUUUGAGGUACUUUCUAAAGAAAAAUUAAUCUCAAUUGAUUCAUAAUUAGAAUGUCUGGCUGGUGGCCAAGAAUAAGUUGAAUCAGGUUUCUCUCUUAAUGAUAAAAAUCUUAUUAGAGUAUUACCAUCAGGUUUUUCUAUAAUAUCUUCUGCAGUAGUUUGUUCUAUAUUUCUUGCUAUUUGUGAAUUUUUAAUUUCAAAUUCACUAGGUAUAGUUAUUUCAUUCCAUUUUAGUCUUUUUGGAAUAUAAGUUGUAGGUCUAUCUGCAUCUACUUGUAAUAGAGUUGUUUCUUCUUUAAGAGUUGGAGUCAUUAUAAAUUUAAGAUUUAAAUGUGAAGAUAGAGGUCUAUAAUAUAUUCUAUAUAUUACUGCAAAAUUCUUGGUAUGUUUUUCAAAUUCAAUUCCUUGUAGAUGAAUAUCUAAUAUGACUGAAUUCAGAAUGUGUGGGUCUGUUAAAUCUAUUGAAAAGUUUGGAGCACAGUUAAAAUAUAUGGGUCCAUUACAUACAUUAGUUUGAAUCAUAGAAAGUAAAGAAGUUUUAUAUCUUUUGAGUCUAGUAUCUCUUAAUGCUAGAUAUAUAGGAGCAUCUACUCCUAGAUGGAAUAAGGGUUUUACUGCAAUUUAUAUUAAACCUAUAUGAAUAUAUCUAUAUCCUUUACUUAAGUAUCUUUGAAUUGUACUAUGAUUUAAUAAUGGAAUUGAUUGAUAUUCUUCUUGAAUAGAUAUUGUUUGUUCAUGAGUUUUAACUGAUAAAGCUGUUUUGAAAUCUAAAGGGCCUAUUCUGUAAAUAUGUUCUAUUUUUUCUUCUGGAAUGGUCCAAUCUGAAUUAUUUAUAGGCAUAUGAUAUUCAUGACUUUGUACUACAUUAGCUUGCUUUGAAUUAGAUCCUAUUUUUAAUUGUCUAAGAAAUGCAGCCAUGUCUAAUAUUUAAUUAAAGUUUUACCUAACCAGGAACAACUGUGCGCUAUGCCGGGAACAUCCUACCCUGGACUUACCAACGGUCUCACAAGGCAUCAAGUCUUACCAAUGAUUUCAGUAAAAUUUAAUGAAAUAUGUGAACAUAAAUGCAUGAAUUAGCCAAGUUUCUAUUGAAAUGUUCAUAGAAAAUUUAGUAUAAAAAUUGGACUUACUGAAAAUUUAGAGUGGUCUUUGAUAACGGAAGCUUGAUGAAUGGUUGAAUCCUUGAUCUUUAUUAUAUUUGGAGAAGGAAGGAAACAAAAGUAAUUGAAUACAAGAGUAGUUGGAAAGAGGGAUUGAGCGAUUUGUCUAAGGAUUUUUACACGAGAGUGUUUUGUUCUCUUUUUCUCACUAAUUCACCGAUGCUUUGUCUUCUGAUUUUGAAUCUAUUUAUAAACUCGUCGGGUCUUCCAUUUCAUCUUCAUUUGAAUUUCAUUUGCCUUUUCUUUGAGGUGUGGCCGACACCUUUCUUCAAAAGUCAUUUGGGUCUUGUCCGCAGGGUCCCCCGAAAGGAUCAAAAGUAGAUUCGGAUGAUCCGGCUGACUCUUCAAUUUUAUCGGUUUCUUCUUUCUUAUUUUGCUUUUGCAAAUAGUCCAAAUAUUCUUUGAGCAUCUCGGGAUUCUGCAUCAUCUUUUUUAUCAGAAAGUCAUUUGUAAAUGCCUCGAAUGCCAUACUACCAACUUUCUCUUUAUCUUUUCUUUUUGGAGUGGUUGGAAUGGGUAGAAUAGUGGUUGGAGUAGGUGGCAUAGUUGUUGGAGUAGGUGAUAUAGUUGUUGGAGUAGUGGUUGGCUGAUUUGUCCACUUAAGUUUGUCUCCAAUUGUUAAAAAUCUUAUCACAUUUGUUUGGUCUCCGUAUUCUUGAUUAAAUCCUGUCCACCAUUUGACUUGAAUUAUCUGACUAAUGACAUUGGAAGUGGUUUUUCUAGUUCUUGAUGAAUUUUGAAACUCCAACAAAAAAUCCAUGGUACUUUGAAUUCCAUGUGGAAUAAUAUUGGCCUUGUAUAUUCCUCCCCCCUUACUUUUUUGAGAUAAGUUUGGAAUCCCAUAAGAACAUUUGGAGGUAGAAUUUCUGGUUGUAGACCGAACCAUUUCCACCAGUGAUUGAACCAGAUUGGGAAUUCUCUACUGCAAUUUUCUUUGAAUGUGAAGAACCAUGAAUGAUUGAAUGGUCUAUACAAAAAAGCACGAUACCAUGCCAUUUUGUAAUCUUGAUAAGUAAAUCCAUCUGGAAUAAAUCUGGCUGAGAAAGAUUUCUUUGAAUAAAGAGAAAUCCAUUCAUUAGGAGAACAAACUUUCUUUAUUAUACAUUUUGAGUGACUAAUUAUAUUUGGAUUUUUUCUAUCUGGAAUAGGGAAUAUUUCUACAGAUUGAGUAUCUGUGAGAAUUAAUUCAUAAUAAUCCAAAUUUUUUGAAGGAUCAUCAGGUUGCCAAUAACAUUUGUGAGAAAAGAUUCUUUGAGUAAGCUGAUUGAGUGUAGAAUAUAAUGGUACUUCUUGGAAUCUGGUUAAAGUGAUAUGUUGAGUAGAUGGCUUUGUGAAAUAGGUAUUUUCAUUGGAUUUUUCUAUGGGUUUUGGAAUUUGUUGAAGAGGUCUUAUUUGAGAAGAAGUUGGAGUACGGAUAGCUUGACUGUAAGUCAAAGCUGAAAAAUCUUGCAAUAAUUGAAAUCUAUUUUGAGUUAUAGGAGUAAGACUCAUCUUAUAAUCUUGAGGAGUCUUAGGUUUAGCAUUUCCUGCUUUUGAAUCCAUUUUCCUGCAAAAUCAAUAAACAACAUCUUUAAGUUGGUUAGAUAAUUGUUUGUUUUGCUCUUUGUAAUAUUGAAGAAAUUCUUCACGUCUUCCAUCAUGUCUUCCCAAUCUUCGUAGGACUUGAAUUCUAAUAGUGUUUCUUUGAAUUUCUCUCUGAAUGAGAAAACCUCUCUCCUUUGAUGUAAGGGUUGCUAAAGGGCUUCUCUGAAUGUACACUGUGUCAUGUUUGGAAAUUUGAUAGGCUGGAAUACUUUGUCUUCCAUUACUGGUUUGAACAAAAUAUUGGUAUCCUCUGGAUUGAAGAACUGCUUCUUUGUUUAGUAAUUUAGGAGAAUCUCUUUGAGUUCUUAAAUAACCUGUAUAUUCUCUAUCAGUUCUUUGGGCCAUCAUUUCACGAUCCAUGUCCUUGUAAAAAUUCUCUAGUAAGAAAAUCUGGUAAUGAAUUAUUUUCUCCUUUUAUAAAUUCUAUUUCAAAAUAAAAAACAGAUAAAAUAGCUUGCCAUCUAGCAAAUAUUUGUUUUGAAACUAUGUUUUGAACAUCUUUUUGUAAAAUCUCUUUUGCAGAUUUACAAUCUAUUCUAAUCAAAAAUUUCUUGUUGUAUAAAUCAUCUUGAAAUUUUGAUAUGCAUAAAACUAUUGAUAAAAUUUCUUUUUUAAUAGUUGAAUAAUUCUUUUGAGAAUCAGACCAUGUUCCUGAAUGAAAUCUAACUAAUUCUUCUUUUGAUUCGUCUAUUCUUUGUUUUAAUAUACCCCCAUAUCUUAAUUCUGAUGCAUCUGUUUCAACUAUCAUGAAUGCUUUAGGAUGUGGUAAACAUAAACAUGGUAAUGAUUCAAUUUUUGCUUUUAAAUAUUUUAUUUUUUGAGUAUGUUCUUCUGUCCAUGGUUUUGGGUUCUUUUUUAAUCUAUUAAAUAAUAUAGAGCAUUCUUGUCUUAAUUUAGGAAAGAAAUUUGCUAUAUAAUUUAAACAUCCUAAAAACUUUUGUAAUUGAUUUUUAUCUUUUAUUUCAUUUGAAAAUUUAGUAGCAAAUUCUAAAGCUCUAUUAAUUGGUUUUAUUGUUCCUUGAUAUAUAUCAUGUCCUAAAAAUCUUAUUUUUGUUUGGAAUAAUUUCAUUUUUGGUGCUGAAACAACUAAUCCAUUUUUCUUAACUACUUUUAAAAAUAUAUUUAAAUGUUUGAAAUGCUGUUCUAUUGAUUCAGAAAAUAUUAAUACAUCAUCAAUAUAAACUAUGCUAAAUGAACUAUAAGGAUUGAAAAUAUCAUUCAUUAUAUUUUGAAAUUCUGAUGGUGCAUUUUUUAAUCCGAAUGGCAUUACGUUCCAUUCAUAAUGACCAAAAGAUGUUGUGAAUGCUGUUUUAUAUCUAUCUUUUGGUGUUAUUAAUAUUUUCUAAUAUCCUGAUUUUAAAUCAAACUUUGAAAAUAUUUUUGCCUUGAAUAAUCUAUUGAGCAAAUCCUUUUUAUUAGGAAUUGGAUAUCUAAUCUAUUGUAAUACUUUAUUUAAUGGUUUAUAAUUUAUAACUAAUCUUGGAACUCCUCUUUCUUUUUUAGUUUGAUUCAUUAUAUAGAAUGCAGCAUAACUCCAAGGUGAUUUUGAAGGUGUUAUUAAUUUUUUGUCUAUUAAUGUUUUUAUUUCCUUUUUACAAAAUUCUAAUAGAUCAGAAUUAAUUUGUAUUGGUCUUGCUUUAGUAGGAAUGUUUUUCUCAUUAAAACCUGUUUCGUAAGGUAAUUCAAUCAUAUGUUGUUUUCUAUCCCAAAAAAUAUUAGGAAUAUCUGCACAAAUUUCUUUUUGUAAUAAUUUUUCUAAUUCUGAAAUUCUUUUUUGCAUUUUACUUUCUUUUAAUUGUUCUUCAAUUUUUAAAUAAGAUUUUUCUUCUUUUAUAUAAUUUAUUUUGCUCUUGUACUUUAGUAAUACUAUUUAUUGUUUUGUAAAUAGAGGAUGUUUGUAAUGUCUGUAAUUCUCUUUGUUUUACUGGAGUUAGAAAUCUAAAGAUAACAGUUUUUCCCAUUAUAUUUAUUGAAAUUCCUUCAUGACUAACUGAAAAUGGGUAAAUUUGAAUUUAAAAAGGUGUUCCUAAUAUUAUAUCAUGAUUUAUAUUUUUUACAAUUAUGAAAUUAUGUCUAAUACAAUAUUCAUUGUUACAUAUUGAUCCUUUUGUAAAUUUAUAUUUUAUUUGUAAAUUUUCUCCAUUUGCUGCCAUUAAGGUUUCCUUUGUUCUUUCACAAUAUUUAGUAGGAAUUAUUCCUUUUUUAAUACAACUUGAAUCAGCUCCACUAUCUAUUAAAGCUACAUAUAUUUUUUUGAAAUCUUCUACUGUAAUAGUUACUAAAGCAUACCAUUUUUGAAAUAUCAUUUUUUCUAUGGUAUUUAAAUAUUGAAUUUCAUCUGUUGGUCUUUCUGAUAUACUUAUUUCUUCUGUUUUAGAAUUGGAAGUUGAGGGUUGAUUUUCUAGUAAUGUUAUUUUUGCUUCUAUUUCUAAAUCUUUUGUUUUUAAUUCUAUCAUUUCUCUUUGUAAUUGUUUUACUUGUAUUUUAAGAUCAUUAAUUUCGGUUUGAAGAUCUUUAGUGGUUUCUUUUUUCAUUAUAUUUAUGUUUGGAUAUUUAUCAAUUAAUUUAGAAAUACUAAAAGGUUCUAUUAUUUUUGGUAUUUUGUCUUCUUGUAUAAUUAGACUUUUUAAUCUUUCUAAAUACUCUUUUUUAGCUACUGGAUCAUCAAUUUUUUCUAUUAUAUCUAAUAAAAAUUCUUUAUCUUCUUUUUUGGUUAUAACAUUUAUAUAUUUUGAAGUGUUAGAACAAUUACAAUUUUCUUCACUUUCUGUACUAGAUAUAUCAUUAUAAUAAUCAUCUUCAGAACUUUGAUCUUUUUCAUUUAUUAAUUUAUUUUUAAUUUCUUCUUCUUUUGCACAAAUCUUUGUAAUUUUUUCUUUUAAUUUACAUUUGUUAGCUUUAUGUCCUAUUUUUUCACAUUUAUAACAAACAAUUUUUCUUUUAAUAAAUUUUCUCUUCUUUUCUGGUGUAUCUUCUUUAGAUCUUUUAUACUUUAUUUUCUUAUUAUAUUUUUUAACUUUUUUGUUAUACGCAGAUGGUGAUUUAAUUCUUUUAAUUCCAAAUGCAUCACAAAAUGAUCCUACUUCUUUUGAUUUAGAACCAUAUUUUAUUUGUAAUUUUAAUUCUGAACAUAGUAUUAAUCCUUCUUUUUGCACAAAAGCAAAUAAUUGUCCAAAAGUAAUAUUUUCAAAUGAAAUUACAUCUAUUAUUUAAUAGAUUAAAAAGGAACCCAAAACCAUGGACAGAAGAACAUACUCAAAAAAUAAAAUAUUUAAAAGCAAAAAUUGAAUCAUUACCAUGUUUAUGUUUACCACAUUCUAAAGCAUUCAUGAUAGUUGAAACAGAUGCAUCAGAAUUAGGAUAUGGGGGUAAAUUAAAACAAAGAAUAGACGAAUCAAAAGAAGAAUUAGUUAGAUUUCAUUCAGGAACAUGGAUUGUGUGACGCCCCCACUUCUCCCUAAGGUGAACCAAAGGGUAUCCGCGGGACGCCUGCCUAACUCUCGCCAGGACUCAAGCAAUUCCAUUCAAACUUAUUACCGGACCACACAAUACGGUCAAUAACUUAGAUACAAUAAAUGCGGAAGCGUUCAAAUUUAAUAAAAGUCAUCCGUUAUCCAACCCGUACAUCGGGUGUUCAACAACCAUCAUAAAUUCCAAAUAUACAUCAUGCCCCAAAAGUUACAUUCGGAUUCCAAAAUACAACCCAAAAGCCAAGACAUAGCCAAAAGUAAUAGAAACCCUAAACGAAAGUGUAUCAGGAAGGUUUCUUCGAUACCUCGCCAAGUUCAAUCCUGUUAAGGAAAACAAAUCUACAGGGUGAGCAAAAACGCUCGUGAGACCAAGAACACAUAUACAAGCACAUUGCUCAAAUAACAAUCUCAAUUUACAAGUUAAGCAAUCAUAUUUUAGUAAUUAACAAUUUAUUGGAAAUAUAACCAGAAACAAUUCAAGGAUAUUGGAGCCCUCAUGAGCUAUAUUCCACUUGCACAUUCAAUAACCUCCACGAAUUGGCACUCCGUCAAUUGGGUAGGUUUAGUCCGUAGAACUCCAUUUAACCUGUCCCCUUUCACCUUACAUACCCAUGUAUCGGGCCCGCCUGUCAUUUGUUUGUGGCGAUACUACUCGAGUAUGCCAAGCAAGACCUCUCACUAAGUCAAGCUUAUAUAUCUCAUGGCUCGCCAAGGUUCCCGACCAAACCCAUGUCGGCUCGAGUCCAAGGUCGGUCAAUGAGAUUUGGGCGUCCCCAUGUGCACUUGUGUGUCGAGGAGAUUCACUCCAACGACGUAGGCAACUAUAGCAUACCAUUACAUUUCAUUCAUUCAUUCAAUACAUUUCAAUCAUUCAUUCAAUGCAUUUCAAUCAUUCAUUCAAUACAUUUCAACCAUUAAUAUUUCAUUUCUAAUGAGAACGAAUGUGGUAAAGUACACACUCGACUCCACUUUCAAAAUUUCCAAUCAUUAAUAACAAUUAAACAUGUAACAAGUUUACAUACACCUGACACUCACCAAGUAUUAGGUGUAAGUAAGGUCAAGAAAAGUUCAAGCGUCCACCGUGGGAUCCUCUUGAAGGUUCUCGUGUGCGACUGAGCAAAUAAUAGUGAAUUAUCAUCCAUAUCCCAAAUAUCGAGGAAUAAUUCGUUCACUAGUAUUAAUCUAGGGGAUUCUGUGAAAAUGAAUCUCAAUUACUCGUAAAUUGAGGUUCGAGAGGGGUUUGAUAACAUUCAAAAGUAUUUAAGUCUUUAUCUAGGAAAUCGGGGAUAAAACGUUUAGAUAAUAUCAAAAGAAUAAAGAGUUUUUGAAAAACUCUAUUUCCUUGAAAGUUGGAAAAUUUCAGUUUUGUUAUGAAUCUUUGAAAAAUCGUAACUCACUUGGAAUAAGUCAAGAAUUGGAAAACUUUAUACCGUUGGAAACCUCUUAGAAAGUACUACAAGUUCCUAGAAGACACUUUUCCAUGAAUCGAAGUGGAAAGUGCUCAAAAAUGAGCUUAAAGUUGUUGUUCCAAAUCACCCAGGAUUGAGCCGGAGUUGAUUUUUCGCUAACUUUGAAAAUGCGGCAGAAUUCACUCGUUGCAAAUCAUCCCUUGAAAUUGAUAGCUCAAUUAGAGGUGCAAGUAAGGUUUAGGGCAGAUCAAGCGGAUCGAGAAUCGAAGUUUCGAGUACCAAGAUAUGGUAGCUCAAAGUUGGGUAAAUUUCAAGACUGUUAACAAAUUUCCAGAUUUGGUUCCGACUUUGGACCUUUAGUUAAGUGUCGAAACGGACUUGGAUUGAUACCAAAUUUUGCAGUAUAAUACUUCUAUAUGAAUGGUAUCUUUCUAUCAAAUUUUGUGGAAAAAUACCUUCGGGAAGGUGGUUAACCAAUCAACCAAAGUUUGAAAUUACUAAGGCCAAACUGCCUUUAGCUCUCUUUCUCUCUGUUUCCAAACAUUUGGCUAAGGAAAACCUCCAAGCAUGGUUCAUUUGUGCAAGAAAAGUCUAAGGAGUAUACAUGGUACAUUUGGUAGGUGUUUAGCACCAAGAAAUUCAUUUGGUAAUGACAGGUAUUUUACAUACGUGCAAGCUAAAAAAUACCGAAUUACACCAGUUCACUGCAAGUAUACAGAUCAACUAGUAGUUUAGGGUAUAUAUCGGGUCGAUCCCACAGGGAAGAGUGAACAAUUACCGGUAUUACUAAAGCUUCUCUAUUAUUUAGACUAUCAAUGAAUUAUAACAAAUUUAUCCUACUGAAAUUAUACAAAAUAACAAAUAAAUGCUCCUUAGGUUGUGGUAUCCCUAACUACUCAUGCAAGUGCUAUAUUUGGAUCAUUGAAUACUACAUCUAGGCUAAUUAUGGUGUAAUUUCCUUAACCAUGUGAAACCUACUUUCGUAGUGAAUCAAUUAUAUUUAUAACUAAUCCAUACCUAUUCUCAUGGUUAUGAAAUUAGCUACAAGUUCAUUUUUUCAGUGAAAUUACAUGAAAUGAAUCACUAAAAACCACAUAGGUGCACCUCUACUUUCGUGAUUGUACUCCCUAUGUUUAGCACUUCUUGAACUAAUGUUAAAUCUCAAUUUUCAUUGUAGAAAUAACACCUUAGAUAAUCACAAUUAAUGGUACCAGAUUAAUCAUGAUUUAAAGAGCUAAAAUGCUAAAUAACUUGCUCAAAUCAUAGCAGUUAAAUAGCCAAAUGAUAAACAGUAACAAUCAUAGAAAGUUCAACCAAACCCAAGGCAUAAACUUUAGAAACACAUAAUAGACAUAAAAUCCAGAACUUGUAUAUUAGCUAAACUUGGAAUCAAAUACAAAAGAUAAAGAGUUGGAAAGGAAUGUAACCCAUGUCACUUGAGCUCAUCACCUUGCCUUCUUCAUCUCUAUCUUAAUCCUAGUCUAGCAAUAUAAAAGAGUGGAUGAACUACACUAGCUAAACUAUCUUACACUAAGGAAAUGGAAGAACUACAUUUCUGCACUCUUCAAGCUUCCCCCGUAUGAUCAUCCAGACCUCCCAGAAUGUCUCUGCAUAUAAACUAAUGAAAAGCUCCUCUCCAGUCCAAAUUUUCUGCUAUAAUGAUUCUCAAAUCUCCAUUUUGUAAGAAAGUCAAAAACAAUGGUUUUGGACUUGGAAUUUUGGCUAUACCUCUUACUUUUUGUCUUCUGAAGCAUGUGCACCGAAUUCUCUUACAACUUAUAGCUGGAAAGUAGUCUGAACACAAGAGAAUUGACUGAGCAACUUGCAGAAUUUCGGCCAGAAAACGCGCCUAUACAAAACGCGGCUACACCUCGCGUUUUGUUCACUCGCGUUUUCACUUUGGCCUUACUUCAACUGCAAUUUUCUCCAUGAUGCCGGCCGAAAUGGAUUUUGUGCAAAACACUAAAGUUGUAUCCCUCUGAGCAAAUUGCAGAAUUUCGGCCAGAAAACGCGCCUAUACAAAACGCGGCUACACCUCGCGUUUUGUUCACUCGCGUUUUCACUUUGGCCUUACUUCAACUGCAAUUUUCUCCAUGAUGCCGGCCAAAAUGGAUUUUGUGCAAAACACUAAAGUUGUAUCCCUUUGAGUUAGCUUUCCAAUGCUUUAAAAAUCAUCCAAAUCGAAGCUUUGUAUCCUGAGAUAUGACCAAAAUACUAAAGACUGGUCAGAACUCUGUUUUCCACUUUGGACAGCUGAGUUGAAUUUCGGUAUUUCAACUUUUGGACUAUGAAAACGGCUGAAUUGGACUUUGAUGUCUUCAUACCAAAUGUAUAUCUAUCUCUUAGCUUCAAAAUGGUAUAAAGAUCAUCUCAAUGCAAUAUGUAUAGCUCCAGAUAUAGUCAAAAUACGAAAAUGUGUCUGAGUUGUCAAAGCUGACUUUUCUUGAUUUUUGUCCUCAAAUUGCAUUUCUUCCUUUUACACUUCAUAUUUUAUUUUCACCACUUUAAUCCAUCAUCAAUCAUCCAAAUAUCUUCUCAAUGCACUUCAUUUGAUGAUUGAAUCAUUAAACCUACAAAAUAUGAAGUUUUUUCCCAUAAAAAUCAAUAGAAAUGCAAUGUUAGCCACUUUAACAUAAAAUGUAGAUUUUUACCAAAACCUUAGUUAUUUUAGUUAUAAAGCUAAAUAAUCAAACCAAAAUUAACUAAUAAAACACACUAAAAAUACGUAAAAUAAACUCUUAUCAGGUAAGGCCACAACAAGUCUCAUCUCAAAUCUGUCCAAAACUGGGUUUUUCCAAAACAAAGCAGUCACCGUAUUUUGAUCAUAACUCACUCAAUUUAACUUGGAUUUGGGCAUGGUUGAUACUGUUACAAAAUACAUUCAUAGGGGUAAAAUUUUACAGAAGAAAUCAUUUUAAGUUUCAGCAUGUAACUGGCUCAAAAUUAAGCCUAGAGUUGCAGCAUCAUCAAAUCAUUUCGGCAGAACGGAGAAACAGGGCAGUUGAAUUCAGAAGAGUGGUGCGGUUCACACACAUGGAACCAGAAUGUGCAUUAUAUACCGUUGGAAAGAUGGGUAUGUUUAGUUUCAAAUGCCGCUAACGACACUUGAUUUCGAUGUCGGAGUACGGAGUUAUGGACGAAAUACAAACACUGGUCUGGUUACGACGGCAACCGUUUCCAGACUACCAGCUUUGGGAAAUAAAUUCUUUUGAUCAACCAAAACUCAACAUUUUUCAAUGAAAAUUUGUACACAACUUCUACAACAUGUAAACAACACAAUCAAGGGAUUGAAUUCUCAAAUUUCUGCAUUAAAGUGGCCGAACAAAGCAGGGGCAAAAUGGUCAAAUUUGGCCUUUGCACCCAACGUGAGUUUCCAGCAAUUUUCCUUCAACAAACCACUAACUUAAACACUAAUCCGACAUUAUAAACAUCAUCAAGCACAAAAUCAGCAACAACCCAAGAGUGGGAAUUCAUAGAGCCCACUUUUCCAAUUUCUCCAACAUCAACCACAACCCAUAUGCAAAUUCAACCUUAUAAGUGUAAUUUAACUUCCAUAAGACAAGUUUAAGGUAUUAGAUCAUUACCUACUUUGAUGGUUGGUCAAGACAGAAGUUUCGGUCCUUUUGAAUCUUGAAGAAAACCGUGGAUAGCUCCUUCCUUUUGCAGGUAAAUGGACUUCCCAAGUGUUGAGGUAGAUAUAGUUGAAUUUUUUUGAGAGUUUGGUAGAUUGAGUAAGAUUUGUAGAGGGAAUGUUGAAAGUUUUUGGUUGUUUCUUUGCAGCUGCUAGCCGUCCAAGGAGCUUGAAGAAAGGAAAUGGUUUGCUGAUCCUUUGGCGUAUAAGGAACGCUAUUCGUGUAAUAUUUUAAGUACGUAAAAAUCAAUUGCAAAUGCAAAGCACCAGUGUCGACAUAUCCCGAUCAUCUGAUCUCUUAAUCCACAAGUUAACAGCAAAACUACAAGGGACCUUGACACUUUAACACAUAUAGCCAUAUUCAUAAUAUUAUAGCAGAAGUUCCUUUCCAAUUGACCGACCAAAUAUUGCUCAUCUAGGUGUGUAUUCUCAGACAAUAGUAUAGAAUUUGAUCAUGCAAGAGAUGCAUAAUUAAGUAGGAAAACUUUCAUAUUGCUCUUUCCCCGACUAUUCCACACUACAUUAUUAAUUUUUCAUUAAAGUUAAGUUGUUACUUAGAUAGAAGGAAAGAAAUGGACUGACCAUUCUGGUUACAAAAAUAUCCUUCUUUUUGCCUAUUAAAGUACCACCAAGUCAUGAAGAUCCUAACUUAAUUAUCUCCACAGCUGGGCUAACUCCUCAUAUGUGUUCCAAUAACAAGUUAAAACUAAAGAAUUCAGCAUUCCAUAUUAGAUUUUACUGGAAGAAGACAGAUAAUAUAUGUACCUUUUGCUCCUCACAGUAUGAUGGAUCGGAAAACCAACUUUCAUCAACUACCACAUCCUCCUUUAAUUCUCUAUUUUUUGAAACUGCAACCAUAGAGGAUGUUAUAACUACUCUAUUGACAGAAGAAGAAUUUGCACAUGACCGCAGCACAUUCAGUGUUCCGCUUACUGCAGGUUCCAGUAGUUCUGCCUAUGAAAUCAAACCAAGUAAAAAAGGAAGUCAUUACCAGUCAUAGGUAAGACUAUGCUUUUAACCUGCAAAAAACUUAUCAUUCUGGUAUUAUGUUUGAGAAUUUCACCACAAAUGCUGUAAACCUACAGCUUUAGUUACUUAGCUAAAGGAUGCAUAUAGUUGUCUUAUCUCCUCUUGCUGCUAAAAUAAGUUCUCAGGUCCUUUAUUGUUGUUUUUCCCAUAUUUUUUGAGCUUUCACUGGGUGACAGGAACUUAAGACCAAUAGAGGAACAACUGAAAUAAGUCUCAGAUGUGGUCACCAAUUAAACCGUUGGUACCAAAUAUCAACCGAUGAAAUUCUGUUCUGGCUUGAACAGGACAGACAGAAAAUAUAAAAGGUGUAGCUCCCAUGAAUCCUGCGAAUAGAUUUUAGCGUGAACACAUAAUGCAUGUUGCAAUUUCUUUUAGUGUCUGUGAGGCAACCUUGUUCAUUGAAAUUACUAAAAUCAAAGUUCUACAAAGUUACUUAUAUAAAAAUCCAUAAACAAACAGACAAGGAUAGGUGUACUGCAUAAAAUUUUAAGGCACAAUCAUUAAUAGAAGUUAAUCAACAUACAAAUGAAGAUACAUAUAAUUUGCAGAUGCUUGAACAUAUAUUGUAGUUUCUAUAAGCUUCUUAUUCAUGGUGAUAUCGGCACCCAAAAACUAUUGGCUCUGCACUGGCUGAAUAAUUAGUUGGUCAAAGCAGCGAUUCAUUUGCUCCAGGGCAAGCUUGUAGCUUGCUCUAUAACCUUGACACAGGUGCCGAACCUGUGCAAUAAUAAUUACUAAAAAGUCCUAAUUACCACCUCAAUUAAUUAUAGAACAAAUCCAAAUACUGGAGCAGGGACCCUAGGUGUGUAAUAGGUUACUUGAUUCACCUAUUCGAAGAGUUUGCUUGAUGAUAUACCAAAUUUGCCUAUAAAAAUAUUAAUUUUGCAUACAAUGACAAGUAGGGUCGAUUCCACAGGGAACAGGUAGGAAGUUUUCUUUCCAAGUCAAUAGAAUAAAAUUGGGGGAUGAUUAAUGGGAUGGAAAUGAAAAUAAAAUAAAUAAAAUUCAAAAGAUAACUCCACAAGUACAAUUUAUUAAAAAUAGAAUUAAUAAAAUUCUACCCAAAGGAUCAACUUUUCAGGUACGGUCCAAUUAAAUGAUCAUCGAUGCAGAGAUAUUUCAUUCAUCCGUCACUAGAUUGAUUAUAACUAUCAACAACGUCUGACAGCCAGUUCUCCCUUACCUUUUUAUAACCAAGGUAUGACCGUUGACUGCUUUCUAACCAGAAAACAACCCUAGUACGACCGUAGGAAUUUAAUUAUCCAGUUGCAUUAAAACUGGAAAAAUCAACCCUAACCAAUAAACACGCUAAGAGGGUUUAUUUAAAUUAGAUCUUGCGUUCCCCAACAUAAAGCCAAUUAUGGUGGUUGUCACUAGGUAUCAACUAAACGAACAAUUAUUGAUUCAAUUUAGUUAAUAUGACAGUAGGCUAUUAAAUUAAAUCAAAUACCCGGCAGUUGAUAUUCAAUUAAUAAAAUAUCCAUAAACAAUUAAUUCAGGAAAUGCACGAAUAGUAAAGAAUUGGAAGAAAGAAUAAAAAUUCGAUUAGAUCUCAUAGAUGUUAUGGACCGCGCCCUUGCGUCAACCUUUAGGUAGAGAGGAAAACUAGCCGCUCCUAUCAUAUCAAUCUCGCGUGGUUCAAUUGAUAUCAUUCAACUUAAUUAUCAAAAGGAUUGGGAAAAGUGAAAUAGCGAAGGAACGGCUAAAAAGCCUUGCUUCCCUUUGUAGGGUUUCGUGUUCGUACCACUGAGGCCAAAGUAAAAGCAAAAGUCUAAUAGGGAAGUCGUACAGAAGCCAAAAGCAAAGAGUAAAUCGUCUGUAAUGGCCGACAGAUGGGAGCCAAAGAAAAUUAAAGCUAAGCUAAUCUAUUAGACGUGAAUCUGGCUUUGACUAAUGCUGUGAAAGACCGAAGGACCCCAGACGUCUGACUCCAAAUUGAAACUCAAGCUACUCUAAUUGAUCAGACGUGAUUUUGGCCCUUUUUCCUUUUUGAACGCCGCCGCCCACAGAGACCAAGAAACGUCUGGGUUUUACUUGCUUUUGGAGCCUAGGCUUUGAUUCCAUGCGUCGAGUUCACGUGGGUUUGGUUUCCUAGUUAGCCUGCUGCUAUCAAUCCUGCGAGUCCGAUUUAGGUAUAUCUCCUCAGUUUCUGGCGUGGGCACGCCAUAAAAUAAAGAGUCUUCUGAAAAUGUGCCUCACGCGAUCACUUUUAACACCAACCACCUACAAUUUACACAAAUAUCAAAUAUGAGCAAAUUCUCAAUUCUUAGCACCAUGAGUUGCCAAAAUUAGGACAGAAUAAUAGUGCAAAAUGUGCUAAAUAACCCAUCAAAUCCCCACACCUAGAUAAUGCUUGCCCUCAAACAUUUCAGAGCUCAGAAGCACAAUCAAGAUAGCAACGGUUUCCUAGUCAUCUAUACUAGCACAAACAUCCCGCAUUCCCGACAAUAUCGCCAAAAUUAAAACAUACCAAACAGGUAGUUAUCCAAAGAAUAUGAACAGUAUUAUACGUUACCUUCAAGAAAAUGUAUAAAUACUAGGAACGCUCAAAUCAACAUCACGGAAUGAAUUACCAUAGGCUUGCACAUUUAUCACAUCUCCACCACCGAAAAACGAACUAAAUACACAAAUCAAAGGGACUUUCAUAGGGUUGUAAUGGGGUUUAAGUAAAAGGAGGGAUAAGAAGGUGAAAAUAAGGUGUAAUGUGUCAGGGGAAUGUCCGAUAUCCACCACAUAACCACAAUGCUCACCGGAGAAAUUUCCACAAACAAGACAGUUUCACCUACUGUACACACUGUGCAAAUGCCACCAAUUUUCUCUCUCUCUUUUUUGACAGGCAGCUUGCAAGGCGUGGGCACGUCCUAUAAGUCAGAGUCGUCCGUUCACUUCCUUCACUUUGCUUUCUCUUUUUUUUUUGGAGGAUAACGUCUUGCAAGGCGUGGGCACGCCCUGUAAGACAGAGUCUUCUGAUCAGCAGCUUAUUGUUGAUUUAUCCCCUUUUUUGUUCCAGAUGCACAAAGAUAGCAUCAUACAGAUUCUACUCUGACAACACUUGCGAUUCCAGAUUUAUUUGCCUUGCACAAAUGAUGAAAUUCAGACAUCCCUUGACAACACAGGGGUGACCAAGAAAGUCUAAAGAGAUCUUGGAUUAUCAACAUGGCUAACAAACAAACUCGACGGAUAAAAGCUCAAAUUGGUUUACUAUUAGAAGACAAGAUGAAGGCAUGAUUUUUAGGAAGUUAUAGGAAGUUUAAUCCUAAAUGCCCUUAUCAUUUCAAAUGCAACCAAUUCAACAAAAUGUGGUCUCGACAUGUACAAAAUAGCAAGUUCUAGAAUGCCAAUACCAUGUGUGAUACCCACUCAAUCAAACAAAAAUAGAGCAAACAAGAAUAAUGUGCUCGCAAGGCUCAAAAGCUUCCAAAAAUUACAAAAGUGGGUCAAGUCCAGCAUACUCAAUAUUCAACGAUAUUGCUAAGGAAAAACCAGAUGCACAGCCAGCAUAUAUGACCACAUAUACGUGCACCCAGAUUGUAUAUUCCAUCAUAGUAAAAUGCUCUAGCAAAAAUGAACUAACUAUAUACUUUUUCCUUUUUGUUUUUCAGGUUUUUUUUCAUGUUUUCCUCUUUUUUUUUUUGUUUUUCGAGCAAAAAGAAACAAUAGAGACAAAAAGAAAUAAUAGAAAUCACUCCCCACACCUAAAACCUACAUUGUCCUCAAUGUAGCCUAGACAAAUAAAGUGCAAGGACAAAGGGAGAGAAACUUCCCUGACUACUGAGAUGGUGCAGCGAGAUCCUAAGGAGGCGGAGGAUGCAGGGGGUGGAAUCCAAUAUGAGCAUAGAAAGCUGCCUGAUUCUCUGUCUGAAUACGGGCAAAAACCUGUAACGCCCUAAAACGGUCAUCCAACCCUCAAUGCGCUCCUCCAGCGCAUGGAUAGAAUCCUGGAGGGAGCGAUAUUGGGACUCCCAAGCAGGGGGAGCAUGAUAGGAGGACGGACCUGCCUGAUCCGGAUGGGGUGGAGACUCAGUGGAGGGGGCAGUCGGAGGAACCCGGGGCUGUGGUCCGUCCUCGCCAGGAGGUGUAAACUGAUAGACAUUUCCUACUUUGAAAAUAACUCCCAUCCGCUCCAAGCUGCAAAUCCAGUGGCUCUAUCUCAUGAGCUAGAGCGAAGUUGUUCUCUUUGUCGAGGUCAAGCAAACCCAAUCGAAUGGCCAAGUGAGUAAUGAGUGAACCCAGAAUUACCGGUUUAUUGCACUUUUGAAUGACUGAUUGCAUUUGAGUGGCCACCCAACAUCCAAAGUUAACCUGAACUUUGUUACGCAUGCACCAAAGAAAAUAAAAAUUCUGCCUUGGUGAGAGUGCCGGAGGAAUCCUUCCGGCCCGAGAAAUUGUGAGCCAAGAACCUAUGGAUGACCUUCAAGACCGGAUCCUUCAGAUGAGAGGCCUUGGACUGACUCGGAUUGUAAAGUUGAGGAUCUGUGGACCACUCCCUCCAAAUGUCAAUGUAAUCAGUAGAAAACGGUUUGGUGUAGUCACACACACUAUUUAUAUAUGCUCUGGAUGCAAUGGUAUUCUCACUAACAAACCCCAAAGUCAGAUUAAACUCAUUAAUGGGCAUACUAUACUGGGUAUCUCUUAAUCUAAAUUGAAUAAUCCUCUUCCCAUCCAAAGUGAUGAAUUCAUUUUUUAUGAACUCGGAGGUGGAGUAGAAUUCACAACACAGCUCCUCAAACGUAGGGUAAUCAAUGGUUAGGUACUUUUGCCAACCUAUUGCCGAGAACAACUGUUCAACAUGUCGUGCAAUUUGUAAAUGGUCCAAGGUUGGGGCAUGGAAGCAUUACAUGGGGCAAAAAGACAGUGCACCAAGCUAUUGAACCGGUCCUGUUGUGCCCUUGUAAGGUUAGUGACCGGUUCCCCCAUUCCCCAAGAGACAUAGUGCUUUUAUUGAGGCCUAAACGAGAACGAAUAGGGGUUUGAAUUGGGGCUCGCCUUUUACGAGGUUGGGACCAGAUGCCCCAGAAGUUGUUGCUUUUUUUUGGAGGCAUUUGGAGACCACAGGCAAAGUGUAAAUAAGUAAAGAGACAGCCAGUCAAUCACAAAAGAGGCAGGAGACCACAGUCAACAAUUACUACUCAAAAAUCAACAGUCCAAUAGCAAAGAGAGAGUACAAUUGCCCCCAAACAAAGACAGGCAGAUUGACACAAAAAUCCCUCAUUAGCGUCACUAGGCAACCAAUAAUUAAGACAAGAAGAAUCGAGACCCCAAACAAUGAAAUUAUCAGUCAAAUAUGUCCAACAGAGGGUGAAUCACUUGUCACGUGUACCAGAUAUCCGAUUCACCAGAAUCCACAGAUAUAUAAACUCGAAUCUGAGUCAAAUAUAGCAACUAGAUCCCAAAUUUGAAGACCAGUGACAAAAAUUUAGGGAAAAUAUGGGUACCACUUUUUUUAGGCUGGAGGAGGUCGUGGGAGAGUCACACGGCGAGAAGAAGAGGAGCCAAGGGCGGCGCGCGUGCUCGUACGGAUGGGGAAGGACGCGCUGCUGGAGGGCUGUUGGCGGAGUGGGGCACACGGGCUGGCUGACGCGUGCAGCACAGGGCCUGGCCGGCAGGGCAGGUCGCGCCAGGCGGGCAAUACUGCUAGGUGUGCUGGGCGUGCGGGUGCGUGAGGUCGCUCGCGUCUGGCAGGCUUGCAGAUGAAGACCGCGAGCUGCUGGGAAAGCGCAGACCUGCUGCUGGGUCGACUGCAGCGCGCGGAGGAGGAAGGAGCACGCGAGAAGAGCAGGCGCGCAUGCAGCGUGCGAGUAGGGGAUGUCACGUGCAAAGGCAACUCGCACGCUGGUGAGUUUGGUGGCGGAGUGCGACAGCUGACCACGGGCGACAGACAAUGGCGCAGCGGCAGGCGGCGGUGUGCGGCAAAGACGAUGGCAGGUGGAGGAGGCGUGCGAUGGAGAAUGGCGGCGGACCAAGAAAGCAAGGCAAAAGAAGAAAGUGAGACUUAGUCAAAAGAAAGAAACUGAAAAAGUAGAAGCUAGACUGACGGGUCUUGACAAACUAGACAAGACAAGGAAAAGAGUAAAGUAGAAAAGUGGGGUCAGAGAGGGUCCCGGUCAAUUUUGACUUUUGUUGUCCCACAGAUUGGAAGACGUGGGCAUGCCUUGGAGGCCAUAGUCUUCUGACCGUCGCAUCUUGACAAAGUCCAAAAGAGUUCCUUUCAAGGCAUGGGCACGCAUUGCAACUGUUAGUCUUCAAUUUGCACAGUUGACCUGGCGUACCCCUUCCAAGGCGUGGGCACGCCUUGGAACCCCUAGUCUUCUGUUCAUCACCACAAAAACAAUCAAAAUAUAAAAAUAGAACUGAAAAAUCGCAAGUAAAUGAAAAAUGAUCACAACUAAUUCUGUAUUCCUUGGGUUGCCUCCCAGCAGUACCUUUCUUUAAUUUCUUUGGCUAAACAUGGCCAUCAGCUAUUUAGACCUCACGAUUUGGAUCAUUAAGAGAUAUAAUCUCCACUUGCUCACUGUUAAACCCUUCAUAAUAAGGCUUUAGACGGUGACUAUUGACUACGAACUUCUUCUCCGUUUUCAAGCUUUGGAUCUCCACUGCACCAUAAUGAAAAAUAUUAGAGAUAACAAAUGACCCAAUCCAACGCGAACGCAACUUACCUGGAAAAAACUUAAGUCUCGAGUGAUAAAGUAGGACUUUUUGCCCUAUUACAAAUGACUUCCUUGAGACUUGUUGGUCAUGAAAAAUUUUGCUCUUCUGCUUAUAAAUUGCGGCGUUCUCAUAGGCUUCAUUCUUUAGCUCCUCCAACUCUUGUAAUUGGAGCUUUCUAUGUCCUCCGGCCUCCAUAAGGUCCAUGUUACACCGCUUGAGCGCCAAAAAAUGCUCUGUGUUCAAAUUUCAUCAGGAGGUGGCAAGGCUUCUCAAAAACUAACCUGUAUGGGGAUAUCCCAAUCGGUGUUUUGUAUGCGGUGCGGUAAGCGCAGAGAGCAUCUUCCAACUUCAAACUCCAGUCCUUUCUAUCAGACUGCACCAUUUUCUCUAGGAUUGACUUCACCUCUCUAUUCAACACUUCAGUCUGACCAUUCGUCUGUGGAUGAUAGGGAGUGGACACUUUGUGGAGCACGCCAUAUUUACGAAACAGAACAGUGAUCGUCUUAUUGCAAAAAUGGGUGCCCCUGUCACUGACUAUAGCUCUCGGCAUUCCGAAACGGACAAAAUGUUAGAUUUAAUAAAUUCUGCAAUCACUCUAGAAUCAUUAGUUUGGGUGGCCUUUGCCUCCACCCAUUUGGAACAUAAUCAACAGCAAGUAGAAUGUACAAGAAACCAAAGGACGAGGGAAAGGGACCCAUGAAAUCUAUACCCCAAACAUCAAAAAUUUCAACAAAUAAUAUGGGGGUUUGACUCAUUUGGUCUCUACGAGAAAUAUUCCUCACCUUUUGACACCUAUCACAAGAUUUACAGAACAAAUAUGCAUCCUUAAAAAGAGUCGGCCAAUAAAAAUCGCUCUCUAGCACCUUACGAGCUGUGCGUUUUGGCCCAAAGUGCCCCCCACAUGCAAAUAAAUGGCAAAAAAUCAAAAUAGAAUAGAACUCAUCGGCACUUACACACCUUCUUAUCACCUGGUUCGAGUAUUGCCUCCACAAGUAUGGGUCAUCCCAAAUAUAAUAUUUGGCGUCAUUUCUCAACUUAUCUCUCCUUGCCAUCGGUCAACCUGAAGGCAAUUGAUUCGUUACCAAAAAAUUUAUAAUGUUAGCAUACUAGGGUGCCGAUGAAUCAAUGGCUAGCAAUUGCUCCUCGGGAAAUGACUCUCUUAAUGGCAGAUCCUCCUAAUUCGUGAGCAGCCGACUCAAAUGAUUAGCCACCAAAUUCUCGGCUCCGCUCUUAUCCUUGAUCUCUAAGUCGAACUUCUGCAGGAACAAGAUCCACCUGAUCAGCCUCGAUUUUGCAUUUUUUUUCGCGCCAACAGGUACCUCAAGGCUGCAUGAUCAGAGAAAACAAUUAUUUUCGCACCCAAUAAAUAUGACCUAAAUUUUUCUAGUGCAAAAACAACAGCUAGUAAUUCUUUCUCCGUCGUGGAGUAAUUAAGUUGGGCUCCACUCAAUACUCUCGAUGCGUAGUAAAUCACGUGUGGCGUUUUUCCAAUUCUCUGUCCCAAUAUGGCUCCUACGGUAUAAUCGCUCGCGUCACAUAUUAUUUCAAACGGCAGGCUCCAAUCUGGGGGUUGAAUGAUGGACGGUGGCGUCAACGACUCUUUCAAUUUAUCAAAGGCCACUUUGUAUUUAUCGGUGAAGUCAAACGACACGUCCUUUUGCAGCAACUUAAACAAGGGAGCUCCGAUCUUUGAGAAAUCCUUGAUGAACCUCCUGUAAAAUCCUGUAUGGCCCAAAAAAGAACGUACCUCCCGUACAUACACGGGGUAAGGUAGAGCAGAAAUAAGAUCUAUCUUAACUUUAUCUACCUCUAUUCCCUUAGCCGACACAACGUGCCUUAAAACAAUAUCAUGUUCGACCAUAAAGUGACACUUCUCUCAGUUAAGAACCAAAUUCGUUUCUAUGCACCUUUUCAGAAUUAAAGCUAGAUUAUCAAGACAUUCAUCAAAACUAUCCCCGUAUACGCUAAAAUCAUCAAUGAACACCUCGAUUAUCUUUUCUACAUAUUCUGAGAAAAUACUUACCAUGCACCUUUGAAAAGUUGCUGGAGCAUUGCAAAAAUCGAAAGGCAUCCUACGGUAAGCAAACGUACCAAAUGUGCAGGUGAACGUGGUCUUUUCCUGGUCCUCUGGUGAUAUCACGAUCUGGAAGUACUCUAAAAAAUCCAAGAAACAGUAAUAAAACACGACCAGCUAAUCUUUCCUCACAGAAUUUAGUCUCCGGUAGUCAAUGCACUGACGCCAGCUAGUAGCUUUCCUAACUGGAACCAUAUCACCUCCUGGUUCUCCUCUACGAUCACUCCUAUUUUUUUUGGGAUCACUUGAACAGGACUCACCAAGGACUGUCCGAGAUAGCAAAAAUAUAUCCCCACCUCUUGGAGUUUAAGUAUCUCUUUCUUUACAACUUCCAUCAUCAGAGGAUUCAACCUCCGUUGUGCCUAUCUUAUCGGCUUCGCAUCCUCUUCGAGUCGAAUCCGGUGCAUGCAUAAGGAUAGACUUAUUCCAUUUAUAUCUGCUAUGCUCCACCCAAUUGCCUCAUUAUACUCCUUAAGAAUUCGCACCAGUUUAUCCUCUUGAUUUGGAAAUAAAUGUGCAGAAAUAAUUAUCGGAAGUGUCUCCCAAUCUCCCAGGAAUGCGUACUUUAGAUGCUUCGAGAGAGGCUUAACCUUUAAUUCCGGUGCCUGCCACAACUGAAGGAAGCAGCUUUGUCUGAGUCUCUGGCACAAACAGAGAAGUAAACUCAUACUUGGAGAAACAGUUGAUAGUGAGUAUAAGGCUUCAACUGCAUGGUGCAACUCAUCCCUCAUGUCCACAUCAAGAGUUACACCCAACUCAAGAUGCUUGAUUAGGGCCACUUCCAAUGCGUCCUCACCAUUCAGUUCGAAAGUUUCCUGUACAAUGAGCUCAAAAACAUUCAAAGCAAAGACUGAGUUAGAUUCUUCUGGGUAUUUCAUCGCCUCAAAAAUAUUAAAGUUUACAGUUUCGCCAUCAAAUUCUAUUGAUAAAGUAUCCUCAUUCACGUCUAUUUUCGUCCUAGCAGUGCUAAGAAAUGGUCUACCUAACAAAAUAGGUGACGGGUUUAACGACUUUUCAUCUCCCAUAUCCAAGAUAUAAAAAUCUGAUGGAAAAACUAACUCAUUUACUUGAACCAGGACAUCCUCAACUAACCCUUCUAGGUAGGCAUUGGUGCUGUCGACAAGUUGGAUUAUGAUGGCCGUCUCUUUUAAUGACUCAAGAUUCAGGGACGUAUAAAUGGUUUUUGGCAUCACAUUGAUUGACGCCCCUAAAUCCAAACGGCUCUCUGAUCGGUGUAUUUUCUAUCUUACAAGGGAUCGUGAACAUACCUGGAUCCCCACAUUUGGGUGGGAGUUUUCUUUGGAGUAUAGUUGAUACGUUUUCUCCUACCACUACCCUUUCAUCCCCUCUCAACUUUCUCUUGUGAGUGCACAAGUUCUUGAGAAAUUUCGCGUACUUCGGUACUUGCUUGAUUGCAUCCAACAAAGGGAUGUUGAUCUCCACUUUUCUGAACACGUCCAGGAUCUCUUUCUCUUUCCCCGCCUUCUUCGUUUUCUCCAACCUGCAUGGAAAAGGAGGUAAAUUAGAUUUAAUAGGAAUUGAUGGAGUAAGAGUUACUUUAGGGUCUCCAUGAAUGUGUCUUUCUUCCUCAAUCUCCUUUUCUAUCUCCUCCUCACUCUUAUCUUUCAGGUUCGUAGUCUUUGGCCCCUCCACUUCUUUACCCUGUCAUGGUACUCACAUUUUUGGGAUUUGUCUCGGGUUGCGAUGGUAAUUUUCCAAAAACUUGGGACUCCAAGCUAUUAAUCGCGGUUGCCAUGUGACUUUUUGAAUCUCUAGAUUUUUCAUGCCCGCUCUGGUUUUCUGUUGGAACUGAGCAGUACUCGUGGCCAGGCUCUUGACAAUAUCUUCCAAAGAACUUCCUGAGUUAGAUGACGAAGGUUGUGAUUUUGGUUGCAAUGGUUGCUGGAAUCCUGGUGGACGAUUGGAGAAUAAAUUCUGUGGCCUAUUCCCAUAGCUGAAAUUGGGGUGGUCUCUCCAACCCGGAUUAUACGUGUUGGAGUAUGGGUCAUACUGCCUACGAGACGCGGGCACGCCUCCAGCCAUAUUCACUUGUUCAGUCCCAUCCUCUUGCAACAUAGGGCAUGAGUCAGUGGGGUGGCCCACAUUUGUGCAGAUUCCACAGGCCUUUGCUUGAUGCACGUUUCCCACAACUAAUUGUCGAACAAAAGAUGUCAGCUCUGAUAUCUGCUGCUGAAUGGACGACGUCUCUACCUCGUUGACCCUGCGGGUAGGGUUACUCUCACGAAAGCCAAACUGUUGAGAAGUCUCUGCCAUCAAUUCAAUGAGUAGCCAUGCUUCCCUUGGUGUCUUGUUCACCAAUGCUCCCCCACUUGCAGCAUCAAUGAUACUCCUAUUAGACGACUGGAGGCCCUCAUAGAAAUAUUGGAUCAAUAGUUGUUCACUAAUUUGAUGUUGUGAGCACCUAGUGCACAACUUAUUGAACUUCUCCCAAUAGUUGUGUAGGGAUUCUCCAGGGUACUGCUUAAUGCCACAUAUCUCUUUUUUUAGACUUGCAACCCGGGACGCAGGAAGAAUUUUUCCAAAAAUUUCUUCUUAAGUUGGGUCCAUGUGGUGAUACUACCUGCAGGUAGGUAGUACAACCAAUCAUUCGCUGCAUCCUUGAGAGAGAAGGAGAAGGCUUUAAGUUUAAUCUGCUCCUCAGUAAUUCCUGGAGGCUUCAUACUGGAACAUACCACAUCGAACUCUUGAAUGUAUUUAUGGGGUUCCUCACCCGAGAUGCCAUGGAACGUGGGUAGGAGGUGAAUUAAUCCUGACUUCAGUUCAAAGAGGUAUUCUUAACUAGAGUUGGAAAUGUGAUGCACAACGGCUGUUGGGACAAUUCCGGAGCAGCCAGCUCCCUUAGUGUCCUUGCAUUCGCCAUAGAGAUGUCCUCUUGGCCUGGGUCACUUAAAUUUUAACAACUCAAAUUUGUUGACUCAACCUCAGGAUCCAGUCUCUGAGAUGCAAUGCUGGAUUGCUCCUCCUUAGCUGUCUGGUCUCUUUCUUAGUUUGGCGCGCAAUCUUCACUACUUUUGGGUAAAAAAUCAAUUCACUGUACGAGAAGAACGAGGUAUGAACUAGAAAAAUGUUAGACAAAUCCAAAGAGAACAACUUAGAAAGAAACAAAAUUAACCAAAACACCGUUUCCCGGCAAUGGCUGCAAAAAUUGACAGGUGCCGAAUCUGUGCAAUAAUAAUUACUAAAAAGUCCUAAUUACCACCUCAAUUAAUUAUAGAACAAAUCUAAGUACUAGAGCAGGGACCCUAGGUGUGCAAUAGGUUACUUGAUUCAUCCUGUUCUCGAAGAAUUUGCUUUAUCCGAUAUACCGACAGGAAGUGAGCCAAUUUGGUCAAUCUAUCCACUAUUACCCAAAUAGCAUCAUGGCCUCUUUGUAUCCUUGGUAAUCCUGAUACAAAAUCCAUGGUGAUAUUUUCUCAUUUCCAUUCCGAUAUCUCCAAAGGUUAUAAAAGUCCCGAUGGUUUCUGAUGUUUGGCCUUAACUUGUUGACAAACUAAACAACUCUGGACAAAAUGGGCAAUUUCUCUCUUCAUAUUAUCCCACCAAUACAGACUCUUCAAAUCUUGGUACAUUUUAUUACCUCCAGGGUGUACCAUAAACUUCGAUCGAUGUGCCUCUUCCAAGAUUUCCUUCUUAAGCUCUUCAUCUUUUGACACUACUAUCCGAUUCCGAAACCUCAAAAUACCAUUUGAUCCCAAGUUAAAAUCUGACUUGUCUUCCUUUUUGACUUUUUCCGACCAUUUCUGCACUUCAGUGUCCUUUCCUUAAGAUUCCUUGAUACGCUCCAACAAAGUGGAACUCACUGCAAUGUUCCCCAAAAUUACUUUCCUCGGUUCCAGUCGAGGAUUCCAAUAGCUAACUGUUUCCAACAAAUGGAGUUCCUUAAUUAUCAACCCAGCCAUUUACAUUUGACGAUUCAAAGCAUCGGCCACUACAUUGGCUUUUCCUGGAUGAUACUUUAUAGUGCAAUCAUAAUCUUCCAGAAAUUCUAUCCAUCUACGUUGCCUCAAAUUCAGUUCUUUUUGUGAGAAUAAGUACUUAAGAUUUUUGUGAUCAGUAAAAAUCUCAAACGUCACUCCAUAUAAAUAGUGCCUCCAUUUCUUUAAAGCAAAUACCACUGCAGCCAACUCCAAGUCAUGAAUCGGGUAAUUCCCUUCAUGCGGUUUCAAUUUCCUAGAGACAUAUGCUAUUAUCUUGUCAUUUUGCAUCAAAACACAUCCCAAACCUUCCUUAGAUGCAUCUGUAUAAAUCACAAAACUAUCAUUUCCAUUGGGUAGGGCUAAUACUGGGGCUCUGGUUAAGUGUCUUUUCAAUUCCUGGAAAUUCUCUUAGGACUCCAAAUAAACUUUUCACUUUUCUUAGUCAGCUCGGUCAUGGGUCCAGCAAUUCUAGAAAAGUCCUUGAUGAAUCUCCAGUAAUACCCUGCUAAUUCAAUAAAACUUCGAAUCUCGAUAGGGUUUUCCGAUCGUUUUCACUUCUAAACAGUUUUAAUUUUGGCUGGAUCCACUUUAAUCCCAUCUUUAGAAAUUAUAUGUCCCAAGAAAGUCAUUUCUUUUAACCAAAACUCACACUUGCUAAACUUAGCAUAUAACUGGUGUUUCCUCAGGGUUUGUAAAACAAUCCUCAAGUGUUUCUCGUGGUCUUUCACAUUCUUAGAAUACACUAAAAUGUCAUCAAUGAAGACCACUACAAAUUGGUCCAGAUAAGGCUUAAAAAUCCUAUGCACUAAAUCCAUGAAAGCAGCAGGUGCAUUCGUUAACCCAAAUGGCAUCACAGCAAAUUCAAAGUGCCCAUACCUCAAGUUAAAAGCAGUUUUGGGUAUAUCCUUCUCCAAAAUCCUCAAUUGGUAAUAUCCCUAUCUCAAAUCCAGCUUCGAGAAUACUACCGCCCCUUGUAAUUAGUCAAACAAUUCAUCAAUAUGGGACAAUGGGUACUUAUUCUUAAUUGUGACAUCAUUCAAGCCUCUAUAGUCUAUACAUAGUCUCAAACUCCCAUCCUUUUUCUUAAUGAACAAAACUGGGGCUCCCCACGGAAAAUCACUCUCUUUUAUAAAACCCCUUUCCAACAAUUCUUACAGUUACAAUUUCAACUCCUUCAAUUCCGCUGGAGCCAUCCAAUAUGGCAUCUUAGAAAUAGGUGUCACUCCCGGAGUUACAUCAAUCUUAAAAGUUAUUUCCCGUUCCGGGGGUAAUGACUCUAACUCUUCAGGAAAAACAUCUGGAAAGUCUUUCACUACCGGCAUGUCCUCCAAAUUCACCUUAUCACUAGGGUUGUUAAUAAGAAAAGCCAAAUAUCCUUGAGCUCAUUUACUUAAUAAUUUUCUAACCCGAAUCCCUGAGAUAAGUGCAGACGAAGCCAAUUUACCCCUUAUAUCCAACUUUAGGGUUGCCUCCCCUGGAGUGCACAAUUCUACAAUCUUUGUUCGGCAGUUCAACUGGGCAUUAUAACGAGUUAGCCAAUCCAUUUCUAAAAUCACAUCAUAUCCCUUAAUUGCUAAACCUAUCAGGUCGACCAAUAAUUUUCGUUCCUCGACACAGACUUCACAAUCUCUAUACACCAGGUUAGCAAUUAAACUUUGAUCCCCAGUAGGUGUUUUAACUUCCAAGUCAUACGGUAAUUUAAUUGGUUUCAAGUCUAUUCCACUCAUGAAGUUAGGGUUGACAAAAGAAUGUGUUGCACCUGGAUCAACUAAAACUCUAGCUAAACGAUGAAAGAUUGGAAUUGUACCUUCAACCACUUGAGUCGCCUCAGGUACCUGCUGAUAGUCCAGUGCAUAAACCCUAGCCGGCACUUUCGAUCAACUUCCUCCAGCACUAGUCUGCUUAGAGGUUGACUUUUCUGGCCUCUGGGUGUUACUCCCCAUUUUUUGUGAUUUCAGACAAUUCACGACCUGAUGUUUGGCACUACCACAAAGCAAACACUUCCCCGACUUUCUCCAGCAAUCAUUCUCGGAGUGAUUGGAUUUUCCACAGUACCCACAAGUAAGUUGAGUGGUCACAGCCGAACCAGUAGAAAGCGCUCCCCUAACUUGAGUUGGCCCACCAUGACCUCCUCUAGAUAGACCUCCCCUAGAAGCUCCAGCAGUCCUUAUUCCUCCCGUUCCUCUUCCCAUCUUGGAAGGUUGUGCAUUCUUACCAGCCUGCCCAAACGCAGAGCUAGAAAAGUGUCUCUUUCUAUUGUUAAAGUCUCUCACUUGCAGUCUUGCACUUUCAACCCUUUGUGCCUUCUCUAAAGCCUCAGUAAAUGUAGAAAUUUGGGCUGCGGCCAAACCCUCUUGAAUUUCCACAUUAAGUCCUUGUACAAACCGUCUAAUCCUCUUCCGUUCAUUGACUACUAGCUCAAGAGCAUACUUAGAAAGGUUAGUGAAUUUCCCUUCAUACUCCGUUACACUAAGGGUUCCCUGUUUCAACUUAAUAAACUCAUCCUCUCCCUUUUCUUGAAUCAAGGGUGGAAGGAACUUUUCAUUAAAUUUCCUCGUGAAGUUCUCCAAGGUCCAAGGGGUUUGAACUCUCUCCCAUUUCCCUUUUAUUACAUCCCACCAAGCACGAGCUACUCUCUCAAAUUGGAAAGCAGCAAAAUUCACUCGCCUAUCCUCAAUGUAGUCUAAAGCGGCGAAUAUGUUGGUCAUCCUCUCUAACCAAUUCUCCACUAUAUCAAGGUCGGGUUCACCAAGAAACUUAAGCGGGUUGAACUUUAAGAAUCUCUCUGGCUCUAUCCUCUCCUCUUUCCUGCCCCCCAGGUUGGUUAAACGGUCCAGGACCUUGUCUAUCAGCUAAGCGCUCUAGGAUAUCAGUCAUUCUAUUAAUGGCAGUAGCCACUUGAUUACCCUCAAUGUUUUCCUGGCCUUGGAUCGAUCCAGUUGUCGAUCCCUGGUCAUCCUCCUGAGGUUGGGCCUGUCUAGUCCUUCGCCCACGACCUCGACCACUUCUUAGUCCUUCUAUAACCUAAGCGUGCCUAAUGCAAGAAAUAAAUCAAUUAUGCGAUGCAAAGUAGAAAGCAGAGACCAAUCAAGAAAACAUUGAAAGUAACAAUAAUUGACAUUCAUUAACAUGUCAAGUUCAUACAAUUAACAGGUCAUGGGGAAAAUCACAAAAAUAUAGCACACAGGUGCCAUGAGAGUACUUUUAGUUACAGAAGAUUAAAGUAAAACAAGUGCCUCAAAAGUAGGCCACACAAUCAUGCAAAAUACAAUGACUUCAGCACUUGCAUCACCCCAUCUAAUUCUAACUAUACUAGUCAAAAGUCAAAAGGUCAAGUAGUCAAUCACUAGGGUCUAGUCCACAGUAGGACUACCGGGUGAGAAAUCAUGGGAUAGAAGAGCCUACCUGGGAGGUGGAAGAAGAAAUGCAAAAGAAAUACCCUGAACUAUUUGAAAAUCAAGGUGAGAAAUUUCGAGGACGAAGUUCUUUUAAGGGGGAGAGAGUGUGAGAACCUGAAAAUUUUUCUUAUUUUCUAGGCUUUAUUUUAUUUAAUUGCACGUCUUUUCUAUAUUUUCUUUAUUGAAAAAAUUUUCUAGAUAAUUUUUAUGCGUAAAUAUGGUUUUUAAAUCAUUUUCCUUGUAUAAAUUAGUUCAUGAGAUUUUAGGAGUGUAUAUUGGACGUAGGGCCCGCUAGUACGGUAAGUUCGAUAAAAUUCGGCCAAUUGGGUUAUGUUUUGUAUACCGGAUUUAAUUUACUAGGUGUUAAGAGAUAAUUAGAAGUUACCAAAUGGAUUAAGGUUGGAGAGACAAAAGGAUAGUUUUGAACUCAAAAGGUGACAAGUGUCACUUUGUGAUUUAAAGUUGGACUUUGACUAUUUUACCAACUUUACUAAAUAACUAAGAAAUUAACCCAAAAUUCAUCAUCAUACAUCUCUCUCUUGGCCGACUCUCUCAAGGAGGAAAAGAAAGAAAAACCUUCAACUUUCUUCAACCAAUCUUGCUCAAUCUUGCAAUUCAACCGUUUAAACUUCAAAUUUCUUCAUAAAAACCCUUUGCUAAGUAGUAGUGAAGGAGUUGGUGGAGUGGUUUGGAAAGAGGAGGUGCUAAGUUGUCUCUUUUCUUCAGUUUGCAAGGUAAGUGGCUAAGGAAACCUUCUUUUGUUCUUGAUAAUGUUCAAUUAGUGACUUGUGUGAGUUAAGGAGGUGAUUUUGUGGAAGAUUUCAUGCCUUUUGGUAGUGAUUGAUGAAUUUUUGAUUUUAUGCAUGAUUUUUCUAUUUUUAUAUGUUUAAUAUUUGUUGGCCAUGGAUGAUCGUUUGGUAUGGUCUAGAAUGAACCUUUGGUGCGUUAAUUGUAGCUAUUUACGGAAAAUUUUCGCUUUGUACGGAAAAUUUCAGAUUUAGGGUUUUGAAUUGGGGCUUUUCUAGGGUUGCUAUAGAACUCUUGAAUUGGCUUUGUUUAAUGGGUAUUGGAACCCUACUAAUGUGUAUUGAAAGGCUUAUGACUUGUAAUUGUAAUUGUGGUGGUGUUGCAUGAAUAUAAUUGAUUUUUUUGUAGGAUGGAAAUCUGAAAUUUUAGGGGUUAUGCUGUCCAAAUUUUUGGUCCAUAUGAUUUCUUGGAAUUGGGUUGCUUAGAGUGUUAAUUAGUGACCUUGGGGUUAUCUAAACCCUUAGCACCAAGUGUUCCUUAUAUUACUUUCAAGUUCUAAUGGCUUUACAUUAGUGAUAUUUGGUUUGGGUUUAUGACUCGUAUUCGAGUCUCAUUGUGUUUUAUUGAAUGUUUUAGGGCGUGUCGGUGACGCAAGGCGUUCGUUGGACGGAAAUUUGUGAUAACUCUCUUUGUUUGAGUGGUGAGUGUACUACUCACGUGAUUGUUACUUCAUAACCUUGAUAUACUUGAAAUCUAUGACUUGAAUGCUUGUGUAUACUAUUGAGAUUGAUUGAGACGAGGGUGUAUUUUAUCACUCUUGCACUCUAUGCCUUAUGUGACAGUUUACUGCAUCAAUUGAAUAUACUUGAACUAGUGUCAUUUGGACGUGUAUCCAACGACCUUUACUGUUAACACUGAGCUCAACCCCAUUGGUGGUCAAUUGAAUCGAGUCGGCAAGGGUUUGGUCGAGAAAAUUGACAAGCCAUGGGGAUUGUUUAUGUGGAAUCCUUGAGUAUGAGACUCUUGAUUCCGGUAUACUCGAGUAUUACCAUUUCUGAACUGAUUGGAGUUCGGGCCCGGUAGGGGUAUGUGAGGUGGAAGGAAUCGGAGAAAGUGGAGUCUACGGUAUUGGUUACUCCUUAAGCGUUGACGGGGGGUCAACGGGGCAAGAUCAAGUAUGGCAAGCAGGGACAAGGGCUCUUGAGAGCCGACUGUAUCCCUUUAAAUAUCUUUAUGGAAAUAUGAUGCUAGUUGACUCACUUAUUGGAUGUGUUUUGAAUUGAAUAGUUUUGUGCUUAUGUGAACUUCGUUACUUGGGUGAUGGUAUCUCAUUGGGCGAAAGCUCACUCUAUUGCCUUUGUUUUCCUUACAAGGAUAUGAAUACCUUUUGGGAAACCAAUGUUUUAAAAACCGGACCGUUAAUUGAACCGGUGAAGUAAAAGGGUCGAGGUUCAACCGGUCGGACCGGUUCAUCCUCGGUUCAAUGAAUUUAAAAAAAUAAUUUAUAUAAAUAUAUAUACACAAAAUAAGACAUGUAAUGGAUAAUUUAAUACUUUAUAUGAUGAAAAGUUUACUAUUUUCGAAUAAUUUGGAUUUUUAAAAAUAAAUUUUUAAAAUUAUAAGUUAAAACAAAUAAAUUUCAUGUCAAUUUCAAUUAUAUCUACCAAAAAAAUCUUAAAUCCAAUUCAAAAAUAUCACAAUAUUUUAAAAUUAUACAAAAUUCACGUCUAUGAGAAUUUCGACAUUGUGAACUUAAAUUUUAAUUUACGUUUUGGAAUUUAGAGAUUGCAAUUUAAAAAAGAAAGUUUGGAAUUCGAAAGAAGUUAAGAGAAUCGAAAAUAGAAAUGCAAAUUUGUGAGAACCCGUACUUUUCCCAUUUUCUAGGGUUUUAUUUAUUUAAUGGUUUGUUUUCUGCAUUUUUUUUAGUAGGAAAAUUUUCUAGAUAUUUUUAAUGAGCAGAUAUAGUUUUUAGAUGAUUUUUCUGGUAUUGGAUAGUUUUUAAAAAAUUAAGGAUAUAUAACGGACGUGGGACCCGCUAGUGCGAAAAGUUCGGAAAAAUUCGACCAAUUAGGUUAAGUUUCGGAUACUGGUUGAAAUUUAUCGAGUGUUAAGAGAUAAGUAGAGGUUGAGAUGUGAUUGAUGUGAGAGGGAACCAAAAGGAUAGAGAUGUUUUAAAUGAGUGACAAGUGUCACUUUGUGAGAGGUUGUGACUUGUUGACAACUAUUCACCUUUUUGACUUUUUACCCUUGGAUUAAAUAUCUCAAAAAUUAUCCAAAAUUCACUCUUUUCUUCACCAUUGUGGCCGGCCCUCUCUAGCAAAGAAGGAAGAAAAACUCUUCAAAGUUUGGCAUCCAUCUAGUGCAAAUCAUCCAAAGCAAUCACUUAGACUUGAUUCUACUCCAUAAAAUCUCUUCUUUAGGUGUUAGUAAGUGGUUUGGUGAAGUGUUUUGGGAAGCUAAGAGGACAAGCAACUCUUCCUCUCUUGUUUACUAGGUGAGUGGUGAUUGAACCUUCUCCUUCACUUAAUGAAGCUUAAUUUGUGCCUAAUGGGAGCUAAAGUGAUGAAAUAUGUGGUUUAGAUGAAUUGUGAAGUUUUCAAUUUAUUGAUGAAUUUUCUGGUUUAAUAUGAAUGUGAUGUUGUGGCUAUCCUUGAUGAUGGGAACUGAUGUUUAAUGACUCUAGUAGGUGUAUAUGAUAGAUAAUUGUAACCAAUUUCUGGUUUGGAAGGAAUUUGAGAAAGUUAGGGUUUUAUAUCCCCAAUUCUGUCCGGUUUUGUAUCUCAUGGUUAGAGGCCGAAUUGGCCUUAGCUUAAAACAUGAAAGUUGUAGGGAAUGACAUUUUAGAGGCCUACAAAAUUUCAGGUCAAUCGGAGUAGUGUAGAAUGAGAUAAGUCGAAAUUACUAUUGCUGUUCUGGAUUCAUCCGAAAGUAAGAACUGCGUCUGAAAUUAGUUGUUUUGGCUGGAAUUGCUUUGGAUUUGGUUGUUGAGGUCUUCUGAUGAAAUGUAGCUUGAUGUCCUAGCUACCAUAUGCCUUUGGAAUUUCUGAAUUUGGACCUGUAUAGACUGAGUUGUACUGAUUACAGCAGAAUGUAGUUUGUGAACCCGUUAUUGUGGUUCUGGUUUAGUAUCUCGCAUAUUUGACCUGGUUGUGCUAGGAAUUGGACUGAGUGAUCUUCUACAUUAUUGUAGCCCUGUUUCUUAGCUUUCAACUGGUUUUGGAAUUUCUGGAUUUGGACUUGUAGAGCCUGAGUUAUGAUGUUUGCGCUAGAAUGCGUUUUGGUGAAUCUGUUUUACAUUUUUGAUGUAGUAUAUUGCAUUUUUGACCUGUUUGCACUCAAAACUGGGUUGAGUGACCUUCUAGGAUGUUGUAGCCCUGUCUUUUAGCUUCGAGAUGGUGGGUCUUGAACCCCCAUCCGAUAAUCGUAGUGAAAUUGGUACCAUUACCGCAAAAUGAGGACAAAAACUGUUUUUUUAGGGCCAAAACUAGUUACAUUUCCGAAAUUUCUGGUUUCCUUUAAUGCUUGUAUAUGCUUAUGAAACCCUAUUGGGGUUGCGAUUGGCAUUGCUUUAUGACUCGUUAUCGAGUCUCAUUGUACUUGUUUGCGUGUUCUAGGGCGUGACGGUGGUUCACGACGUACUUUUGACGACGGUGCAUGAAACAUCACCUACUUGAUUGGUGAGUGUACUACUCACAUGAAUGUUUACAAUGUGGCUUUGAUAUAUGUGAUUGUGAUGCCGUGAAGGCUUACUUGGCCAUUGGAAUUGGUUAAGGUGAGGGUGUACUUGACCGCCCUCACCCCUUUUGAUACAGUUAAUGAUUGUUCACCGUUUUACUGUGAUACUGAACUUGAUAUAUGAGUUAUUGAAUUCCAUUUCAUGGAAACCUGAUUUGGUGUCGUUUGGACGAAUAUCCAACGGCCUUACUGUGUUACUGAGCUCAACCCCGUUGGUAGUCAAAUGAAUCGAGCCGGCAAGGGCUGGGUCGUGAAAAUUGACAUGCCACGGGGACUGUACUGGGGAAUCUUGUAGUAAUGAGACUCUUGAUUCCGGUAAACUCAAGUAUUACCAAAAGUUACUGAUUGGAGUGCGGGCCCGGUUGGGGUAUGUUGGGUGGAAGGAAUGGAAGUGAAGUGAGGUCUACGGUUGGUACUCUUAAACAUUGACGGAGGGUCAAUGAGGUUGGAUCAAGAAUGUAAGCGUGGAAAGGGGCUCUUGAGAGCCGUCCGUAUCCUUUUACCGAAUUGUUUUAUUCCUUAAUUGUGUACUUGAAAUGAAAGAUUAUGCUAUAUGCUCUUCGUUGCUUAUGUGGUAGUAACUCAUUGAGCUUUAGCUCACUCCGUUCCAUUUGUUUUCCUUACAGGAAAAUGACUAUUUUGGGAAAGGUUGUGCUAGUUGGUUGUCAAGUUGAGCUCAUGUAAAUGUAUAUUUUGAAUAGCUCCUUGAGGGUGAAAACCCUAAGUGUUUUGUUUCAACCAAUGGUUGGUUUGUAAUUGGCUAAUUGCACAUGUAUGAACUUGUUGGAUAUUUUGGUAUGCCGCUUUGGCUUGUAAAUGUUAAAUUUCGAUGUGUAUAUGUUGGAUUGAUGUUUGGUUGAACUCCGGAUUCUGACGUGGCCGGUACUGUUCAUCAUCGGCUUCGAUUUUCAUUUUUUUUUAUUUUGUGAUUUUGACUUGUUGCGCGCGUUGGUGUGUUCCGGAACAUAGUAGAGCGACGUAAACUGAUCCGUUAGUCCUGGCGAGAGCUGGGCAGGCAGUCCGCGUUCGCCUUAGGGGAAGGUGGGGCUGUCACAAAAUUUGAUAAGAAACAAAAAAUGAGAUAAAAGUGAGCGGUUGUGGCAUUAAAUAAUUUGGGUUAAAGAAAAAAAAUUCUUUUUUAACUUUUUUAAUUUAAUGGACAAAAACAAAAUUGAAAGAUGGAAGAAAAUAUCAAUAAAUUAAAAAUAAAGAGGUUUGAUUAGAAAAAAGUGACAAAAGAAAAGAUGAUGGAGAGAGAGAGAGAGAGAGAGUUGAAAAUUAAAAAAAAAGAGUCAUGAGAGGAUGAGAUUUUGUAAGAAAAAUGGAACAAAAGAAAUAUGAGUAUUUGUUUUAUAUAAAUAAGUUAUCAAAAAAAACUAACAAGAUGUGAUGGUGCAAUGGUUACUACAUUGGUCUUCUAUUACAAAGAUCUUGAGUUCGAAUCUUGAUAGCUGCAUUUUGCAAAACUAAAAAAAAAAAAAAAGACGAAAACUUGAAAACCGGAAACCUCCGGUUCAAAUCCGGUUCGGCGGUUUUCGCGGUUCAACCGGUUUUUGACCGGUUUUCUGCCAAAGUCAACCCUAGCAUUGAACCGGACCGGUACCAUGGCCGGUUCGAGGUUCAACCGGUCGAAUCGGCCGGUCCGGUCCGAUUUUCAAAACACCGUGGGAAACUGUGAUUUUGAAGCCGAGUUGAGCUAGUUAAUAUUCUUUUGUAUAGCUCCUCGAUGGUUGGAAAAUCUUAAGUGUAUUUUGAUUUAACAUUUCCUUUUGAGUUGUAAAUUUGAAACCAUACGUGUAUAAACGUGUUUGGAAAUGUUCAUGUGUUACUUUGGUUUAUCAAAGUCUAAUUUCAGGGUUUAUAUGAUUUGAUGGUAAUCAGUAGGGGAUUGUAACGUGGCCAGCACUAUUCAUGUGCUGCUCCAAUUUUCUUUUUCCAUUUCGCGAAUUUUGAACCGUUUAAGCGCGCUAAUAUUUUCCAAAACGUUUUAGAUUAUAUAUAACCGUCUUGGUAGUUCUGGCGAGAGUUGGGCAGGUAGUCCGCUAACCCCUUUGGUACACCCUAGGGGAAGGUGAGGCUGUCACAUAUUGCCACUGAAUAUAUUUUGCUUGGACAUGUCAAUGCUAAUAUGUAUGGUACUUGUUUUGUCUUUUGCAUUUGGUUUUGAUCCGCUUGAUAUGUACAGUAUCUUUAUGACUUGAUGUAUGAACUUGGUGUGUUAUAACUAUACUAAGCAUGAUUCCUUAUCUUUGACUUUGUGAUUUGAAAAUGUCUUUAUCUUCCCGCUUUAGCCGAUUUAUUUUGUUUAUGUACUAUAUAGCCAAUUUUGACAAAAAAUAAAAGAGAGAGAGAAGGGUGUGGAGGGAAGACGUAAUCAUGGAUGUGGGGUUAGUUGUGGCCAUGGGGCUAGGUAAUCGCAAGAACCAGGGAAUGAAAGAGAAACGGUAGCCGAGCAAGAUCGUGGACCAAGGGUCGAAGUAGGGGACCAAGUAGCGACGGCGAUACAACAAAUGACCAAUAUCUUAGCACGAUUGGUAAAAAUCACAAGGCCAAGCUCCAAUAAAUCAACCUAGGAGCCUUGAAUAGGAGAGGAUAUGGUCCUAGAGCAUUUUCAAAAGUUUUCUCCACCAAACUUCCUUGGAGGGCCUGAUCCGGAGACAGUUGAGCAUUGGUUGGAAGCGAUAAUUAAUAUCUUUGUAGCUUUGAACUACACGGAGAAAAGACAAGUGAACUUUGUUGUAUUUCAAUUUGAAAGAUCGGCCCGAGCAUGGUGGAAUGUUAUUAGGGCAAAGUAGGAGGGAGAACAAACUGCAUGGAUUUGGGUAAAUUUUAUAAGGAAAUUUAAUGAGAAAUACCUCCCGCCUUUGGUCCAAGAGGACAAUUUUAUUAGGUUACAUUAGGGAACCCUAAGUGUGGCCGAGUAUGAAACACAAUUCACUAAACUAUCUAAAUUUGCUCCUGAAUUGGUUGUUACGGAGUGGAGAAGAGUGAGACGGUUUAUACAAUGAUUGAAUCUGCAGAUCCAAGAAGCUUUAGUGGUGGUUCAGAUUAAUACUUUUACGGAAGUUCUUGAGAAAGGUCAAAGGAUUGAGAAUGCAAAGGCACAAGUAAAAACUUUCCACACAUGCAAGAGGAGUGCACCUAGUCGUAUACAUGAGGAAUCUAGAGAAAAUGUAACGCCUUCCAAAGUAAAAAGAGCGAACCAGUCACCUUACCCACCAUAGACACUAGGAACACUAGAAGAAGGUUCUACAAGAGGAAGUCAAGUGGGAAAAAGGCAACAAGAAGAAAUUCCUCGAGAAGGCCAAAAAGUGGCUCCUCGCUUGGCUUAUGGAUACUAUGGAAAGGCAAAUCACACUGAGGAUGAUUGUUGAAGGAAUGGUGAAAAUGCUUGGUUUGUGGGACUACCGACCAUCAAAUUAGCAACUGCCCAAAGAAGCAGCAACUAGGGAAUGAUACUCAACAAGGGAAUAAAACUACCCCUAAACAAGCUAACGAAAUAGGGAACAGACCAAGAGUACUAGCGUGGGCAUAUGACGUAGACAAGCAACAGGCUCCAGAAUUAUCUGAGGCGAUGGAAGGUAAAAAUUUCGAAAACAAAAUUUUGUUAAGGGAGAGAGAGUGUGAGGACCCGAAAAUUAUUUUUAAAUUUUCUCCUAUUUUUGAAAAAUUUAAUUUAUAUUUCCUUUUAAUUUUACUUUACUUGCUCAUUUGCUAGCCUUAAUUUGAUAGUAAUUUUAUUGGUUGAGUCAAGAUUGAUAUCAUUCCUCUUUUAUAUUUUAAUGCAUGUUAAGUUCCGUUGUACAUUAAGGUAGUGUGACCAACUAGUGAGGUGCGCAAUAUAAAUUGUGAGGAAAUGAGGGAGUUUUGUGCAAAGGUGUUUUUGUAAAAAAAAAAAAGAGUAUUAGGAGAUAUUUGAGGAAAAGAAAGAUAUUUUGGUGGAAAUAUUUGUGACUUUGCCGUUUGUCAAACAUCCAUACAAGGUCUUGACCAAGAUCAAACUUUUCCAAACCAACCAAGUGUUAUUUCACUAGAAUCUUCCUCUUGCUUCUUUGGGUUUCCUCUUGGGCGAAAAUUAGAGAGAAAAAAGUGAGUAGAACACAACUUCUAGUCUUAAGUUUCUUGUCCAACUUAGUGAGGAAGAAAAAAAAAACAGAGAGGAAAACAUCUUGCACUCCACAAAUCUUUGAAUCAAGUUUGGAGGGAAGUUCUUGGAGGGAGAAACUUGUGAUCAUUUCUUGGUUACUCACCAUUUUUUUUUGUGGGGAGAAAAAGAGGUAAACUUGCUAGAAAACCUAUCUUUUGUUUCUUAUAGUUUAUAUAUGGUGCAAUUAGAGUUUAAAGGAAGGAAUUUAUGGAGGGUUUCCUUUAAUUUUCAAGUUGGUAGUUAAAUUUCCCACUUUAAGGAAUGUAGUGAACAACUUAGUUUAGAGCUUUUUCUUUGAAGUUGUGAUGGAUUUUCUUGCCAAGAAAAUAAGUCAUAAGCCUCAUGACAUGUUAGUUAUAAGAUAUAGUGCAUUUGCCAUGGAAUUAAGUGGGAAAGUUGGAAUUUUUUAUGGAGAUUUUGCUGGAAAAUUUCUGUUAUUGCUGGCCGAGAGGGAAAGAAGGAAUUUUAGCUUUCUUUUCAGAAAUUUUGUGGUGAUUUUAAUAUAUUCUUGUUCAAUACAUUUGUUAAAACCUUUUUCUUCAUAUGUAUGUUGAUUUUGAGCCAAAACAAAGAGGUUUAAGAGGGGAAAAACCUAGUUUUUCAAACUAAUAGAUUGCUGGAAAUUUUCAUAGGGAGCCCUGCGCAGCUUUGGGAAGUUGGCUAUAACUUCGUAUAGGAAAGUCGGAACUGAGUUCUGUUUGUUGCAUUUGAAACUAGACUCAUAGAGAUUUUAAAGGUAUAAAAUUUAGGGUUUGAUUCGACUCUUAUAAAUACCAGCAAAUUUGCAAAGUUUCUUAAAAACCAUGACUGUUCUGUUCUUGCACAUGAGAUAGUAGUGAGUUUGAACUGAAAAUUUGACUAAUCUAUGAGCUGAAUUUCAUGAAGAUGUCUUCUAAAUCCUGUUAUGCUUGGAGUCUAUUUUCUAAUGGUGUAAGUUUUGUGAUUUUUCGACUUACGGAACUCAAGUUAUACUUUUUCAAAGAAUGUCACCAAAGCUGGAAAUUUUAUCAAAUGGAUUGAGUGGGACUUGGAAAACUUCAGAAAACUUUUCUGGGUUUUAAACCUAACCUUCUUUGGUUAAAUCUUGCGUAUUUUGAUUUGAAAUACUUGAUGAUAUGUUAACCUUAGCAUGCAUGAAAUAUUUCACUUGAUUUAAACUUGAUUUAAAUAAGAAAUCGUGACCCUUUUAGUCUUCUGAUAUUAGGGUUAAACCUAUAGUUUUUGUGGUUGCUAAGUGAAGCAUCAAAUCUCAUAUUUUCUCAUUACCUUGGCUUUAAGUUACUAGAUGCCUGAUGGAUUACAUGAUCACAGGACUUGAGAAUAUUCUACAGGAGGAACUAGGAUGACCAAUUGGUGAGGUCAAGUGGUGAGUGUUCCAUGCAUGUUUGCUUCAAAUGGCUAUGUGAAUUGUUGUGAAUGUUUGUUUGAAUGUUAAAUGUUUUUAAAUGAUUGUUGAAUGGAUUUUCAAUAGGCGAGUGUGUACUUUAUAGCACUCGAUCUAAGUGAAUGUGAAAUUUUCAAUGAUUAAAUGAUUAUGUUACCUGUGCAUGAAUAUAAGCCUUUGGCUGAACUGGGCCCUUGCCCUUCGUUGCCAGUCAACUCGAGCCAAAAAGGGACUCGGUUGGAAGGCUGGUGACCCUAGGACAGUGUUUUGGUGUACUCAAGUAUUACCACGAAGUUUGAUAGAGAACUGACCAGUGAAUGAAAUGCAAUAAAUGAAAUGAUCACUGAAGGAGUUUUUAUUUGCAAAUGUGUUUUCAAAAUUUGGAGGUAUAAGGGAGAAAUGGUCGGAGAUUGAAUAACUGACUGAAUGAAUGGCUCCAAGUGAGCACAUAUCCUUCCAAGGAUUGAAUGUUUAUUUCUUGAAUGACUGUUAUUACUGUGCAAAGUGUGCAAACUGUUAAAUGCACUACUUCCGUGGUUUUUUUCUACCUGAUUGCUUGUUUGGGAACCUCACUGGGCUUUUAACUCAUUCUUUUAGUUUUGUUUUCCUUACAAGAGUGGAGGCCGGAGAAAGUAAGCAUGAACUGGCAUAUAUAAUAUUUAUGUACUUGUACUUUUGUAGAUGAAAUGUAUUUGGGAUCUUUGGCAAUGUACCCCUAUGUUACACUUUUGGGUUGUAAAUUAAGUUGGAAUUCUUGGAUGAAUGGAACUUCUAUGUUUAUCUAGAGACAUGAAAGACUAUUUCAAGAUUGUUAGUGAGUGAUUCCUGGUGAGAGCCAGGUAGGCAAUCCACCAAACCCUUGGAUUCGCCCUAGGGGGAGGUGGGAUCGUCACAGACUAAGUACUCAGUGCUGAUGAAGGUAUGUAACCAUUAAGAGCGAAUAAAUACUUAAUAAAUGUGUAUAUGUUAUACCAAUGUAUAAAGAAUGAUUAGUUUUCAUGAAAUUUGAAUGCUUAUGUGUAUACCUAUUGCAAAUGUGUAAUUGUAUAUAUGUGUAACAUACUCGGUCCAACAAGGGCUGUAUGUUUUACUAACUAAGCAAGUUGAUGCUCAUCCCAAUACUUUAAUAUUUUUACAGAGAAUAAGUAUGUAUACGAGUUUGUUAAGGCUGAUGGUGAUUGGGAUUGCUAGAGCUGGAUUGUUGUUAGAUUAAUCAAAUAGUGAUUGAAUAAAUAUUAAGUUCCCAUUUUCGAACAAAGUACAGGUUUGGAGCAUGACACUUCAGGUGGCAAGCUUCUUCAAGAUCAUAUUGGUAGGAUUGUGUUUGAUUUCUACAAAGAGUUUGGGCAUCUUGUGUGUUAGAAGCUAAAGCAAAAGCUUUCUCAAUUGGGUGUGUGUGGACAUUGAUUCACAACUGUGUUAUCUCAUUAGUUCAAAUAAGCUCUCGGAAUGGCCUCUACGCAACAUAUUAACCAAGAAUCGGUUUCAAUUAUCGCAACUAUCAAGGAUGGGUUUGUAAGACUUGCCUCUUUUAGAGGCAAUUACAACCCACAUGAUUGAUUCUAAAAUGAUUGCUAUCCUGAUUAAUUGAUUGACAUUUUGUCAAUAAUUAAUUAGUAUAUCCUUUUAUUGUCAAAACAAUAUUGUAUUAUAUCAUUAACUUGAUAAUACAAGUUUUAGUUACAAAAAGGAACAACUGUCCCAUAGUCUUUUUGUGCAAGAUCUUUGAUCCACACUGGGAAGCUAAUGUCCCAUAUUAUAUCAUUAACUAGCUUACAUGCAAAUUUAGCUAGCCUAUGACAAAAUUCAUUUCUUGAUCUAUGAACAAAAGAGAAAUUGCAUUAUUCCAAUAGCUCUCUCAUCUGCAAUAUGUCUUCCAGUAUCAUUUCAACAAUGCUGUCUUUACUGUUUCUGCUAAAAUUUUCUGAGCCUGCUUAGGUCCGCCCCCUCCCCCUUAGUAUAGAAUAUAUUAGGUUAUACAACUGUUGUCGUCUCUGAAAAAAAAAAAGAAAAGAAACUGCAAAAUAAGUUCAAGUAUCAAAAUUUGGUCAAAAAUAAAAAUUAGUGUCUAAAUGGGGCAUAAGAAAAAAUGUUUAGGAACCAAAUUGGCCAUUAAAGGUAUAAAAUUAAUAAGUUACUUUUGAAACUUCGACUGUAUUAUGCAUCUUUUAGACAAAAAAAAGGAAAAAGGAAAAACAAUAGCACAAGUUGGCCACACUUUUAUUCUUAGUUUUACAAAAAUGUAUUAUAAGUUAUAAACUUGUGUUGCAAAAAAAAAUUUUAAAUGACAACUAAACAAAACAGUGGAAAAAAAAAAGAAGAGAUGUAGUUGAAGCACAAACAACUAAACUUUCACCCCACCUUUGUUGGUUUAUUUGAAAUGGUUUUUUUUUUGUCAUUUGCAAAAUUCUUUCCUUACCAGAAGUUUUCCAAAACAAAGACAUCACCUUUUAAAUCCUAAAAUUUAUUAAUUAUGAUAACUUUAUCCUUACUAACGAUUGCUCAUUAGUCGAACCAUAUUUUUCAAACCCAUGCGAAUAAUACUCAAUUCUCCUCUUUUGAAUUACUCAAAACAUACACCCUCUUUAUGAAUAUUGAAACUUCCGGUAGCCAUAUUCUAAGUUCUCCCAGACACUUGAUAAUGGUAUUAUAGAUGGCGAGUAAAUGCUGCAUAAUCUAGUUUCAGUCUCAGAGAAGUAAGGGAAUAGUUUGCCGGCCCCUUGACUACUAGAACUAAGAAUACUAACUGAUUUGCAAAAAAGAAAAAAAAAGAAUAGUUAUUAAUUUGUUGCGAUUACAAUAUUAACAUGCACAGAAGAAUAAACUUGGUCCAGAAAUAGCCCGCCAUUUUGUUGUUCCAUUAAUCCAACAGCAAUAAUAUUUUCAAUUUUGUUUAACUCAGCAUAAUAGAUUGAUGGUAAGUCGAUAAAAUAGAAUGAUUAAUUAAUGAAUUAUCAGUAGUAAUAAAUAACAAAUUAACAAAUUAACCUUUCUUUCUUAGGCGGUCUCUAACAUGUGACUGUUAAUGUGAAUAGUAGUAUAACUUUUAAUUAGUUUAUAUGUACUUAAAUUGUUGAAUUUUUAAAUUAAAAAAAUUUAUUAGUAAGAUAUAUAAAUAUUCUAGUAGUAUAGAGUUUAUGGAAGAUUACUAAGAGUGAAUUUAAGAAAUAAGCAAAUUACAAAAAAAGGUUAAAGAAAAUUAAAAGAUUAAGUGUAAGUAAUAUAGCAAUACAGGGAAAGAAUUAGCACUGACACAAUAGAAGGGCAUAAAAAGAAGAAAAUGAAUGGAUAGAAGUAAAAAAAAAUCAAAGGAAAAAGAAAAGGGAAAAACGAAAAAGAUUAGCAAAAUAAAAAAACAUAAAAGUUAAUAUGGCAGGGUUAGUUUUGUUCAAAUAUAUCAUCACGAGGGGCAAAGUUCCUAUUAAAAGAAAAAAAUUGUUGGGGGUAAAUUCAAGCUUAGUGUUUAGUUUUGGGGGGGGAGGGGGGUUUACUACAUUUAAUCCUUGUGUGUGUGUGUGAAAAAGUUUAAAUGGAUUCAACCCAUAAGAAUUCUUACUAAUGGUCAUUAACAUAAUUCUUAUAUUAACAACAGAUUUGAUACACUAUCUUUUGUAUGAAAAUUAUUUAUUCUUACUAUAGUUGAGCCAACUUUUAGCGGCAACCCUCCUUUUAAACUUUUGUUUUGCAAGUGGCGAGUCCGUUGACUAUUGACAUUGAAUUUGUUUGGAUAGGCCAUUAUUUGGGUUUUUUGAAAUAGUGCUACAGAAAAGUGUUUGGAUAACAUUUCAAAUAACACAAAUAAUUAAGGUUCUAUCCCAAAACUUCCCGUACACACGUGGAAUCAGCUUGUCAACGCUGGUGCUGAAGUGUGCAUCCACGUGGAAAUUCCUUGGGACCUCUGGAUGGUCCACGCACGUUCUCAUCUGUAUGUGUAAGACGGGAAUUUGGAGAACACUAUGCAUUUUUUUACCAUUGGUGCUAUUGAAGAAGAAGAGUAAAGGUAAAGUUGCUCUGGUUGCUUCCAAACCUGCACAGAAUUUAUUUUCUUAGCUUUUCUCCUCCAUUUAUGCGCUGACUGUCUUCUCCCAUCCAGAAGUAAUCAGAUACACCUUUUAUCUUUUCCCACGGGUAGAUAGCUAGCAAAUUCGGAUCUUGGAUUCGAUUCACUACUAUCACAAAUCCAGCUGAAACUAGGAGAGUAACCCACUGAAAGUGCUGUUUUAAAAGCUAUCCAACACGAUACAAUACCUCUCCCUAAAGGUACUUUUCUCACAUAAACCGAGCUGCUGCUAAAUAGUUGGAGCAGUAUUUUGGUGCCGGGUUGCUCGUUGCACGGUUCAUCACCAUCUUCAAUUGUUUUUUCCUUGUCAUCAGCGCCGUUCGAGCAUGAACACAAAGCUUGAACAAAGUGCUAUUAUUUGAGGGGGUGUGAGAAAUUGAAUUCGGUAAGCAAUCAUCCUCCUUACCGACUGCAAUUUUUUGUUUGACUUGUGUCUCUAUUUGGAAGUCUGGACAAGUUACCAUAUGUACCAAAAAUUGUGAACACGAAACUAUAAUCUGAUGAAAUUUGAGCUCUCUGUGUUAGGGUUUUGUCGAUUUGUUCUUUUACUCAUUAGUUUCAAAUUAAUGUCAGUGGUUGUGUGGAAGAACACUUUCUAGAUUUGUGAAAUAAAUAACUAGCAAGCAUACACUGGACUCUAUUCUCUAACCGUUGGUUCUUUACCUUGCUUAGGUUCUGAGGAGGGGAGGAUCUCCCCCUUUGCUUUCUUCCUACAUCGUUGCUUAUUUUGAUAGGACUUGAGCAGAAUUGUUAUCUAUGUAGAAGUUAUUUAAAUCAUUUCCCUGCUCGGCUCGGCUCUGCUCGUGAAUGAUUUUAAGUUUGUUUUGCAGUAUAAAUAUUUGGUUUCUUAAUUUCCUUGGAACUCUUGUAUUCUAAUAAAUACUACUACUCCCUGUUUUAGAAUUAUCAUUUCCUAAAAAUUGUCAUCAUGCUCAUUUGGCUUGUGGGCUGAAUUCCUAUUACCUAUUUUAGUACGUGAAUUAUUAGGAUUCGUUUGAAUAGGCAUUACUCUCUCCAGUUAAUACUCUCUCUAUUUUAUUAUUGAUAGUCUUAACCGUAUUACGGGGAAAUAGUCAUUGUACCCAUAGUCCUGUGUUAAUACUACUAUUGUGUUUCCCUUCUUUGUGCAUGAUUCAUGAAAGUGGUUUGAUUGGCUAAAAAAAAAGUUUAUACUCUCUCAUGGUAGCCCUCAAAUGACAUUUACAUAUAUCAGUACAAGCACCUUCUACAGCUCGCAUUGACUGAUGCCUGCAUUUCUAGCAAUAUGGAACCGUAACCUAUCCUGCACUUAGGAGUGCUUCUAUUUUUACAUGUUUUGUUGUCCUGAAGUUGAAUUAUACCCCAAGAAGGAGCAUCUUUUUUGUCAGUUUCUUGUUUUCUUGAGACAACAUGCUCUGCUCUAUGUGUAAUGAUGUCAAUGGGAAAAACAUUUGUCAAUAACACAGUGGUUCUUCUAAUAAUGACUGACCUUGAUGUUGAAUUGGUUUAGGCAGAACUUUUGUCUAGUGGGGUAGAUUUUGAGAUUCUGGCUCUGGAUUUGAAAUUGUUUGGUCUUGAUCCUUGUGAACGAGCCUACUGGUAUCGUGGUUGCACACUUUUUAAAACUUUAUAAUCCUUAUGUGACAGCCCCAUCUUCCCCUAAGGCAUACCAAAGGGGUUAGCGGACUGCUUGCCCAACUCUCGUUAGGACUCCUAAGACAGUUAUAUACAUUCCAAAACGUUCCGGAAUAAAUUAGCGUGCUUAAACGAUCCAAAAUUUGCGAAACGGAAUAACGAAAAAUGAAAUCGCACAUGAAUAGUGUCGGCUACAUCACAAUCCGGCCGGAAUCUGACUGGAUUUCCAACCGGAUUCUUGGCCAGAUUGGAGGCAGUGGCCAACCUCAUGGAUUCAAAAAAAUCCAUGACAAUCCAGCCAGCAAUCCGGCCAAGAUUUGGCCGGAUUUGCGGCCGGAUUCCUCUGUGUCCUUUCCCGCCAAUUUUUUUUUCUUUUGUCGUUCAAAAUCCGAUCCUAUCCGAAACCUAACCAAUUACCAUCAAAUCAUAUAAACCUUGAAAAUAGACAUUUACAACCGAAUAUAACACAUGAACAUUACCAAACAAUUUUAUACACGUAUAGUUGCAAAUUUACAACUCAAAAGGGAAAUGUUGAAUCAAAAUACAUUUAAGGUUUUUCCAACCAUCGAGGAGCUUUACAAAAGAAUAUAUUAAAGCUAGCUCAACUCGUGCUUCAAAAUCACAAUUCCAAAAGGUGGUUUCAUGUAAGGAAAACAAAGGCAACGGAGUGAGCUUUCGCCCAAUGAGAUACCAUCACGCAAAUAAACAAAGUUCACAUAAGCACAAAGUUACUCAAUCCAAAUACGUUCAACAAGUGAGCCGAACUAACACCACAUUUCAAAAAAAGGAUACAGACGGCUCUCAAGAGCCCUUUUCCUCACUUGCCAUACUUGAUCUCGCCCCGUUGACUCUUAAAGAGUAACCAAUACUGUAGACUCCACUUUUCUCCAAUUUUUCAUUCACCUCACAUACCCCUACUAGGCCCAAACUCCAACCAAUUAAGAAAUGGUAAUACUCGAGUAUACCAGAAUCAAGAGUCUCAUACCCAAUAAUUCCACAAAAGCAGUCCCCAUGGCUUGUCAAUUUCCUCAACCAUGCUCUUGCUGGCUCGAUUCAAUUAACCACCAAUGGGGUUGAGCUCAGAAUUAAUAGUAAAAGUCGUUGGAUACACGUACAAACGACACCAGUUCAAGUAUAAUCAAGAGAAUUCAAGUGAUACCGGAAACAGUUAAAUAAGCCAUAGAGUAUGAGAGUGAUAAAAUAUACCCUCGUCUCAUCCAGUAUCAUCAGUAAACACAAGCAUACCAAUCAUAGAUUUCAAGUAUAACAAAGCCAUGAAGUAACAAUCAUGUGAGUAGUACACUCACCAAUCAAACAAAGAGAUUUGACAAAUUUCCGCCCAACAAGCGCCUUGAGUCACCGGCACGCCCUAAAACAUUCAAGGAAAUACAAUGAGACUCGAAUACGAGUCAUAAACCCAAACCACACAUUACUAAUGUAAAGCCAAAAGAACUUGAAAGUAAAAUGAGGAACACUUGGUGCUAAAGGUUUAGACAACCCCAAAGUCACUCAUUAACACUCCAAACAAGCCAAUUAGCAUGAAAUCACCUAGACUUAAAGAUUGGACAGCAUUUCCUCUUAAAAUUUUAGAUUUUCACCCUACAAACAAUCAUUUAUAUUCCUCCAACACAACCACAAUUACAAUUGCAAGUCAUAAGCCAUUCAAUACCCCUUAUUAGGGUUACAAUACCCUCUAAACAAAGCCAAAUCAAGAGUUCCAUAACAACCCUAGAAAGCCCCAAAUUGCAACCCUAAAUCUGAAAUUUCCACUUUGUACGGAAAUUUUUCGCAAAUAACUACAAUUAACACACAAAAUCUUCACUUUGGACCAUAUCAAGCCAUCAUCCAUGGCCAACUAACACUUAUCAUAUAAAAUCAGAAAAAUCAUGAAUAAAAUCAGAAAUUUAUCAAACUCUACUAAAAGUCAUGAAAUCUUCCACAAAACAACUUUUUUAACUACCACAAGUCACGAAUAACCCAUUAUCAAGAACAAACUAAGAAUUACUACACACCAUACCUUGACACCUCAAGAAAGAUAGUAGCUUAGGUUUCUUUCUGUGAUGGCCCCACUUCCCCCUAGGGCGUAUCCCAAGGUUCGGCGGGUCACCUGUACAACUCUCACCGGGACUCACUCACUCACUCAUAAAACUAGAAAAUAGAUUCACGCCAAAAGAAAAUUCUGUCUGAAUGAUUACAUCUUCAAAAGUUGCACAACCUAGUACAUCAAGUCAUGCAUACCACGAGUACCAGAAAGUAAACCCUAGAAAAGCUGAUAACUACAACCAUCACGACAACUAUACACACCUUACUUGUCAACUUAUAACAAGUACAAGUUCAACUCGUCUAUAAUCAAAACACUAAACACCUUCCCGAGCGAUCCCCGCGUCGGCCCCCUACUAAGGAAAACAAAUGGAAAGGGGUAAGUUAUAUGCUUAGUGAAUAAUCAGGGGUAAAAAUGUAAACUCACAUCAUUAAACAAGUAAAUCAGGAUAAUUCACAUCAAUAACAGAAAAGUAGCAUCACAAUAGUAGGAUACGGGUGGCUCCAAAACCAGUUCAAUUCCCCGAGCUUGAACGCCUGUUGACACUCCGUCAACCAAAGUUCUCAUGGUCCGUAGACUCCACUUAAACUUUUCCGUUCACCUUAUCAACCCCCGCUGGCCAAUCAACAGCACACAGCAACUCAAACGAAUUAAAAUAACUUAAUUUUCGUCAAAGCUUUAACAAGGAACUAAAUCCCAAGUUUAGCAUGGAACUAUCUUCGACCAAACCCCAGCUGGCUCGAAUAGUUCGUCUAACCCUUGGAACCGAGCCGGAACCAAGUCCUGAGAUAUCCGAUCUCUCAAUAGAUGGUAUCUCUCAACCAGUACACAACAAAGUACUUACCCCAAACAGCACAUAGCAAACGGGGUUUAAUUCAAGUCAUGUAAACACUCCCAUCAGCACACAACAAAAGGGUGAUACUCAAGUCACGUAUUCACCCUCCUCAGCACACAGCAAGAGGGUGAUACUCAGGUCACGUAUUCACCCUCCUGGUGAUACUCAAGUCAUGUAUUCACCCUCCUCAGCACACAGCAAGAGGGUGAUACUCAACAUAAAGCAUGCAUUCUCACAUAGGAAAUCAAAACAAAUGAUGGACUCAGGUCGAGUGAGAUAAAGUACACCCUCGCCUAAGUACCCAUUUAACAUAUACAAGAUACUUUAACAAUUCCACAUCAAUAAACAACCCAAUUACUCGCUUGAUAAAGCUUGGCAUGAAAAACGAUACAAGUUACUGAGCUUGACCGUCACCGUCAAAAGCCUCACAGUCUGUAUAGACAGAUUAUAUACACUCAUAAGUGAAACGGCUAUACAAUAGCAGUUUAUAACUUAAACGAUCGAAUAUGGUCGAAAACGGUCAAAAUAAUCAAAAAACGAUACAAAACGGGUUACACGAUUUUGACCAUAAUUGAAGUUGUGGUUAUCGGAUUAAAAUGUACUAGAUAGUGUCUCAAAACUUAAACAAAAGGUUACAACUUCCAUGACGACAACUCGACCCAGUUUUUAGUGCAUUCAAGUUAAAUUUACAAGAUAGAGAACUAGAACUCCAAAAGCUAGUUUUAUCUUUCUCAUGAAAAUUUGGCGGCAUGCCCCUUGUGUUUACCCAUUUUCCAGCCAUUUAUGGCUUCAAUAUUUUCCUCAAACAAAUCCAAAGUUACAUUCACAACAAUCUCAUUUCAAUAGCUGUUCAAUAGGCUCAAGACAAUACAAGGACAAAAAUCAAGCCAACAACAAGUGCGGAAAUGAGCUUUAGUAAAAGACAGAUUUGAUAGGGUUUUUGCGUAACGGACACAAUCGAGGCUACGCUUAUUGGAUUGGAAUACAGUUUGUACCGUUUUGAAGCUAAGACAUAGGGCUACAAUUCUCAUGAAGAUCACUUAAUCAAAUUUCUAGUGCAUCCCAGUCAAAUCCCCAGUUCACAGAACCAAAUUCCAACUAGUCGGCUAAUUAACCAUACUACCUUUUAAUGGCCAUAUCUCAGGCUAUCAAAGUCCGUUUAAGGCGUUCUUAGAGGCGUUAAAAAGCUAAGACAGAGUACUAAAACUUUCAUGUUUUGGAAAAUGGCUAAAUCAGCAUGGAUCAUAGUGAAUAGACACGGUCAAUUGGAUGAACUGUCUAAAAUGGAUCACUGGAAUCAUCCCAGGGCAGCGAGGGUAUUUUGGUCUUUUCAUAGGAUACGUUGCUCCGAUUGAGUUGAAAUUUUGUAGGAAACUAUAAAAUAUCAUUUUUUACAACUUUUAUGUUUUGUGCCAAGCCUAAUUCGGCCUCUAACAUAGGGCACUAAAACCGGACAGAACUGAAGCAUACAAUUCCAGAAAUCUGGAAUUUUGGGAUUUCAAGGGCAAUCUCUUCAUUUUCUUGAUUCAAUCACUACCACAACCUCUUAUACAAGCCUAUAUAGAUCAUAUACCACUCCUACAACAAGUAUAAGAAGGAAAUUAGUCAAACCCUAUGAUGCGGAUACGGGUGUGCAGCAACUUCAAUCUUGGGUCAAGGAUCCUUUGGUCAACAUUGGUGGUCCGAUGACAAGAUCAAGAUCCAAGAAGGUGAAGGAAGCUUUACAAGCCUUGAUCAUUCACCAUACAAGCAAGGAGCAAGCUAAGUUUGAAGAUUUGAUAGACCAUGAAGUUACCUUGUUCACUUGUACGUUUGAAGUGAAAGAAUGAUCUCAUACUUGUUAGCUUAGUUGGUAGUUGUCUUAAGAUUGCCUAGUUUAGUAGUUGUUAGUCGUUGAGUAUUUUAUUACUUAUUGGGCCUUAUCGGGAAGACUUAAAGAGCUGGCUAUUUUAUUACUUAUCGGGCCUUACCAGGAAACCUUAUAGAGCUGGCUCUUUAUGCGAACCGAAUUCCUAUUCCAGGUUUAUUUGGGUCGGAUUUACCCUAGUUUUAGCCUAUAAAAGGCACCUAUUGUAUGAGCGAGAGGACAGAUUAUUACAACCAGAAAUCGUGAGGAAUUUUCCUUCAAAUUCUUAUUCGAACUUACUCUUGAAUUCUUGAGUUCAUAGCUUAGGAUUCAAAUCAGACUUUAUCGAUUAGUUUGUUCCCUAAUCGUGGUGUCUCUUCAUCCUUCAUUAUUUGCUUAAGGUUGCUGAUUGCCUUUGUGUGUCAGAGGUCUUGAGUUCAUGAGAACAAUCGAGUUCAAUUUUCAUUGGGAGAAAAUAUCCAACUCUGAUAAUUACAAGGUUGGGAGGGUCUAGGAGGGUCUUCCCCUAGGUUUGCUCAUCAGUUGGUAAUCAGAGCGUCAGGUUAAUUUCUCUUUUAAUUGAAGUUGUUCAUAUCUUGUUCGUUUAUGUCUUUUGUCCAAAAAAAAAAACUGUAGCGAUUACUUUUCAUCAUUAGUGUAUCGAAUACUAUUCAUCGUACUGUAGCGUACUGUUCAUGUUACUGUUCAUCCGAGUAAAAAAAAAAUCUGUUUGGGUGUUGUCUUUUUUUUUUUGUGUUUUCUAUCCAAGUUCUUGGGUCUGUUAUACUUGUGUUUGGGUUGUUAGGGUUUAAAGACAAAAAAAAAAAAAAAAGAGUCACGUACCUUAUAUUGUUUUAGUGUCCAAGUUGCUAGCGUAUUGCUGGAAUUUUCUUUUGAGUAUUGCUGAAAUUCUGUUUUGCCUAUUUCUUGAGUAUUGGUUGUUGUUCUUGCAAACCCUAGACACCACAACAUAAUUUGGGGAAGUUCUUGAGCUCCUUGAACAAAAUUCUUGAAGUUCUUGAACCACCAAGUCUUAUUUUGAAAGUUCUUGAACAAUAAAUCAAGAACUAGGGUUUUCUUGGAAUUUGCAUAACCUUUCAUCCGUUUCUUGAACUUGUUGGUGUGACUGAAUUUGUGUUCCUUGAAGAGCCGAAGCAAAAAAAAAAAAAAAAAAAAAGGAGAACAAAAAAAAAAAGGAAGAAGAAAAGGAAUCGGCUCUCACACAAAGGAAAUCAAGUUUUCCAAAUCUUCGCUUCCUCAGCUUCCGCAUUUUGUGCGGGCUACGGUAUGCCUAGACAGCCGCGAGUUCUCCUCCCUGCGUUGGCAACCCGGAUAGGUCUUGAAUCUGUGAUAGGCUUAACUUACGUACUUCAAGGUUUCAUCGUACUGUGUACUCCUCUGGUUCCAAUCAAUAUAAGUAAAUUCAUUUAAAAAAAAAAGUUUUCCAAAUCUUGAGUUUCCAAUUCUUGAUUGGUCUCCAAUUCUUGAUUAGUCUCCAAAUCUUGAUGGGUUUCCCAAAAACUUGAGUCUCCAAAUUUUCAUUGGUUUCCAAUUCUUGAAUUUCCAAUCUUAAUUGAAUUUCAACGACCCCAAACUACCUAACCAGACCCCAAGCACCCCAAAUCAAUUUCCAAAGCCAAACCUAAACUACCACAAACACCUUAGCCAAACCGCCUUUGAAUUCUUGAGUUUCUAAAAUCGGUUAAGCUAGUUUUUGCUAACUAAUUUGACUGAAAUUUGAGGACUGGUUCUUGCAUUAUUUGAACAUCCCAAAAGCACCACUUACCCUCCAAAAUACUGACUAGAAACUCAGCAAAAUAGCUGCUCAAAAAAAAAAAACUCCAGCUUCGGGUAGAGUUUUUCUAGGAUUUACAAAAUUCUGCUUUGUGUCUUAUUACUUGCUUAUAGGGUAAUUAAUUCUGAAAUUUUUGAGAGUUUGAGUUGUUUUAAGAACUUUGAGGAGGGAAAAUUGAGAGUGAGUGUGUUUUCCUUGAGUGAUACACGAGUGCUUGCAAGGUAGACUAGGAUACACUUGUUUUGCAGGUUGGACAAUAUGUCUCAAGAGGGGAACAUGCCUGAGCCAUCUGAGACCGACAUGUCACUCAAACUGGUGCUUCAAGCUCUUCAAAAAUAAGCGGAGAGACAUGAAGUUGUAAUGCCACAAUUAUUAGACAGAUUGGCUGCCAUUGAGAUGCGAGGUACCGGAUGUGACGACCCCACCUCACCCUAAGGCGUACCAAAGGGUUCGGCGGACCGCCUGCCCAACUCUCGCCAGGACUCACUCCCUCACUCGUAUCAUGUGCAUACAUCCAUGACCCAUGAGUAACAUUCACAAUUCAAACUUAUAAUUUACAUUGAUACAAAUCAAGGUACAAAGUCUCAAUAUACCCAAACUAGUUCAAAACGUAUACAAUCCAAGUACAAAACAUUCUAUUCGAGGAAUAGCGCGAGUACAAGUCAAAAGUCAAAAGUCACAAACAACUAGACUACGCUAGCCUUUACGCAUCUCAGGCCUUGCUCGUACCCCUGUAAGGAAAACAAAACUAACGGGGUGAGCCAAAGCUCAGUGAAGUUCCAAAUAUCAAAUUGGCCAACAAACCAGGUGAUGACGGAGUAAUAGUGAAAUAGCGAGCAAACAAGUCAUAUCCGAGAAAUAGCAUUUUAGCUAGUCUAGAAAUAUCAAUUUCACAUUCACAUGUAAGGAUACAGUAAUUCAGAUCUUGGCUCCGUUCCAGCUUGAUCGAUUGGUAGUCGACACUCCGUCAACUUUCAAGUAAUAACUAGUCCAAAUAAAACCCCACUACACGCCAGUCUCCGUUCACCGAUCAACCCCCUUCCCCGGGCCCGCACGCCACACGAAACACGGGUGGUAAUACUCGAGUAUACUGUUUAGCCGAGGAGUUAACACUCCACUCGACAUUACUAGUACCUAGGGUUCAUUAUCUAAUCGACCAGGCCCUUGCCGGCUCGACUCGAUUAACUAGCCACAGGGUUUCUGGAAUUCCAGGCAGGAUAUAACUCAUGUACAUGUAUAACAAAUCAAGUGUACCCAAUAAACAAGAACAAGUCAUGUUAGGGCAAGUGCGGUAAAGUACACCCUUGCCCUAUCAUUCAUGCAUCAUGUAAUCACGUAGGUCAAGUAAGAAACUCAUGUAACAAGUGCAAUCGGAUAUUUGGAAAUACUCACCAAAAUAUAGUGUUUCAAGUAUUCACGUUCAGUUAUACUCCAGGUUUGGAGUCCAGAUCUGCGAUAAAAAUUCAGUUUGAGAACUUUGAAACAUGUCCAAGAUUCGAAACUUAAACGUUUCAUUCAAUAAGAAUCAAAUAAUUAAAGUUCAUUUGGAAGGCAUUCGUGAAAAACUUGCUCGCUUUUCAAACUGGAAGAUUUUGUAGCAAAUACACUUGGAAAUAACCUUUGAGUCGAAAGUGCAAGGAAAACGAGUUUACAUUGGUUAUUUUAUCUUUUCCUCAAGGGUACAAGUUCGGCUAGGUUUUAACGUAUAACCCUCGAACCAAGAUAGCCAACAUCCUAGAUGGCUCAAGUGAUAUUCAUAUCAACUCUACCCAAGUCGCAAAUGUAUUUCUAUAGUCCUCGAGCGUAAAUUUGGGCAGCAUGCCCUUUGUAUUUUCCUAUUUUCAGCCAUUUAUAGCUUUAUUCUUUUACUCAAUCCAACUCAAGGUUACCCAUAACACAAUUUCAUUUCAAUAGCCAUUCAAUAGGCCCAACACAAUACAAGAACAAGAAAUCAAGCUAAUAACGAGUGCGGAAACAAAGUUUACAAAAGACAGUUUUGACGGAUUUUUACGGAAUGGGCACAUCCGAGGCUACGCUUAUCGGAUUGAGAUGUAACUUAUACCCUUUCGAAGCUAAGACACAGGGCUACAAUGUUCAUGAAGAACACUUAGUCUAAUUUCUAGUGUAACCUAACCAAAUUCCCAAUUCACAUAACCUAAUUCCAACUAUUCGGCUAUUCAACCGUACUGCCUUCAAAUGGCCUUAUCUCAGUCUAUCAAGGUCCGUUUAAGACGUUCUUGGUGGCGUUGAAAAUCUAAAACAGAUUACUAAAACUUUCAUGUUUUGGCAAAUGGCUAAAUCCAUACGGAUUAUAGUGAAUAAACACAGCCAAAUAGACUGAACUGUCUACGCAGAACACUGGAAUUUAACCUAGGGUAGUGAGGGUAUUUUGGUCUUUUCAUAGGCUACGUUGCUCCGAUUGAGCUGAAAUUUUGUAGGAAACUAUAAAAUACAAUUCUAUACAACUUUCAUGUUUUAUACUAAGCCUAAUUUGGCCUCUAACAUGAUGCAAUAAAACCUUUCCAGAAAUCUGGAAUUUUUCGUUUUCAAUGCAACCUUUCUUGAUUUCUUGCUCCAAUCAUCACUAUAACCACUUAUGUAAGCUUAGAUACCACAUAUAUCAUCCAUAUAACAAGUAUAGGCAGCAAAUACCUCAAACCCUAACUCACAUCUAUCACCUUUAAAUCAUCAUAACAACUUGUUUCACUACUAAUCCAACCACAACAUGAAUUAUACCACAACUUAAACCACAAUAAAAGAACCAAAGCCAUGGUUUAGCCUUAUACCUUAACAAAUGAAGCUUGCAAGAGUAAUACUUCACCUCCUCUUGGAAUUCUUGGCUCCCCUAGCUUCUCAACCUCACAACUCACACUUUAAUCGGUUUAGAAUUUUAAUUCCUCACUUGGAUGGCUCAACUCAAGAAGAAGGAAGUUUGUUUCUUGCUCUCUUUCUCUCCUCUCUUGUCUCGGCCAAGCAGCAGAAAAAUGGAAGGAAAUGGAGCAAAAUGAAGGAUGAGAAGGUUGGACUUUUGGUUUGUUUAAGUAGCCAUGGUUGAGUGACACUUGUCACCACUAAUACCAACCAAAAUUUUCUUUUUCUUUCAUGCAUUUUUAGCCCUGAAAUUCGGUCAAGCUAGCUGGAAAAUGAGAGGAUAUUUUGCUCAAAUAUUAAUGAGCUUGUAUGGUAAGAAAGUGGUGGUCAAGUGGUAUGUUCAAUCGGUAGUACACGGUACACAUCGGUUCGCACCGUUUUUCCCUAAAUCACACGUACUAGGGUUUUUACUUCCUAUUCACUAACUUUUUAUCAUUGCAUCUAAUCACAUUUUAUUUUUCACCUAAAAGUCACUCUUAAACACCAAAUUUGAUCCUUACUCUGUACCGGAAAAUCACCCUACGGAAAAACGUGAAAACCCUAACUUGCUUCAACUUGAAAACUGUUAUUCUUGAUUUUGAUGAUCACAAAGCACUUUGAAAUGUUUAUCUAAUUCUCUUCAAAUAUAAGUGUUUUGCUUUUAAGAGAAUCAGGUACAAAGGUGUCAAGGAAAGAAAAUCAACCAAAAGAAAAAGCAAAAACAGGGCACUCGUGUCGGACGUCCUAAAGGAAGCUGUCGGACGUCCGAAAGAAUGAAGAACAUCAAGAAGGAAACUCUGUCGGACGCUCGUAAGGAAGCAUCGGACGUCCGGGAGGAUCGGACGCACGCUUCGGACGCACAUCGAUCGCAUCGGACGUCCGAGAAAUUCUGCAAAGUUUUGAUGACUCUCUGACGACGUUCGGACGCAGAUGCUAUCGGACGAUAAUAUCCCAUCGGACGUCCGAACGACAACUUGGCUGAUUUUCGGACGAUGGGAUUGGACGGUGAUUCAUCUGUCGGACGUCCGACGGCCCCAACGGCUAGCUGACUCUUCAUCUGCCUACUAUCCGUUGGAAACAUUAUUGAAGCUCAUUUUUGGUCCCCUUUAAAUACAAACGAUUCUGAACCAGUGAGUGACUUUUGCACACUUUGUUUACAAGAUCUCAAGAGAUAUUUUAGCUAGAAAAUAGUCUCCAAAGCUAGAUUUGUUCUCCAAGUGGUGUGAAUUUCUUGUGAGCAUUUCUUUUGUGGUUGAAAGUUUCAUUAGUGUAGCUUUGUUGAGGGUUAUCUGAGUGAUUGUAAAACUUCUUAGUUUGACUAAGUGAGGCUUAGGGCAAGGAGGAAGUGCUCCCUCCAUUGUACAUCUAGUUUAUCAUCUUUCAUCAAAGAGAAGUUGCUCAACCUAGUGAUUGGUCUUCAAGUUUGAGGAAAGCUUGGUAGACAAUCGGUUUGAUAUUCUAUCUUAUUCUUUUUGUUUAAUAAAAUUCUCAUUGCUUAUCUAUACUUGUUUUUCUAAUCAACAUUGCUCUCUUCUUCUAAUGUACUUGGUUAAUCAUUACUAGAAAAGAAGGUAAAGUUUUAUUAAAGAAAAAGUGCAUAAAUUUGAUUAAGAUUUUGAUCAACCUAAUUCACCCCCCUCUUAGGUUGUCUUUGGGCCUUACAAUUGGUAUCAGAAUUUGGUCUCCUAGAGAUUAAGCUCAAACGGCUUGGAGUAAAGAUGACAACCAGUCAUGCUAUGUUUGUUGAGGAGCAAUCUGUUACUAGGCCUCCCAUGUUUAGUGGCUCCAAUUAUGUUAGCUGGAAAGAAAGGAUGAUUAUCUUUUUGCAAUCUAUUGAUAUUGAGCUAUGGUUUAUUGUGAGUGAAGGAUCGCAUGAAGCUAACUUUCUUGAUGCAGAUACAGGUUUGCAUCGGCCAAAAACGAGAGCUGAAAUGAAUGCUCAAGAUAGGACUAAUCUUACAUUGAAUGCCAAAGCCAUGAAUGUUCUUUAUAGUGUUCUAGAUUCAAAUGAAUCAAUUAGAGUAAAAGGCUGUAAAUCGGCCAAAGAAAUGUGGGAUAAGUUAAGAGAAAUCAAUGAGAGUGGUGACAGCGUGAGAGAACAGAAAAAGGCUAUCUUGGUCACAAAGUAUGAAUCAUUUAAAAUUGAACCUCUUGAGGAUAUUGAUAAAAUGUAUUGCAAGUUCAAUGACUUGAUCAAAGAUCUCGAGGUGUUGGGCAAAGAGUACACCUUGGGAGAGAAGAACAGGAAAAUUCUCAAUGCAUUAGGCAAAGAAUGGGAAAAUAAAGUGAUGGCAAUAGAGGAAGCUAAGGAUUUAAAUUCUGUGCCUAUGGAAUCUCUCAUUAACUCACUAACCUCUUAUGAGUUGAAAUUGAAAUCUAAAGUGCAGGAGGAAGAGGAUGCUAGAGCAAAGAGAAACAUUGCUCUAAAGACUACUCAAGGUGAAGAUGAUCCAGCUCACUUGGAUGAUGAAGACUCAGAUGGUGAUGAUAAUGAUCUUGCUCUCAUCACAAGAGAUUUCCAGAGAAUCUUGAAUAAAAGGAAGCUUAGAAGGGGAGGACCUAGCAAUCAAUUCCAAAAUUAUUCAUCAAAUGCAAGGAACAAAGGAAAACAAGAAUUCAACAAGAAGCAAGUGGACAAAUGCUAUGAAUGUGGACAGCCUGGACACUAUGCAAACGAAUGCCCCAUGAAGAAAAUGAAAGAUGGGAAAGCUGAUCGAAAGCCAAGAUUCAACAACUUCCAGAUUACUUGGAAUGAAUGCAAUUCCGAAGGGGAAGUUGAAGAAGAGGAAGAAUCAGCUCAAAUGGCCUUCAUGGCUAUUGGAGAUAAUGAGGUAACUUCCAUUCACUCUCAAUCUGAUAGUGAUGAUGAAGAUGAUGAUGAUCUUGAAUCCUUUGUUGAAAAAUUACAUAAUGCCUUAAAGGAAUCUUACGAUAAAAACAAGCAGUUAAAACAAAAGGUUGUGUUUCUUAUUCAGGAAAAUGCAAAACUUUUUCACCAAAAUAAACAACUAAAGACUGACAAUGAGUGUCUUGUAAGAGUCGAAUGUGAUAUUCAAAAUGAACUUGAUAGAAAGACAAAUGUUUGUGAAAUGCUAAAGAAAAGACAUGGUGAUUUGAAUAAAAGGAUGGACAAUUUGGAUGAGAUCUUAAGAGUUAGAAAGCAAGAUUAUCUCAAAAAGAACAUGUCAUCAACCUUUCUUACUGCUCAUGAAAGAACAUUUGCUCACAACAAAAAUGCAUAUGGUUUUACAACAUAUAGAAGGAGUGCAUUGAGAUUUAUCAAACCAUUACAUGCUAGUGACUCUUCUAUUUUGUGUAGUUUUUGUUGUCAAAGAGGGCAUUUGAAAAAAGAUUGUUAUGUUAAAAGAAAUCUGAACAAAGGAGGGAAAUGCAUGUGGGUAGUUAGACACAAUGCUAAUAUAUGUAGAUGAUCUUCUUAUUGUGCAAAUAUAUGUAGAUGAUAUUAUUUUUGGUGCUACUAAUGAGUAUCUAUGCAAGGAUUUUUCCACCAUUAUGCAAAGUGAAUUUGAAAUGAGUAUGAUGGGAGAAUUAAAUUUCUUCCUUGGACUUCAAAUACAUCAAGCCAUAGAGGGCAUUUUCAUAAAUCAAGCAAAAUACACUAAGAAAUUGCUGAAAAGAUUUGGCAUGGAGGACUCAAAGCAAGUUGGAACUCCAAUGUGCACUUCAACAAAACUUGACAAAGAUGAAGAAGGUAAACAUGUGGAUGAAAAGCACUAUAGAGGUAUGAUUGAAAGCUUACUUUAUUUAACCGCAAGUAGACCCGAUAUUAUGUUUGCUGUUUACUUGUGUGCUAGAUUUCAAUCUUGUCCAAAAGAAUCACAUUUGAAUGCUGUUAAAAGGAUUUUUAGGUAUUUGAAAGGUACAUUAAACUAUGGUCUUUGGUAUGCUUGAUCUAGUGAGUUUGCACUAUAUGGAUAUUCGGAUGCUGAUUUUGGAGGUUGUCGUGUGGAUAGAAAGAAUACUAGUGGAACUUGUCACUUUCUUGGUAAUUGCUUAGUCUCUUGGUUUAGCAAGAAACAAAAUGCAAUCUCUUUGUCUACAACCGAAGCAGAAUAUAUUGCCGCUAGUGCAUGUUGUGCUCAACUUUUAUGGAUGAAGCAUAUCUUGAAUGAUUUUGGAUUGUCAUAUGACUGCAUGCCUAUAUUCUGUGAUAAUACUAGUGCUAUCUGUGACGCCCCGAAAAAAAAAGAGUGUGAGAACCCGUAAAAACCCUAAUAUUUUCCUAGGGUUUUAGUUCCUUUAAUUGCAUAAUUUUUGCAUUUCUGGCUUAGAAAUAUUAUCUGGGUGGAUUUAUGAGCAAUUAUAGUUUUAAGAUGAUUUUUCUAGCAUUGGUGAGUUUUUAGAAAAUUAAGAAUAAAUAUUGGACGUGGGACCCACUAGUGCGAAAAAUUCGGAAAAAUUCGGCCAAUAAGGUUAAGUUUCGGAUACUGUUAAAAGUUUAUCGGGUAUUAAGAGAUAAGUAGAGUGUGUGAAAUGAUUGAUGUGAGAGAGAAAAGAAUGAUAAGGAUGCAUUUAAUAGAGUGACACAUGUCACUUUCUUAUUGGUUGAACUUUUAAGAAUUACUAUUCAUUGUCUUGACUUAUUUGACCAAGGGAUUAAAUAUCCAAAAUUCACCAAAAAAUCACCAUUUUGCUCUCCUUGUUGGCCGGCCACCUUGAGCAAGAAAGGAAGGAGAUUUCUUCAAUUUUCAAGCUUCUACUUGGUGCAAAUCAACCAAAAACAUUUGCUUCCAUCCAUUUCACUCCAUAAAAUUCUUCCUUCUAGAGCUAGUAAGUUGUUUGGUGAACUUUGUUUGAAGGUUUAAGGUGUCCAACAUCCUCCUCUCUCUUGUUUCUUGGUAAGUGAUGCUUCAACCUCUCCCCUAUAGCUAAUGAUGGUUAUUUUGUGCUUAAUGGUGGCAUGGGUGUUGAAAUACAUGAUUUGUUUCUUGAUUUGAGGAGUUUUGGAGAAGUUUUUAUUUUAUUGGGAAUUUUUCUGGUUUAAUAUGAAUGGGAUGUUGUGGCCUUGUAUGAUGAAUUGUAAUGGUUGAUAAUGACUCUAUGAGGUGUAUUGGAUAGGAAAAUGCAAUCAAUUUUGGAUUUGGUGUGAAAAUUGAAAAGUUAGGGUUCUUAAAUCCCAAUUCUGUCCGGUUUUAGAUCACUGGGUUAGAGGCCGAAUUAGACUUUUCUCAAAACAUGAAAGUUGUAGGUAUUGAUGUGAUUGAGAUUCCUGUAAAAUUUCAGGUCAUUUGGAUUAAUGUAGAAUGAGUUAUGACGAAAUUACUGUAGCUGUUCUGCUUUGGACAGAAUGCGAAAACUGCGAUAGUAAUUGGCCAUUUUGACUGGAAUUGGUUUGGAUUUUGGAGUUAGUGUCUUCUGAUGAAAUGUAGCCGAGUGUCUUAGCUAACAUAUGCCUUUGGAAUUUCGGCAUUUGGACUUGUAUGGACUGAGAUAUACCGAUUACAGUUUUCUGUGUUUUGCAAACCUGUUUUGGUGAUUCUGGUUUAGUGUUUGGCAUUUUUGACCUAGUUGGGCUAGGAACUGGAUUGAGUGACCUUCUACAUUGUUGUAGCCCUGUUUCAUAUCUUCGAAACGGUGGGUCUUACACCCCCAACCGAUAAUUGUAGUGAGAGUUGUGCCAUUACCGCAUUAUGACGUCAAAACUGUUUUUCUGGUUUUGAGCUUAACCUUCAUUUCCGGACUUUUCCCUAGCUUGACUUGUCUUUGUACUACUUGGAGCUUGCUGAAUGGAUAUUAGAUGAACUUAUUUGUGUGACUUUGGGACUGGCUGGAGUAAUAAUGAAGCCAUGAUGGCUGGAAAAGUUAGCAAAUGUAGGGGAAGUGCUGUCCGAACUUUGAAGGGACUUGUUUGCAUUGGGUUUGUGAUCUAAGGCUUGGAGUUGAGCAAGGCAAUGAUACAUGAUGGAUGGUUUCUGAGCCGUGGAGGUGAGUGACCCUAAACUGUUUCCAAAAUUACUUAUGAACCGUUUAUUGCACUAUUUACUUGAUUGCAUAUCAUGAGUGCUUGCAUGUGGCCCAUGACAUGUUUUGGCUUAAAUGAGUGCUUGGAAUUCGUGUGCUGGACACCAACGUCUCCACCUCUGUGUACUGUUCAUCUGGAGCAAAUGGCUCCCCCACUGACUGUUUACUGUUUAAUGUUUGUUUGGAGCGUUGGGUGUUUAAGUACAACGAUUUCGCUGGCUCACGAGAGCAAUAAAUGUACCUUUGAUCUUGAAAUCAUGACAUCACUGAAAUGAACGACUGUGAAACUGAAUUGAUUACUGAUUUUAAUGGUUACUCGCUGAGCUUCUAGCUCACCCCAAAAAUGUUUUAUUUCCCCCCACAGGGCUCAAGGCGAAGAAAAGCUUGGAGUGCUUAUUCACGUGACUGGAUGGCUUAUAUCAUGUACAGUUUAAGUUUGGAUUUAUUUUAUGUACGAGCUGGGCUUGUAUCAAUAUUUGAAAUUGAUAUAGAUGUAAGUAUACAUUCCACGAUUGGAAUCAGUUUCCGCUGCAUUUGUGAUAUGUAAUUAUUGGAGAAUUUGAUGUAAUUUUGAGAGUUAUAUUGUAAUAUAUUUGAGGAUUGUAGUGAACGACUGAGUCCCGGCGAGAGUUGGGCAGGCGGCCCGCCGAACCCUCUGGUUCGCCUUAGGGGGAGGUGGGGCCGUCACACUAUCAAUUUGACCAAAAAUCCAAUUCAACAUUCUAGGACAAAGCAUAUAGAUAUAAAGCACCACUUUAUUCGCGAUCUUGUUCAAAAAGGUGAAGUAUGUGUAAAUUAUGUUUGUUCUAAAGAUCAAUUUGCUGAUAUUUUUACAAAAGCUUUGCCAUUAGAUCAGUUCAUUCAUCUAAGAUCAAAAUUAGGGAUAAUCGAAAAAUCAUCUUAAAAUUUUUCAAAGCCUUCGGACGCCCAAAAGAAGAUGAACGGACGAAAACUCUCUCGUUUCUCACUCUCAAAUUCGUACCAUUCUGAAACUCUCAUUCCCAAAUUGACUCAACCAAAACUUUUCCUGAUCGAUUGCAAUUCGUUUCUCCUGAUCAUUUCACCGAAUCGCAUAACAUUUCGCAAAUUCCCAAAUUUCACUCAAAACCCUAUUUUCUCAUAACCGCUCUGUCCAAUCUUCUUCAAGGCCUUUUUGUCCCAAAAUUUCUGUGUGAUUCACUUCCAUACUACUGUGUGCAUCAUUUGCAUCCUUCAUUCCAUACAUUUCGCACAAUGGUGAAUCUAAGAGGAGGGAAGGUCACUGCCGGACGCAAGCAUCCACUUAGGGAUGAGGAUGAUGAUGUUCCUACGGUUAAACGAUCAUCCAAACGCGUCAAGAGGGGAGCUGUAAAGGGUCAAAUGGCCUACACCACAACCCACCCCUCAGCCCGAAUCUGGACAGGGAACCUCAUCUCAACCGCCUCCAAAAUCAACUACAGUCCCUACAUUCUUUGAUGAUGCUACAAAAGACAAACACUCCUGGAUAUCCCAGAAAGUUGUCAUCCCUCAACGCACCGUAAAUUCUUCUGAAUUUCGCCAAAUAGGUUUAGAGACAAUUCUGCGUCUCUUUGAAUUCCAGAAAUGGUCACAUAUCAUUUCCAUGCCUAACGUUUAUUACCCUGAAAUGCUAUAUCAAUUUUUUGCCAAUCUUAGGAAAGGCACUGACCACACUGAAAUUAUGUCCAGGGUAAAUGGGGUAGACUUAGUAUUUGAUCCUGAUAUUGUGAAUGAUGUUUUAAAUACUGCUAUUGAACGUGGAUGCAAAAGUAAAAUUACAAAUUUUUUUUCUUAUGAAGAGCAUCCCACUGCUGAUAAUCACUUUGAUGGUGCUAAAAUGCUGUCCUAUUUUAAAAAGAAGUUUUCUGCCUCUGCUGAUGCAAAACUAAAUGACCUUGCUCCUGUGAAUCUCAUUGCUUUCUCAAUCAUUUCAAAUUUGCUUGUGCCUAUGGAUGGUCAUAGGACAGAUGCAAAUCAAAUGGAGCUGUAUCUUUUUUAUUGUUUUCGAGAAAAAAUUCGCAUUGAUUUUGGCUUUGUCAUGUGCAAGUUUUUACUUCGCUAUGCCACUGAUUCUCGUAGAAAACUGUCCUAUGGAAAAUUUCUUUUGAAAAUUUUUGAGUUUUACAAAGUACCCAUCCUUGGUGUUUGUCCCAAAGAAACGCUUCUUCUGCCUUUACUAAGGCUUAUUUUGAGCGCAAAAAUCUGUCUUUGUGGAUAAUUUGUGGGCGUAUAAGGGGGCCACUUCUAAUGAACCUAAAUCUAAGGUUGCACAUGAUCCACUUCACACUCCAUCCUCUGUUGCACUGACCUCUAUUCAUCCUAGGAAGACUGCCACUAAGGCAUCUUCUUCUUUAAAUUCUGAGGUGGUUGAGCUCCUUCGAGACCUUAAGCAACAUGUUCUGCUUCUUGAACAUGGUCUCAUGCUCACCAUGUCAUCCCAGCAACAAGCUGACUUCCUAGAUAAAAAGAGUCUUCUUUUUCCCCCACUUGUGGUUGAGGAAAUCCCUCCUGGCAAGGAGCCACGCUCCAAUGAUCUAAGUUCAUCAGCCCCUGUUCGCUCUAUGAGUCCUGCUCCUAUCGACCUCACCUCUACUCCCGUGGCACCACAUGAUCCUUCCACAUCUGAUAAAGGCAAGAAAUCAGUUGGUGAAGUUGCUGAAGAUGAUGAAGACACUGAGGAGGAGGAGGAUCUCUCUCAGUAUCAACUUACUCGAAGGACGCCUGGAUCCUCUUAACUUAUCAUUUAGGAUCACUAGUCCUAUUAGGAUCAUUUGCAUUAUGUUUGACUAUUUUUAUUUGCUGAAUGUUAGAUAGUUGCCUUGAACUCUUUUUAUCUAUUGAAUUCUGGUGCUUGGUGUCAUUUGGUGUUUUGUAAUGUCCAAAACUGGACAUAUGUUUGUAAUGUUUGUGAAUGGUUGAAUCUUUACAUUUUGCUUGGUUGAAUGGUUGGAAAUAUGGAUGUAAUGCUCGUAAGAUCAUUUUGCUAUGAAUGGUUGGAUAUAUGGUCGAAUCUUUGUUACUAGUUCUCCAAAUGUAUCUUUACAUUUUGAAUUUUGUGAUGACAAAAAGGGGGAGAGAUGGUGUAGAUAUGAAAACGGACAAUAUGGAUAAUAAGUAGCCAAGUGAGGGGGAGUUUUUAAGUUUUUGUUCCAAAUCUGUGUAGUAGCCAAGUGAGGGGGAGUUUUUAAGCUUUUGUUCUACGAUUGACUAAGAAAGGGGGAGCCUAUUUGUAAUCAUCAAAUUUCAUUUCAAACCAUUGUUUUGUCAUCAUCAAAAAGGGGAGAAUGUUAUUCUUGAUUUUGAUGAUCACAAAGCACUUUGAAAUAUUUAUCUAAUUCUCUUCAAAUAUAAGUGUUUUGCUUUUAAGAGAAUCAGGUACAAAGGUGUCAAGGAAAGAAAAUCAACCAAAAGAAGAAGCAAAAACAGGGCACUCAUGUCGGACGUCCUAAAGGAAGCUGUCGGACGUCCGAAAGAAUGAAGAACAUCAAGAAGGAAACUCUGUCGGACGCUCGUAAGGAAGCAUCGAACGUCCGGGAGGAUCGGACGCACAUCGAUCGCAUCGGACUUCCGAGAAAUUCUGUAAAGUUUUGAUGACUCUCUGACGACGUUCGGACGCAGAUGCUGUCGGACGAUAAUAUCCCAUCGGACGUCCGAACGACAACUUGGCUGAUUUUCGGACGAUGGGAUCAGACGGUGAUUCAUCUGUCGGACGUCCGACAGCCCCAACGACUAGCUGACUCUUCAUCUGCCUACUAUCCGUUGGAAGCAUUAUUGAAACCCAUUUUUGGUCCCCUUUAAAUACAAACGAUUCUGAACCAGUGAGUGACUUUUGUACACUUUGUUUACAAGAUCUCAAGAGAUAUUUUAGCUAGAAAAUAGUCUCCAAAACUAGAUUUGUUCUCCAAGUGGUGUGAAUUUCUUGUGAGCAUUUCUCUUGUGGUUGAAAGUUUCAUUAGUGUAGCUUUGUUGAGGGUUAUCUGAGUGAUUGUAAAACUUCUUAGCUUGACUAAGUGAGGCUUAGGGCAAGGAGGAAGUGCUCCCUCCAUUGUACAUCUAGUUUAUCAUCUUUCAUCAAAGAGAAGUUGCUCAACCUAGUGAUUGGUCUUCAAGUUUGAGGAAAGCUUGGUAAACAAUCGGUUUGAUAUUCUAUCUUAUUCUUUUUGUUUAAUAAAAUUCUCAUUGCUUAUCUAUACUUGUUUUUCUAAUCAACAUUUGAUACGAGUUAAGCUAUGUCAUUGGAUAAGGUUCAAGUCCCACUAGGACUGGUUACACGAGCUCGAGCAGUUCAUUCAGCUUCAUCGUCUCAAAGACGUUAUAAGGCGCGGGCACGAUUUAUAAGGAUAUGUCUUCUGCCAUUUAAUUGAUUCACCGCAGCAAAGUCAUUAUAAGGCGUGGGCACGCUUUAUAAGCUCAAGUCGUCUGCCCAUCUAAUCACAUUUAUUGUUUUAGUUAAGUCGUUUGUAAUAAGGGCUUUAUGGUCCAUAGCCUUGCUUUAUUUACCUAAGCGAUGACCUCAUAAGGUUGUUUACCUAAGGGAUGACCUCAUAAGGUUUGGUCAAGCCUAUAAUUGUUAGUCUUAGUCAAGACCACAACUCUAGACUAGUUCCACAUUUAGUUGUUCAUCUCUAUGUAAGGCUAUAAAUAGCCCACACUUCCAAUGGUUUAGGCAUUUCAAUCAAUAAAUCAGAUUUUGAGAGUUUUCUUGGUUUCUCCAAGGCUUCUUGAAUACCUUAGAAUUUCUCUAGGUGUUCGUGACUUAUCAAUCUAGAAUCGCACUAGGUUGUGGCGUCUUCUACCAUUAUACCAAGGUUCGUUAACCACGUGAUUAACGGGUUGAGGUCAUCCGCUUCAAACUUGGUGUCCUCUUGUCGAUCCUGAAGCUAUUCUUUUACGGGUUUCGUCACAAGGUUGGCGACGUUCGUAUCAGUUGGUAAUCAGAGCUAGUUAAGAGGUAUCACGUUAUAUCCCUUUAUUUAUUUCCUUUUCGAGUCAAGUUGUCGAAAAUUCUGUUUUCGUGUUCUAAGUUGCUAUCCGCAAUAUCCAGAUUUGUUACAUCGUGUUCUUGCGUUAUUUUUUCAGAUUUGUUACGUCAUAAACUUGUGUCUAGUUGUUGUUAAUUGCUGUGGUUAGCCUUGUUUGGUCCAGCCUUUCUUUUUGUGUCUUAUUCUUGAUUCUUUGUUUGAGUCUUGUUUCUAUCUUGUUAUAUCCAUUCAAUUCCAAUCUUUUGUUCUAUUUGAUCAUUCGAGGUUACUGUUCAUCCGAAAAAAAAAAUUAGUUUGUAGCAAGGGUUUUAGAGUCCUAUCUAGUUAUUACCUUGUGUUCUUGUUUACAUACAAAAAAAAAAUAGCUGGCUAACCUUACAAAACUUGAUCAAAAAUUCCUGCAAAUCUGUCUUGAUCAAAACUUGGGUUUUUUUUGAAGUUCCUGAUUGUUUAAAACCACAAUCUUGAAGUUCUUGGAACUUUAGUUGGGAUUCUUGAAGCCAACCAAAAUCUGUCUUGAUCAAAUCGUGAAAUCUUGGAUUGUUUAGGGAGGAAAUCAUCUUCAAUUUUGUGUUUCUUGAAUUCUGGGAAUUAACAUCUUGAAUUCUUGAAAGAAUCUUGAAGUUUCUGGGUUUUGGGAACCAAAUCUUGGUAAACAACAAGGCUGCAAAUUUUCAGCUGCCAAAAUCCUUGUCUUCACCACAACAAUCUUCUUUCUUGACUAAGAACAUUUUAGCCACGAAAUUUGGCUCUUCUUGGCUGAUUAGAAAACAAAAACAAAGGAAGAAGAAGAAUAUUCAGCCUAUUCAAGUCAAAUUUCCCAACCUAUUCAAGUCAAAUUUUCCAACCUGUUCAAGUCAAAUUUUCCAACCUUGUUCCCAAAAACAACCAAAUCAGUUCCAAUCUUGAACUUGACCUUAGAAUUUAUGGGAACCAGCAAAUAGGAAGACUAAUCCUUGUUUCCAAAGGAUUAAAGAAGAAAAGUCAGCCUUGGGUUUCCAAAACAGUCCUACCACAACACAAAUUCAUCUUCCAUUCGGAUUCCAUCUUUGCAACCAUUGGGGAAUUUCUGUCCAAUCAUUAAUUCUGGAAAUUUUCGUGCAUCAUUAGGUUAGUUUUAAGUGUCAUUCUGAAUCCUCUAAGUGUCCAUUUAUCUACCAAAACACUGCCCAAAAAUGCAGCAACCAGCAGCUCAAAAUUCCAAUUUUGGGUAGAGUUUUGUCUAGGAUCCUUAAAAUUCAACUUUGAGUCGUGGUCAGUCCCUUCAUCUUUUAUUUUUUUUUUCUUUCGUUCAAAGUGCUACAAUCUUGUGACCCUGGUUGGUAAGUCGAUCCACACUAGAAGGAGUUCUAACUUGUUCGAGGAGUUGACCGAGGAGCCUUGAAAAUACCUUGGUGAGUUCAUUAGAGUGUUCAAACACGAGAGCGAGUGUAAACAUGUGAGCUUGUGUGGCGAGGAAAAAUAUCUUUUGUUUCACUAAUUUUUUGCAGGUUUCCUCAUACAUCAUGGCGAAUACGAGGCAUUUAAAAGCUAGCUUACAACAUCUUCUUCUUGAUCCUAAGGGAGUCAAAGAAGUAGCAUUACGUGGUGUAGAUGAGCAAUUGGAUAUCGUCAAAUCUCAGUUGCAUGAUUGGUUUUAUACUCGCAUUUUUUAAAAUCUUUUUUUUAUUUCUUGUUUUUUAGGAAAAAACUAAAGGAUGUGUUUGGAUUAGAGACCAAUGAACUUUUUUCCCCCCGUGCCUAAUUGCAGAUUAAAAGGAAGAACUAGUUCUUAGAUAACGUUUCUAAGUACAACUCUAUUACUCAGAAAACUGGUCUACCUGACUGUGGGUUUUCCUUUAGUCAUGCCAUUUUGUCAUUAGUGAUGAUUGCUUCUUCUAAACCUUAGCUCACUGCACACGCCAAGCGUAUGAAAGCCAAACUUAAAUUGAACUCGUCAAGUUGCAAAAUAAGAAAAUUUGGGUUACGUUUGGUAUGAGUAGUAAGGGAAAAUUUAAUUCCUAUAUUUAUGAUUCUUGACUAAUGUGAUUGUAGAAUUGUUGACUGAAAAUAAAAGGAAACUGACAAAGAAAUGUCAUGUGAUUGCAUGUGCAUGGUUAAAACAAUACAAAUUAUAACCAAUUUGAUCCAUUGUUUUUAAGGUUUUGAUCGUUUUGGUUCCUUAGUAUCAUGACAAGCAAUUUUGCCUCUUAAAUUUAAAAAUAUGGUUAGGGAGGUCCUUUUGAUAGAAAUUUGAGUCGCUAAUGAAGUGAGAGACCCUUUAAUGCCUUUCGUGUCACAUCCGUCUCAACAGUAUAUUAAAGUUUCAAAAAAUCUCAAAUAAGUCAUAAACUCAUAAAAAUAAACCCAAAACUCUUUAUCGUGAAGAAAAUAAAAUUUUUGUAACUUUAAAAUAAAUCAAACACAAAACUUUAAACAUAAUUAUGGAUUUUGUGCCAUUUCCGAGUUGAAAUAUCAUGAAAAAGAGUACCUAAAGGUGAAGAGAAAAAAUGCAUAAAUUUAUGUUUGACAUAGUAUAAAAAACUUUUAUUUCAUUAUAUUGAAGAGUUAUGGGUGAGUUUAUAGUUUUAGGCUUUUGUUUGAAUGCUUGGUGUUUUCUGCAAGAUGGUACGAAGUACCCUCUAAGGUCUCUUAACUCCGUUAACAACUCUAAAUUAGCCUUGACCAAAUUCUUAAAAUUUAAGAAAAAUUGGUUCGCCAUAAUACAAAGGGACUAUAUUGUUUGGAGAUAAGAUACCAAAUUAAUUAAUUUUUAUUCUUUGCGUAAUUCAAGUGAUUUCUCCGUUAGCUUCCCACAAUUUUGCUGCAUUAGUCUCUUUUGAUGAGAUAGAGCACUAAAUUUGUUGAUAUGACAGACCAUAUUGGCUGAGACUUCAAAGAUAGAUGACCAAAGCAACAACAUUUCCUAAGUAGUUCAUGAAUCAUUUUCAUUGUAUAGUUAGAUAUGAUAGAGAAGAUGUAUCUUUUUAAAAAUGAAAGGAAAUAAUAUUAAGUUAUAGAUGAUUUCUUGAAUAAAAGGGCAAUAAUAUUAUUGUACUCACUUUUUUCAUUAUUUUUAACUUAGACUAGUUUUCAUGAGGGGUAAAAUAUACAUAUUUAAUGUUAAUGGGAGCAAAGUGUGAUUAUCCACUAAGUUUAGGGGACGCAAAGUGUUAUUAACCCUUUUUAUUCAUAAUAUAUAAUUUUGUAGACUCUCUCUCUUCUUAGGAUCCUCUCUAUCUUCUCUCUUCUCGCCACUAGUGAUCGUAAGGUUUCAUGGCAGCCCUUCAGCCAUCGGCUGAGGGGCAAGAAUUUUCCCCUACAAAAAAAAAAUCUUUUUCUCAGCUUUUCUCACAGCCGGCAACAUCUCCAAUCCAGAUUCGGCAGGCUUCUGUUUACAAGGGUGAAGCGGCGGUUAUAUUUUCCAGAAUAGAAGCGGACAAACUUGCAGCACCAUUUAGAUGGACUUUGGUUGGCAAAUUCUCUCAUGGACGACCUUCUCUGGAAGAUAUUCGAAAGUUUUUUGCCUCUUUAAAUCUGAAAGACCAAGUCUCCAUUGGAUUACUGGACUAUAGGCAUGUCCUUAUUAAAUGUACAGCUGAAGCAGAUUUCAAUAGAAUUUGGACAAGAGGAAUUUGGCAGUUGGGUAAACAUCCAAUGCGUGUGUUUCGAUGGACCAGGGAAUUUCAUGUGCAUAGAGAAUCAUCUCUAGUACCGGUUUGGGUAAAUCUUCCAGCUCUACCUAUUCAUUAUUUUGACAAACAUUCUUUGUUUUCCAUACUGUCUCCAGUAGGAAGACCUUUGUUUCUAGAUUCGGCAACGGCUGCUGGGAUUCGUCCUAGUGUAGCCAGGGUGUGCGUAGAGAUAGAUGUUGCGAAGCUUGUUGUGCCAAGGGUGUGGGUUGCUGUCGAAGGGGAAUCAGGUUUUUGGCAACGUAUUGAGACAGAGAAUCUUCCUCCGUAUUGUUCUUUUUGUUCAAGAUUAGGACAUUCUCAUGAGCACUGCAACAAGAAUUUGAAAAAAGAUGGGUCUCGGCUGCAACUGAACAACCAGCAAAACCCAUACAUAGAUAGAAAUCAGAUGAUUACUCAUCAACCUGGGACUAAUCAAACUGAUUUGGAGAAUAAAGAGGCAGCGAAUAUAUCCAAUGUUAUUGCAAAUGAAAUGAUAGUGAAUGGAGUUGCUGCUACUGCGAAUGAAACUGUGAUAAACGAGUCUACUUCACAGGAAAUUUCAACCACUGCUACGGUGAAAAAUGGGAUAAAAACUUCAGCAGCAAAGGCCAUGGUUGCUGAACCUGCCGUGCUAGUCGUGCAAAAGGAAGUAAAAAAUCUGCAACACUGCAUUAUUGAUGAUGAUCCUGCUAAUGAAGAAGGAGUAGUAACCCAUUUAGAAAUUUCAGAUGUCAACGUAAACAUGGAGACAUGUAAGGUGAUGAAUACGGUUUUGCAUGGGGAACAUGUAGCAAUGGAAAACCAGCUGGAGAAACAUCAUGGCAGUCAAAGUGAAGGGUCCCAUGUCCUCAAAGAGAAGCCUUUGAGCACCGAACAACAUCAUCUGGAUGAGAAUGCUUUAACAUUGGCACAACAGAAUCUGACCGACAAAGCUACAACAUUUACACAAGCAAAUCAGGCCCACAACAACGCAAGGAGUGACCAUGAGCAAUUGGCCGACAAAACCAAUGUUGAACUGCAGCUGCUGGCCGACAAUAAUGUUUUGGAGAAUCUCUAUGUUGAAUUGCGAGGGGUGGAGGAUGAAGUUUCUACACAACAGUUGGUAGAAGCAAAUCAAAUGCCUACUAAUGCUGGAAAUCUGUCCCCCCGAAUUGGUGUCCUACAAGAAAAAUUGCUGGAAUCAUCAAUGAAUGGCCUAAACAUUGAUCAAAUAGGUGAGGCUGGUGGUGACUUCCGACAACCGCACAGAAAGGGUAUGCGGGCUCCAAUCCCAUCUGACAGACAGUUAAGGUCACAGACAUCAUCCAAAAAUUCAUUCCAGGUUCUUUCUUAUGAUUAAUGGAUUAUUUUGGAAUAUUAGAGGGAUAGCAAAAGCACCAAACCUAAGAAGAUUGAUUAAAUUAGUUCGGAUUUAUCAUGUUCAUUUUGUUGUGAUUUGUGAGCCAAAACUAGACGUAUCUAAAAUCGAACUCAUUCGGUUACGUCUAUCUUUUGAUUAUGUGUUUGUUAAUUGCUCUAGCGAUAUUUGGGUUUUCUAUAAUAAUCCUUUUGUUUGCUCGAUCGUUGGUAGUUCGGAUCAACAUAUUUCUCUAGAUGUUCAAAAUCCAUUACUACCAAGUUCCAUCAUUAUGUCUUUUGUUCAUGCAAAGUGCUCAGUGGAUGAGCGUAAAGAGUUAUGGACAUCAUUAUUACAUGAUAAGCCUACUUUACUUCCUUGGUGUAUUGGAGGUGAUUUCAACGUUAUAUUAGCAGCACAUGAAAAGCGAGGGGGGCGUCCAUUUGCUAUAGCGGAAGGAGUGGAUUUUAUGAAUUUCAUGGAGGAAGCUGAGGUCUUUGAUGUCGGUUUUUCAGGAUCUAAAUUCACAUGGUCUAAUAAUCGACGGAGUAGAGCUCGGAUUUCAAAAAGGUUGGACAGAUUUUUAGUCAAUGGAUCUUGUUUGGAUUUUUCAAAUGACAUUUCGGUACUUCACUUGGCAAGACACCCCUCCGAUCAUGCACCAUUGAAGGUUUCUUUUGCAACUCGGUCAGAUAACAAACCUCGGCCGUUCCGAUUUCUGAAUGUUUGGACUUCCAAACCAGAUCUCUUGGAAGUGAUUCGCCAUGUUUGGAAACAAGAUGUGGGUGGGCCUCCGCUACGCGUAUUGUGUUCUAAAUUAUUGGCAACAAGGAGAGCUAUUCAAUCAUGGAACAAGCAACAUUUUGGGAAUAUUUUUGACGCUGUCCGUUCUUCAGAAAUGGCGGUUCAACGAGCUGAGGAGUUGCUAGACCACGAUUAUUCCGAAGAGUGUCAAAUUGAGCUUAAUAAGGCACAAGCAGAAUUGCGGUAUUCAAUGUCAAUUGAAGAACAGUAUUGGAGACAGAAGGCCAGGGUCAAAUGGCUUCGUCAUGGAGAUAGGAAUACAAGAUAUUUUCAUGCGGUAGUAAGGCAGAGAAGAGCUCAAGGAAUGAUACACCGCAUCAAAAAGUCCAAUGGUGCGUGGGUGGAAAAGGACGAUGAUAUAGCAAGUGAGGCAACGGCAUAUUUCAAUGAUCUUUUCACGGGCUCUUUGGAAUCAUCUACUGAUAUGCUACAUUUAAUUCCGCACUUGGUUACGGAAGAGGAUAAUGGAAAACUGGAAGCAUUACCUUCAAUUGAGGAGGUAUAUGGAGUCAUAAAGUUAAUGGAUGGAGAAAGUGCAGCUGGCCCAGACGGUUUUACAGGCAAAUUUUUUACAUUUGCUUGGGAAGUGAUCGCUCAAGAUGUUUACAAUGCGGUACUGAGCUUCUUCUGUGGGGCGGAGCUACCACGAUUCAUCACUUCUACUUCAAUUAUACUAAUUCCAAAGACGCCAAAUCCUCAGGAAUUCUCUCAAUUCAGGCCUAUCAGUCUAUGCAAUUUUUUCAAUAAAGUGUUAUCUCGGAUUUUGACAGACAGGAUGGCUUGUUUACUGCCAAAAAUCAUUUCCCCACAUCAGACAGGUUUUGUGAAGGGCCGCAAUAUAACUGAAAAUUUUCUACUAGCUCAAGAGAUGGUAUCAAGCAUGGGGAAAAAGAAUAGAGGUGGAAAUGUUUUAAUGAAACUAGACAUGUCCAAGGCAUAUGACCGGAUGUCAUGGGGUCAUAUUAUUAAUAUUCUAAGGAGGUUUGGAUUCGGGGAAAUAUUUAUUGACCUUAUAUGGCGGUUACUCUCUAAUGUCUGGUUUUCAAUCAUUAUAAAUGGUUCCUCCUACGGUUUCUUCAAGUCUUCGAGAGGUCUUCGUCAGGGAGACCCAUUAUCUCCUGCAUUAUUCAUUAUAGGAUUGAGGUUUUAUCUAGAGGACUGAAUAACCUCACCAUGCAAUCGAGGUUCCUGGGUUUCAAAGUUCCAUAUCGGUGUCCGACUAUUACUCACUUGGCAUUUGCGGAUGAUGUUCUUAUAUUCAAAUGGAUCCUCUUCUUCUCUAAGGCAAUCAUGCAGGUGUUACAGGCAUAUCAAAGGUGUUCGGGGCAGCUCAUAAAUGUGCAAAAAAGCUGUUAUUUGGUCCACCCAUCGAUGCCACCGGCGAGACGAAGGGUGAUUGAACGUAUCACUAGGUUUGCCUGGCAGUCAUUUCCGAUACGUUAUUUGGGAUUCCCUCUUUAUUCUGGAAGAUGCAAAUCUUCAUAUUUUGGAGAAGUGUGUCAGUCUAUUCUAGGGAGGAUUUUGUCAUGGAAAUCAAGGCUGCUUUCCUUUGGAGGCAAAAUAGUUCUAAUCAAGCACGUGUUGGCUUCUAUGCCAAUGCAUCUAAUGUCAGCUGCUGUGAUCCCGGCCAAGGUGUUCAAAAUUAUAGAAAGUUCGUGCUCGUCCUGUGGAGAUCAUCAACCGACGACUCGAAAUUCCACUGGAUACGAUGGUCUCACUUGUGUUACCCGGUUGAGGAAGGGGGAGUCGGGUUCCGGAGACUACGAGACGUAUAUCAAGCUUUUUCAUGCAAGCUUUUGUGGAAUUUCCGAACAGGAUCAUCCUGUGGGCAUCGUUCAUGAAAGCAAAAUAUUGCGGAAGCCUUCAUCCUUGUCAGAUCGAACUCAGAACAACGGACUCGGCAAUCUGGAGAGGAUGAUCAACGUAAGUAGACAAGUGGAGCUCUCAAUGUUAUGGGAUGGAGCUUGUCAUUUUUGGUAUGACAACUGGUUGGGAAGUGGUGCGUUAUUUCUACAUGCAAAAGUUAUCCCAAAUUUGUCAUUCCAAAUUUUAUCACCAAUGGUCACUGGAAUAUAAAUCUCUUACAUUCGACGAUGCAAGCGAGAAACUUACUUCCAUUUUGGCACCCGGUACCAGAGGAAGGGAGGGAAUUGAAGUCUUUUGGAUGCCCACGAUAUCUGGUAAGUUUCUCUCUCCAAUCGGCUUUUGGGGACGUCAGGCAGCCGACACAAGUCAAUGGCUUUUACUUACAUUUGGCAUCUUCAGAUUCCUUGGAAAGUCUCAUUUUUCAUGUUAAGAUUGUUUCUGAGAAGACUACCAUUACCAGAUAGGUUAGGUAAGCUUGGCUUCCAACUUCCCUCAAAGUGUUUUUGCUGCUCCUCGCAUCUGUGGAGUCUAUUGGCACUAUUUGCCAACGGACAUAUUGCCUCGGUAGUUUGGAACUAUUUUGGAGGCCUAUGUGGAUUCAGGUGUCCAGGAUCUUUUUUGCGUCCUCGCAUCGUAGGAUGGUGGCUACGUUUACAUGACUCUGAGACACGACGACUUAUCGACCGCAUUCUACCUAGUGUACUUUGCUGGCAGAUUUGGAAAGCAAGAAAUAAAGCAAUGUUUGAGGGUGUCCAAAUGCAAUCGUCUGCUAUUUGUAAGAACAUUUUCUCAGAAAUACAGUCUAUGGUGGGGAUUCAUUUCAAACAAGAACUUCAAUUGCAGUCCUUUCAUCAUUUGUAUGAUCGAUCGCAUGUAUCUGUCGGUAGAAUUGCAUAUAAAUUGGUUCGCUGGGAAAUAAAGGAGACAGGGAGAUUGAUACUCAACACGGAUGGAUGCUCUAAAAGGUAAUCCAGGAUGGGUGGAGGUGGUGGAGUUCUCCGAGAUUCAUUUGGCGUACCAGUGAUUGCUUUCUCGGCUUAUCUUGGACAAACUACAUCUCUCCGUGCAGAGACUUGGGCCUCCUUAUUGGUCUUCAAACAUGUAAAAAUAGGGGCUUCGAAAAUAUAAGGGUUCAAUCAGAUUCAUUGCUUUUAGUUGAGAUCAUUCAGCAGCGUAUUCAAUGUCCAUGGGAGAUUCGAAGGGAAAUCAGACAGAUUUUGAAGCUCUUGGAAGAUCCUGCUCAUUUAUCACACUGUUAUCGAGAGGCUAACACAGUUGCUGACGCUUUAUCCAAUGUCGGAACAUCUCAUCCCCACCAACAAGUCAAGAUUUAUGACAGCUUCACUAUGCUCCCAAGGUAGCUCGUGGGCAAUUUUUCUAGACAAGUUGGGUUUGCCCUCAGUUCGGAAAAUUAGACGUCUGUAAGGAAAAAUAUUGUGUAUAUCUUUUCAUUAAUAAAAUAAAAAGUUCAAAUAAAAAAAAAAAAAAAACUUAACUUACGCUUUAACCGUUAGGAUUUUCUUACAUUCAUUCGACAACUCAGUAACCAUCCUAUUGUAUAAUAACUAUCCUACACCUCAUCAAAGCCUGAUAAGAUGAAGAAAAUUUCAUUUCUGGCAUCUUAAUGCCUUACAUCCAGUAUUGAGGGAAAAAAAUUAGUCGCAUUACAGUCUGAGAAUUUGAAUCCAGUAAUUUCAUGGUCUGACGUAGUCACCCAAGUAGGUUCUCCUUAAAACAGGGUCUUGAGGCAAAAUACACAUCAAAUAGGUCAUCUGUCGAUCUUUGAUUAUGUCUACACGUUCAAAAGAUAGGCUUAAUCAUAUUAGUGGAAAUAACUCAUAGUUCAUCAUAUAUUAAUUUGCUAUUCAAUUUAGUUUGAAUACAUGAUCAAUGUUAUCUAUGCCAAAAAAGAUUGAGGAUACUUUAGUUGGAAUUUGCCUUUGGAGUUAAAAGGGAUUUCCAUUUUUUCCUAGGUAUUCCACAGCUUGCAUACCAAAAGCACAGAGGCGGAAGAAAACCUAUGAUUAAAUCAUACAAUAGGUUUGUAAGAAAAUGCCCACUCUGAAAAAAUGAAAAGUUGAAUUUCCUAUUUUCAAAUUUACAUGCAAAAAAUGAAAAACGACAUGCAAGAAAUAGUCUACUAUUUCGCAAUGUUUCAUAGUUAUGAGAAAUAUAUUACAAAUAAAUCCACAUAAAUGGUGGGAAUAAUAACUCAAAUAUGGUGGGACAAAUAAACAUAGAGGGUGACCCCUGCGAGCUGAGAUAACUAGCUGGUUUAUUUAAUUUAAUAGUUUGAAUACAAUAGUAAAUCAAUGCCAUAGCUCAGAUACUGACUAAAUUUUCCCCCUGAAGAAUUCAACAGCAUCUUUCAGGCUGACCUCCAAAGGAGUGAAUUGAACUCCCAACCUUUUUGCCUUCUCAUUGGAGGCUCUGUAGUUUGGGCUGAUAAGGUUGGUAUUGUUUGACAUUCUGCUGUAUGCUGGACAAUACACAAUUAUGGCAAACAUAAAUAAAGCUUAGGUAAUGAAAAUGCAAAUGUAACUGGACAAUUGCCUCAUAUCUACUGUAAAUUGUGCCUUUUUAUGAAGUUUCAAAAGACCUUUUAAAAGAUAACUUUAGUUGUGAUAUGAAUGAAAUUAUUUUUUUCUAAAAAAAGCCUAAAACGAAAUUUCUAGUUUGGAUACAAAGCCAAUUUGGUGAUAUAUCCUAGUCCAAAGAAGACCAUCUUCUAGAAAUCAACCUGAGAAAGAGCUUAUUUUAUGGAACAUGAGACAAAAAGAAAAAAAAAGAAGGCAGAAAGUUUAGGAUUUAAUGUCCUUUGUUAAGCUUAAAAGAGAGUAUAAAAAUAUGUGAUACAUUUUGGACGUAUACAAGGCCAUCAGCAAAAGCCUGUAAAGACCUAAACAAGGAAAACAAGACUUAAUUAUCAGGAAAUUGGUGAUUUCGGUAAUGCUAAUGCAAAAUCUUGAUGAUCUGAGAGGCAUUUGCACAUCUUUCAACCAGGCAAUAUCUUCCACUUGCAGAAGGGGUUUCAAGGUCAAGAACAUGUGCAUAGGCAACAUCUCUAACAUCAACCCAGCUACAUGUUGCCUUAGGAAAUGGUUCAACCCCUGCAUUUGGCACCUAAGAUCUUUAAACACAUUUUUUUUGCAGGCUCUUCAGCGAAUAUAAGUGAAACUCUGCAUACAAUUAAAUACAAUGUUGUUUGCCAUGAAAAGAGUCAAAUUUAGAGGCCAUGGCCUGCCUUCCAAAAGAAAUGUUCUGUUUUAGUAUCAGCAAAACCACAGAGGGGAGGGAGAUGUGAGGAAUGAACUAGUUGAGACAAUUCAGAUAAUUGGUGAAUAAUAAGAAAGAUUAAUCCCAACAAUCUACUAGUUAAUCUGUCCCUGGAAUUUCUCAGAUUUAGAGUUAGGUUUCUCUUUCAAAGGAUAGUUUAUUUAUUUUCUUCCAAAAAGGAUCAAUUACAAGGCAAAAGAAUAAACUACAAGCAUGAUAAUACUAGUUGUCUCAUACUUAAGAGUUAAAUGGUGAGACUUGAAGAAACUUGUCCCUUCACUCUCAUCCAGAUAGAAAAACAGAAUUUAUUCCUGUUGUUUUGUUCCAGAGAGUGAAAUAGUAAUCAAUUCCUAAAAUUUGUUUCUUGCCAUUGUUGUACAAAGUGACUAUUUGGGUCGAAGGAGUCAUGGCAAAUUGAAAGAAUAAUAAACAAGCUUUAGCAAGUAAAGUUUGUACAACAUAAACAGUGACUACUCCUAACAAAUUUUUCCUCACAAUUACCACCCAAAAAUUUCUUUUCCUUCCUGUUAAUCACAUAGAACCUCAAUGUUGUUGAAAGGAAGAUGCACACAACGUGAAUUUCAGAUGAAAGAUUGUACUGCAAACCUUUAAAACAUCAUAAGCUGGUCAGAGUUUAUAGCUUGAUAUAUCAGUUCAUAUUCUGACCUAUGUCUGUCAAUCAUGUGAUUAGCCAGCAGUGCCUUGAAAUGUUAUUAGUCAUAAGUUUUUUGUUCUACUGUAACAAAGAAAGCUGUGGUGCAUAAUAAAGCUAUAACUAACAUAGAUGGAAGAGUCAGUUAGACAAUGAUUACUAAGGUGAUUCAAUAAAUUUUGAAACAAACCCUUUAAUAGGUUGAGGAACAAAACAACGCUCGAAUUAACAGAUGGCUGCAAGAGAGGACCAAUGACCAAUCCCGGAUGAAUUGUAAUCACGUCAAUGCCAUGCUCCUUUGCAAAUUUCCAUGCAGCAUUCUCGGCCAUGGUUUUGAAAGUUCAUACCAAGACAAUCAACACCGAAAAAUCACUAAAUGUUGGUAAGAUGCUAGCAGAAAGUAAUUAGAUUUGUAAACUUUAAGAAGUAACAUUAUAAAUUUCUACAAAUUUGACAAAACCAGCAACUUACAUCAGUUGAAACUAUUAUUGCUGUAGCUACAAAGCACAGAGUGAAAGUAUCCACAUUUCCCAGGACAAGCUAUGCUACAAGUGAAUAAGUAGAUUUCUCAAGGAUCCUAGGAAUGGUGUAAACUUUCUAUAUUCAAGGAAUGAUGCAAAGCACCAGCGUCGACAUAUCCCGAUCAUCUGAUCUCUUAAUCCACAAGUUAACAGCAAAACUACAAGGGACCUUGACACUUUAACACAUAUAGCCAUAUUCAUAAUAUUAUAGCAGAAGUUCCUUUCCAAUUGACCGACCAAAUAUUGCUCAUCUAGGUGUGUAUUCUCAGACAAUAGUAUAGAAUUUGAUCAUGCAAGAGAUGCAUAAUUAAGUAGGAAAACUUUCAUAUUGCUCUUUCCCCGACUAUUCCACACUACAUUAUUAAUUUUUCAUUAAAGUUAAGUUGUUACUUAGAUAGAAGGAAAGAAAUGGACUGACCAUUCUGGUUACAAAAAUAUCCUUCUUUUUGCCUAUUAAAGUACCACCAAGUCAUGAAGAUCCUAACUUAAUUAUCUCCACAGCUGGGCUAACUCCUCAUAUGUGUUCCAAUAACAAGUUAAAACUAAAGAAUUCUAGCAUUCCAUAUUAGAUUUUACUGGAAGAAGACAGAUAAUAUAUGUACCUUUUGCUCCUCACAGUAUGAUGGAUCGGAAAACCAACUUUCAUCAACUACCACAUCCUCCUUUAAUUCUCUAUUUUUUGAAACUGCAACCAUAGAGGAUGUUAUAACUACUCUAUUGGCAGAAGAAGAAUUUGCACAUGACCGCAGCACAUUCAGUGUUCCGCUUACUGCAGGUUCCAGUAGUUCUGCCUAUGAAAUCAAACCAAGUAAAAAAGGAAGUCAUUACCAGUCAUAGGUAAGACUAUGCUUUUAACCUGCAAAAAACUUAUCAUUCUGGUAUUAUGUUUGAGAAUUUCACCACAAAUGCUGUAAACCUACAGCUUUAGUUACUUAGCUAAAGGAUGCAUAUAGUUGUCUUAUCUCCUCUUGCUGCUAAAAUAAGUUCUCAGGUCCUUUAUUGUUGUUUUUCCCAUAUUUUUUGAGCUUUCACUGGGUGACAGGAACUUAAGACCAAUAGAGGAACAACUGAAAUAAGUCUUAGAUGUGGUCACCAAUUAAACCGUUUGGUACCUAAUAUCAACCGAUGAAAUUCUGUUCUGGCUUGAACAGGACAGACAGAAAAUAUAAAAGGUGUAGCUCCCAUGAAUCCUGCGAAUAGAUUUUAGCGUGAACACAUAAUGCAUGUUGCAAUUUCUUUUAGUGUCUGUGAGGCAACCUUGUUCAUUGAAAUUACUAAAAUCAAAGUUCUACAAAGUUACUGAUAUAAAAAUCCAUAAACAAACAGACAAGGAUAGGUGUACUGCAUAAAAUUUUAAGGCACAAUCAUUAAUAGAAGUUAAUCAACAUACAAAUGAAGAUACAUAUAAUUUGCAGAUGCUUGAACAUAUAUUGUAGUUUCUAUAAGCUUCUUAUUCAUGGUGAUAUCGGCACCCAAAAACUAUUGGCUCUGCACUGGCUGAAUAAUUAGUUGGUCAAAGCAGCGAUUCAUUUGCUCCAGGGCAAGCUUGUAGCUUGCUCUAUAACCUUGACAGGUGCCGAACCUGUGCAAUAAUAAUUACUAAAAAGUCCUAAUUACCACCUCAAUUAAUUAUAGAACAAAUCCAAAUACUGGAGCAGGGACCCUAGGUGUGCAAUGGGUUACUUGAUUCACCAUAUUCCCGAAGAGUUUGCUUGAUCCGAUAUACCAAAUUUGCCUAUAAAAAUAUUAAUUUUGCAUACAAUGACAAGUAGGGUCGAUUCCACAGGGAACAGGUAGGAAGUUGUUUCUUUCCAAGUCAAUAGAAUAAAAUUGGGGGAUGAUUAAUGGGAUGGAAAUGAAAAUAAAAUAAAUAAAAUUCAAAAGAUAACUCCACAAGUACAAUUUAUUAAAAAUAGGAAUUAAUAAAAUUCUACCCAAAGGGUCAACUUUUCAGGUACGGUCCAAUUAAAUGAUCAUCGAUGCAGAGAUAUUUCAUUCAUCCGUCACUAGAUUGAUUAUAACUAUCAACAACGUCUGACAGCCAGUUCUCCCUUACCUUUUUUAUAACCAAGGUAUGACCGUUGACUGCUUUUCUAACCAGAAAACAACCCUAGGUACGACCGUAGGAAUUUAAUUAUCCAGUUGCAUUAAAACUGGAAAAAUUCAACCCUAACCAAUAAACACGCUAAGAGGGUUUAUUUAAAUUAGAUCUUGCGUUCCCCCAACAUAAAGCCAAUUAUGGUGGUUGUCACUAGGUAUCAACUAAACGAACAAUUAUUGAUUCAAUUUAGUUAAUAUGACAGUAGGCUAUUAAAUUAAAUCAAAUACCCGGCAGUUGAUAUUCAAUUAAUAAAAUACCCAUAAACAAUUAAUUCAGGAAAUGCACGAAUAGUAAAGAAUUGGAAGAAAGAAUAAAAAUUCGAUUAGAUCUCAUAGAUGUUAUGGACCGCGCCCUUGCGUCAACCUUUAGGUAGAGAGGAAAACUAGCCGCUCCUCAUCAUAUCAAUCUCGCGUGGUUCAAUUGAUAUCAUUCAACUUAAUUAUCAAAAGGAUUGGGAAAAGUGAAAUAGCGAAGGAACGGCUAAAAAGCCUUGCUUCCCUUUGUAGGGUUUCGUGUUCGUACCACUGAGGCCAAAGUAAAAGCAAAAGUCUAAUAGGGAAGUCGUACAGAAGCCAAAAGCAAAGAGUAAAUCGUCUGUAAUGGCCGACAGAUGGGAGCCAAAGAAAAUUAAAGCUAAGCUAAUCUAUUAGACGUGAAUCUGGCUUUGACUAAAUGCUGUGAAAGACCGAAGGACCCCAGACGUCUGACUCCAAAUUGAAACUCAAGCUACUCUAAUUGAUCAGACGUGAUUUUGGCCCUUUUUCCUUUUUGACGCCGCCGCCCACAGAGACCAAGAAACGUCUGGGUUUUACUUGCUUUUGGAGCCUAGGCUUUGAUUCCAUGCGUCGAGUUCACGUGGGUUUGGUUUCCUAGUUAGCCCUGCUGCUAUCAAUCCUGCGAGUCCGACUUUAGGUAUAUCUCCUCAGUUUCUGGCGUGGGCACGCCAUAAAAUAAAGAGUCUUCUGAAAAUGUGCCUCACGCGAUCACUUUUAACACCAACCACCUACAAUUUACACAAAUAUCAAAUAUGAGCAAAUUCUCAAUUCUUAGCACCAUGAGUUGCCAAAAUUAGGACAGAAUAAUAGUGCAAAAUGUGCUAAAUAACCGUUCUAUCAAAUCCCCCCACACCUAGAUAAUGCUUGCCCUCAAACAUUUCAGAGCUCAGAAGCACAAUCAAGAUAGCAACGGUUUCCUAGUCAUCUAUACUAGCACAAACAUCCCGCAUUCCCGACAAUAUCGCCAAAAUUAAAACAUACCAAACAGGUAGUUAUCCAAAGAAUAUGAACAGUAUUAUACGUUACCUUCAAGAAAAUGUAUAAAUACUAGGAACGCUCAAAUCAACAUCACGGAAUGGAAUUACCAUAGGCUUGCACAUUUAUCACAUCUCCACCACCGAAAAACGAACUAAAUACACAAAUCAAAGGGACUUUCAUAGGGUUGUAAUGGGGUUUAAGUAAAAGGAGGGAUAAGAAGGUGAAAAUAAGGUGUAAUGUGUCAGGGGAAUGUCCGAUAUCCACCACAUAACCACAAUGCUUCACCGGAGAAAUUUCCACAAACAAGACAGUUUCACCUACUGUACACACUGUGCAAAUGCCACCAAUUUUCUCUCUCUCUUUUUUGACAGGCAGCUUGCAAGGCGUGGGCACGUCCUAUAAGUCAGAGUCGUCCGUUCACUUCCUUCACUUUGCUUUCUCUUUUUUUUUUGGAGGAUAACGUCUUGCAAGGCGUGGGCACGCCCUGUAAGACAGAGUCUUCUGAUCAGCAGCUUAUUGUUGAUUUAUCCCCUUUUUUGUUCCAGAUGCACAAAGAUAGCAUCAUACAGAUUCUACUCUGACAACACUUGCGAUUCCAGAUUUAUUUGCCUUGCACAAAUGAUGAAAUUCAGACAUCCCUUGACAACACAGGGGUGACCAAGAAAGUCUAAAGAGAUCUUGGAUUAUCAACAUGGCUAACAAACAAACUCGACGGAUAAAAGCUCAAAUUGGUUUACUAUUAGAAGACAAGAUGAAGGCAUGAUUUUUAGGAAGUUAUAGGAAGUUUAAUCCUAAAUGCCCUUAUCAUUUCAAAUGCAACCAAUUCAACAAAAUGUGGUCUCGACAUGUACAAAAUAGCAAGUUCUAGAAUGCCAAUACCAUGUGUGAUACCCACUCAAUCAAACAAAAAUAGAGCAAACAAGAAUAAUGUGCUCACGCAAGGCUCAAAAGCUUCCAAAAAUUACAAAAGUGGGUCAAGUCCAGCAUACUCAAUAUUCAACGAUAUUGCUAAGGAAAAACCAGAUGCACAGCCAGCAUAUAUGACCACAUAUACGUGCACCCAGAUUGUAUAUUCCAUCAUAGUAAAAUGCUCUAGCAAAAAUGAACUAACUAUAUACUUUUUCCUUUUUGUUUUUCAGGUUUUUUUUCAUGUUUUCCUCUUUUUUUUUUUGUUUUUCGAGCAAAAAGAAACAAUAGAGACAAAAAGAAAUAAUAGAAAUCACUCCCCACACCUAAAACCUACAUUGUCCUCAAUGUAGCCUAGACAAAUAAAGUGCAAGGACAAAGGGAGAGAAACUUCCCUGACUACUGAGAUGGUGCAGCGAGAUCCUAAGGAGGCGGAGGAUGCAGGGGGUGGAAUCCAAUAUGAGCAUAGAAAGCUGCCUGAUUCUCUGUCUGAAUACGGGCAAAAACCUGUAACGCCCUAAAACGGUCAUCCAACCCCUCAAUGCGCUCCUCCAGCGCAUGGAUAGAAUCCUGGAGGGAGCGAUAUUGGGACUCCCAAGCAGGGGGAGCAUGAUAGGAGGACGGACCUGCCUGAUCCGGAUGGGGUGGAGACUCAGUGGAGGGGGCAGUCGGAGGAACCCGGGGCUGUGGUCCGUCCUCGCCAGGAGGUGUAAACUGAUAGACAUUUCCUACUUUGAAAAUAACUCCCAUCCGCUCCAAGCUGUGCAAAUCCAGUGGCUCUAUCUCAUGAGCUAGAGCGAAGUUGUUCUCUUUGUCGAGGUCAAGCAAACCCAAUCGAAUGGCCAAGUGAGUAAUGAGUGAACCCAGAAUUACCGGUUUAUUGCACUUUUGAAUGACUGAUUGCAUUUGAGUGGCCACCCAACAUCCAAAGUUAACCUGAACUUUGUUACGCAUGCACCAAAGAAAAUAAAAUUCUGCCUUGGUGAGAGUGCCGGAGGAAUCCUUCCGGCCCGAGAAAUUGUGAGCCAAGAACCUAUGGAUGACCUUCAAGACCGGAUCCUUCAGAUGAGAGGCCUUGGACUGACUCGGAUUGUAAAGUUGAGGAUCUGUGGACCACUCCCUCCAAAUGUCAAUGUAAUCAGUAGAAAACGGUUUGGUGUAGUCACACACACUAUUUAUAUAUGCUCUGGAUGCAAUGGUAUUCUCACUAACAAACCCCAAAGUCAGAUUAAACUCAUUAAUGGGCAUACUAUACUGGGUAUCUCUUAAUCUAAAUUGAAUAAUCCUCUUCCCAUCCAAAGUGAUGAAUUCAUUUUUUAUGAACUCGGAGGUGGAGUAGAAUUCACAACACAGCUCCUCAAACGUAGGGUAAUCAAUGGUUAGGUACUUUUGCCAACCUAUUGCCGAGAACAACUGUUCAACAUGUCGUGCAAUUUGUAAAUGGUCCAAGGUUGGGGCAUGGAAGCACUUACAUGGGGCAAAAAGACAGUGCACCAAGCUAUUGAACCGGUCCUGUUGUGCCCUUGUAAGGUUAGUGACCGGUUCCCCCCAUUCCCCAAGAGACAUAGUGCUUUUAUUGAGGCCUAAACGAGAACGAAUAGGGGUUUGAAUUGGGGCUCGCCUUUUACGAGGUUGGGACCCAGAUGCCCCAGAAGUUGUUGCUUUUUUUGGAGGCAUUUGGAGACCACAGGCAAAGUGUAAAUAAGUAAAGAGACAGCCAGUCAAUCACCAAAAGAGGGCAGGAGACCACAGUCAACAAUUACUACUCAAAAAUCAACAGUCCAAUAGCAAAGAGAGAGUACAAUUGCCCCACCAAACAAAGACAGGCAGAUUGACACAAAAAUCCCUCAUUAGCGUCACUAGGCAACCAAUAAUUAAGACAAGAAGAAUCGAGACCCCAAACAAUGAAAUUAUCAGUCAAAUAUGUCCAACAGAGGGUGAAUCACUUGUCACGUGUACCAGAUAUCCGAUUCACCAGAAUCCACAGAUAUAUAAACUCGAAUCUGAGUCAAAUAUAGCAACUAGAUCCCAAAUUUGAAGACCAGUGACAAAAAUUUAGGGAAAAUAUGGGUACCACUUUUUUUAGGCUGGAGGAGGUCGUGGGAGAGUCACACGGCGAGAAGAAGAGGAGCCCAAGGGCGGCGGCGCGUGCUCGUACGGAUGGGGAAGGACGCGCUGCUGGAGGGCUGUUGGCGGAGUGGGGCACACGGGCUGGCUGACGCGUGCAGCAAGGGCCUGGCCGGCAGGGCAGGUCGCGCCAGGCGGGGCAAUACUGCUAGGUGUGCUGGGCGUGCGGGGUGCGUGAGGUCGCUCGCGUCUGGCAGGCUUGCAGAUGAAGACCGCGAGCUGCUGGGAAAGCGCAGACCUGCUGCUGGGUCGACUGCAGGCGCGCGAGUUGAAGGGAGAAGGAGCACGCGAGGGAAGAGCAGGCGCGCAUGCAGCGUGCGAGUAGGGGAUGUCACGUGCAAAGGCAACUCGCACGCUGGUGAGUUUGGUGGCGGAGUGCGACAGCUGACCACGGGCGACAGACAAUGGCGCAGCGGCAGGCGGCGGUGUGCGGCAAAGACGAUGGCAGGUGGAGGAGGCGUGCGAUGGAGAAUGGCGGCGGACCAAGAAAGCAAGGCAAAAGAAGAAAGUGAGACUUAGUCAAAAGAAAGAAACUGAAAAAGUAGAAGCUAGACUGACGGGUCUUGACAAACUAGACAAGACAAGGAAAAGAGUAAAGUAGAAAAGUGGGGUCAGAGAGGGUCCCGGUCAAUUUUGACUUUUGUUGUCCCACAGAUUGGAAGACGUGGGCAUGCCUUGGAGGCCAUAGUCUUCUGACCGUCGCAUCUUGACAAAGUCCAAAAGAGUUCCUUUCAAGGCAUGGGCACGCAUUGCAACUGUUAGUCUUCAAUUUGCACAGUUGACCUGGCGUACCCCUUCCAAGGCGUGGGCACGCCUUGGAACCCCUAGUCUUCUGUUCAUCACCACAAAAACAAUCAAAAUAUAAAAAUAGAACUGAAAAAUCGCAAGUAAAUGAAAAAUGAUCACAACUAAUUCUGUAUUCCUUGGGUUGCCUCCCCAGCAGUACCUUUCUUUAAUUUCUUUGGCUAAACAUGGCCAUCAGCUAUUUAGACCUCACGAUUUGGAUCAUUAAGAGAUAUAAUCUCCACUUGCUCACUGUUAAACCCUUCAUAAUAAGGCUUUAGACGGUGACUAUUGACUACGAACUUCUUCUCCGUUUUCAAGCUUUGGAUCUCCACUGCACCAUAAUGAAAAAUAUUAGAGAUAACAAAUGACCCAAUCCAACGCGAACGCAACUUACCUGGAAAAAACUUAAGUCUCGAGUGAUAAAGUAGGACUUUUUGCCCUAUUACAAAUGACUUCCUUGAGACUUGUUGGUCAUGAAAAAUUUUGCUCUUCUGCUUAUAAAUUGCGGCGUUCUCAUAGGCUUCAUUCUUUAGCUCCUCCAACUCUUGUAAUUGGAGCUUUCUAUGUCCUCCGGCCUCCAUAAGGUCCAUGUUACACCGCUUGAGCGCCAAAAAUGCUCUGUGUUCAAAUUUCAUCAGGAGGUGGCAAGGCUUCUCAAAAACUAACCUGUAUGGGGAUAUCCCAAUCGGUGUUUUGUAUGCGGUGCGGUAAGCGCAGAGAGCAUCUUCCAACUUCAAACUCCAGUCCUUUCUAUCAGACUGCACCAUUUUCUCUAGGAUUGACUUCACCUCUCUAUUCAACACUUCAGUCUGACCAUUCGUCUGUGGAUGAUAGGGAGUGGACACUUUGUGGAGCACGCCAUAUUUACGAAACAGAACAGUGAUCGUCUUAUUGCAAAAAUGGGUGCCCCUGUCACUGACUAUAGCUCUCGGCAUUCCGAAACGGACAAAAAUGUUAGAUUUAAUAAAUUCUGCAAUCACUCUAGAAUCAUUAGUUUGGGUGGCCUUUGCCUCCACCCAUUUGGAAACAUAAUCAACAGCAAGUAGAAUGUACAAGAAACCAAAGGACGAGGGAAAGGGACCCAUGAAAUCUAUACCCCAAACAUCAAAAAUUUCAACAAAUAAUAUGGGGGUUUGACUCAUUUGGUCUCUACGAGAAAUAUUCCUCACCUUUUGACACCUAUCACAAGAUUUACAGAACAAAUAUGCAUCCUUAAAAAGAGUCGGCCAAUAAAAAUCGCUCUCUAGCACCUUACGAGCUGUGCGUUUUGGCCCAAAGUGCCCCCCACAUGCAAAUAAAUGGCAAAAAAUCAAAAUAGAAUAGAACUCAUCGGCACUUACACACCUUCUUAUCACCUGGUUCGAGUAUUGCCUCCACAAGUAUGGGUCAUCCCAAAUAUAAUAUUUGGCGUCAUUUCUCAACUUAUCUCUCCUUGCCAUCGGUCAACCUGAAGGCAAUUGAUUCGUUACCAAAAAAUUUAUAAUGUUAGCAUACUAGGGUGCCGAUGAAUCAAUGGCUAGCAAUUGCUCCUCGGGAAAUGACUCUCUUAAUGGCAGAUCCUCCUAAUUCGUGAGCAGCCGACUCAAAUGAUUAGCCACCAAAUUCUCGGCUCCGCUCUUAUCCUUGAUCUCUAAGUCGAACUUCUGCAGGAACAAGAUCCACCUGAUCAGCCUCGAUUUUGCAUUUUUUUUCGCCAACAGGUACCUCAAGGCUGCAUGAUCAGAGAAAACAAUUAUUUUCGCACCCAAUAAAUAUGACCUAAAUUUUUCUAGUGCAAAAACAACAGCUAGUAAUUCUUUCUCCGUCGUGGAGUAAUUAAGUUGGGCUCCACUCAAUACUCUCGAUGCGUAGUAAAUCACGUGUGGCGUUUUUCCAAUUCUCUGUCCCAAUAUGGCUCCUACGGUAUAAUCGCUCGCGUCACAUAUUAUUUCAAACGGCAGGCUCCAAUCUGGGGGUUGAAUGAUGGACGGUGGCGUCAACGACUCUUUCAAUUUAUCAAAGGCCACUUUGUAUUUAUCGGUGAAGUCAAACGACACGUCCUUUUGCAGCAACUUAAACAAGGGAGCUCCGAUCUUUGAGAAAUCCUUGAUGAACCUCCUGUAAAAUCCUGUAUGGCCCAAAAAAGAACGUACCUCCCGUACAUACACGGGGUAAGGUAGAGCAGAAAUAAGAUCUAUCUUAACUUUAUCUACCUCUAUUCCCUUAGCCGACACAACGUGCCUUAAAACAAUAUCAUGUUCGACCAUAAAGUGACACUUCUCUCAGUUAAGAACCAAAUUCGUUUCUAUGCACCUUUUCAGAAUUAAAGCUAGAUUAUCAAGACAUUCAUCAAAACUAUCCCCGUAUACGCUAAAAUCAUCAAUGAACACCUCGAUUAUCUUUUCUACAUAUUCUGAGAAAAUACUUACCAUGCACCUUUGAAAAGUUGCUGGAGCAUUGCAAAAAUCGAAAGGCAUCCUACGGUAAGCAAACGUACCAAAUGUGCAGGUGAACGUGGUCUUUUCCUGGUCCUCUGGUGAUAUCACGAUCUGGAAGUACUCUAAAAAACCAUCCAAGAAACAGUAAUAAACACGACCAGCUAAUCUUUCCUCACAGAAUUUAGUCUCCGGUAGUCAAUGCACUGACGCCAGCUAGUAGCUUUCCUAACUGGAACCAUAUCACCCUCCUGGUUCUCCUCUACGAUCACUCCUAUUUUUUUUGGGAUCACUUGAACAGGACUCACCCAAGGACUGUCCGAGAUAGCAAAAAUAAUCCCCACCUCUUGGAGUUUAAGUAUCUCUUUCUUUACAACUUCCAUCAUCAGAGGAUUCAACCUCCGUUGUGCCUAUCUUAUCGGCUUCGCAUCCUCUUCGAGUCGAAUCCGGUGCAUGCAUAAGGAUAGACUUAUUCCAUUUAUAUCUGCUAUGCUCCACCCAAUUGCCUCAUUAUACUCCUUAAGAAUUCGCACCAGUUUAUCCUCUUGAUUUGGAAAUAAAUGUGCAGAAAUAAUUAUCGGAAGUGUCUCCCAAUCUCCCAGGAAUGCGUACUUUAGAUGCUUCGAGAGAGGCUUAACCUUUAAUUCCGGUGCCUGCACAACUGAAGGAAGCAGCUUUGUCUGAGUCUCUGGCACAAACAGAGAAGUAAACUCAUACCUUGGAGAAACAGUUGAUAGUGAGUAUAAGGCUUCAACUGCAUGGUGCAACUCAUCCCUCAUGUCCACAUCAAGAGUUACACCCAACUCAAGAUGCUUGAUUAGGGCCACUUCCAAUGCGUCCUCACCAUUCAGUUCGAAAGUUUCCUGUACAAUGAGCUCAAAAACAUUCAAAGCAAAGACUGAGUUAGAUUCUUCUGGGUAUUUCAUCGCCUCAAAAAUAUUAAAGUUUACAGUUUCGCCAUCAAAUUCUAUUGAUAAAGUAUCCUCAUUCACGUCUAUUUUCGUCCUAGCAGUGCUAAGAAAUGGUCUACCUAACAAAAUAGGUGACGGGUUUAACGACUUUUCAUCUCCCAUAUCCAAGAUAUAAAAAUCUGAUGGAAAAACUAACUCAUUUACUUGAACCAGGACAUCCUCAACUAACCCUUCUAGGUAGGCAUUGGUGCUGUCGACAAGUUGGAUUAUGAUGGCCGUCUCUUUUAAUGACUCAAGAUUCAGGGACGUAUAAAUGGUUUUUGGCAUCACAUUGAUUGACGCCCCUAAAUCCAAACGGCUCUCUUGAUCGGUGUAUUUUCUAUCUUACAAGGGAUCGUGAACAUACCUGGAUCCCCACAUUUGGGUGGGAGUUUUCUUUGGAGUAUAGUUGAUACGUUUUCUCCUACCACUACCCUUUCAUCCCCUCUCAACUUUCUCUUGUGAGUGCACAAGUUCUUGAGAAAUUUCGCGUACUUCGGUACUUGCUUGAUUGCAUCCAACAAAGGGAUGUUGAUCUCCACUUUUCUGAACACGUCCAGGAUCUCUUUCUCUUUCCCCGCCUUCUUCGUUUUCUCCAACCUGCAUGGAAAAGGAGGUAAAUUAGAUUUAAUAGGAAUUGAUGGAGUAAGAGUUACUUUAGGGUCUCCAUGAAUGUGUCUUUCUUCCUCAAUCUCCUUUUCUAUCUCCUCCUCACUCUUAUCUUUCAGGUUCGUAGUCUUUGGCCCCUCCACUUCUUUACCCUGUCAUGGUACUCACAUUUUUGGGAUUUGUCUCGGGUUGCGAUGGUAAUUUUCCAAAAACUUGGGACUCCAAGCUAUUAAUCGCGGUUGCCAUGUGACUUUUUUGAAUCUCUAGAUUUUUCAUGCCCGCUCUGGUUUUCUGUUGGAACUGAGCAGUACUCGUGGCCAGGCUCUUGACAAUAUCUUCCAAAGAACUUCCUGAGUUAGAUGACGAAGGUUGUGAUUUUGGUUGCAAUGGUUGCUGGAAUCCUGGUGGACGAUUGGAGAAUAAAUUCUGUGGCCUAUUCCCAUAGCUGAAAUUGGGGUGGUCUCUCCAACCCGGAUUAUACGUGUUGGAGUAUGGGUCAUACUGCCUACGAGACGCGGGCACGCCUCCAGCCAUAUUCACUUGUUCAGUCCCAUCCUCUUGCAACAUAGGGCAUGAGUCAGUGGGGUGGCCCACAUUUGUGCAGAUUCCACAGGCCUUUGCUUGAUGCACGUUUCCCACAACUAAUUGUCGAACAAAAGAUGUCAGCUCUGAUAUCUGCUGCUGAAUGGACGACGUCUCUACCUCGUUGACCCUGCGGGUAGGGUUACUCUCACGAAAGCCAAACUGUUGAGAAGUCUCUGCCAUCAAUUCAAUGAGUAGCCAUGCUUCCCUUGGUGUCUUGUUCACCAAUGCUCCCCCACUUGCAGCAUCAAUGAUACUCCUAUUAGACGACUGGAGGCCCUCAUAGAAAUAUUGGAUCAAUAGUUGUUCACUAAUUUGAUGUUGUGAGCACCUAGUGCACAACUUAUUGAACUUCUCCCAAUAGUUGUGUAGGGAUUCUCCAGGGUACUGCUUAAUGCCACAUAUCUCUUUUUUUAGACUUGCAACCCGGGACGCAGGGAAGAAUUUUUCCAAAAAUUUCUUCUUAAGUUGGGUCCAUGUGGUGAUACUACCUGCAGGUAGGUAGUACAACCAAUCAUUCGCUGCAUCCUUGAGAGAGAAGGAGAAGGCUUUAAGUUUAAUCUGCUCCUCAGUAAUUCCUGGAGGCUUCAUACUGGAACAUACCACAUCGAACUCUUGAAUGUAUUUAUGGGGUUCCUCACCCGAGAUGCCAUGGAACGUGGGUAGGAGGUGAAUUAAUCCUGACUUCAGUUCAAAAGAGGUAUUCUUAACUAGAGUUGGAAAUGUGAUGCACAACGGCUGUUGGGACAAUUCCGGAGCAGCCAGCUCCCUUAGUGUCCUUGCAUUCGCCAUAGAGAUGUCCUCUUGGCCUGGGUCACUUAAAUUUUAACAACUCAAAUUUGUUGACUCAACCUCAGGAUCCAGUCUCUGAGAUGCAAUGCUGGAUUGCUCCUCCCUUAGCUGUCUGGUCUCUUUCUUAGUUUGGCGCGCAAUCUUCACUACUUUUGGGUAAAAAAUCAAUUCACUUGUACGAGAAGAACGAGGUAUGAACUAGAAAAAUGUUAGACAAAUCCAAAGAGAACAACUUAGAAAGAAACAAAAUUAACCAAAACACCGUUCCCCGGCAAUGGCGCCAAAAAUUGACAGGUGCCGAAUCUGUGCAAUAAUAAUUACUAAAAAGUCCUAAUUACCACCUCAAUUAAUUAUAGAACAAAUCUAAGUACUAGAGCAGGGACCCUAGGUGUGCAAUAGGUUACUUGAUUCAUCCUGUUCUCGAAGAAUUUGCUUUAUCCGAUAUACCAGAUUUAUCUAUAAAAAUAUUAAUUUUGCGUAUAAUGGCAAGUAGGGUCGAUUCCACAGGGAGUGGGUAGGAAGUUGUUUCUUUCCAAGUCAAUAGAAUAAAAUUGGGGGAUGAUUAAUGGGAUGGAAAUGAAAAUAAAAUAAAUAAAAUUCGAAAGAUAACUCCACAAGUACAAUUUACUUAAAAUAGCAAUUAAUAAAAUUUUACCCAAAUGAUUAACUUUUCAAGCAUGGCCCAAUUAAAUGAUCAUCGAUGCAAAGAUAUUUCAUUCAUCCGUCAUUAAGUUGGUUAUAGCUAUCAACAAGCUCUGACAGCCAGUUCUUCCUUACCUUUUUGACAGCCAAGGUACGACCGUUGACUGCUUCUCUAACCAAAAAAUAACCCUAGGUACGACCGUAGGAAUUUAAUUAUCCAGUUGCAUUAAAACUGGAAAAACCUAACCCUAACCAAUAAACACGCUAAGAGGGUUUAUUUAAAUUAGAUCUUACAUUCCCCCAAUAUAAAAGUCAAUUAUGGUGGUUGUCAUUAGGUAUCAACUAAAUGAACAAUUACGGAUUCAAUUUAGUUAAUGUGACGGUAGGCUAUUAAAUUAAAUCAAAUACUUGGCCGUUGAUAUUCAAUUAAUAAAAUAUCCAUAAACAAUUAAUCCAGGAAACGCACGAAUAGUAAUGAAUUGGAAGAAAUAAUAAAAAUUUGAUUAGAUCUCACAGAUGUUAUGGACCGCGCCCUCGCGUCAACCUUUGGGUAGAGGAGAAAACUAACCGCUCCUCAUCGUAUCAAUCUCACGUGGUUCAAUUGAUAUCAUUCAACUUAAUUAUCAAAAGGAUUGGGAAAAGUGAAAUAGCGAAGGAACGGCUGAAAAGCCUUGCUUCCCUUUGUGGGGUUUCGUGUUCGUACCACUGAGACCAAAGUAAAAGCAAAAGUCUAAUAGGGAAGUCGUACAGAAGCCAAAAGCAAAGAGUAAAUCGUCUGUAAUGUCUGACAGAUAGGAGCCAAAGAAAACUAAAGCUAAGCUAAUCUAUUAGACGUGAAUCUGGCUUUGACUAAUUGCUGUGAAAGACCGAAGGACCCCAGACGUCUGACUCCAAAUUGAAACUCAAGCUACUCUAAUUGAUCAGACGUGAUUCUGGCUCUUUUUCCUUUUUGAAGCUGCCGCCCAUAGAGACCAAGAAACGUCUGGGUUUUACUUUCUUUUGGAGCCUGGGCUUUGAUUCCAUGCGUCGGGUUGGCUUGGUUUCCUAGUUAGCCCUGCUGCUACCAAUCCCGCGGGUCCGACUUUAGGUAUAUCUCCUCAGUUUCUGGCGUGAGCACGCCAUAAAAUAAAGAGUCUUCUGAAAAUAUGCCUCACGCGAUCACUUUUAACACCAACCACCUACAAUUUACACAAAUAUCAAAUAUGAGCAAAUUUCCAAUUCUUAGCACCAUGAGUAGCCAAAAUUAGGACAGAAUAAUAGUGCAAAAUGUGCUAAAUAACCGCUCUAUCAAACCUUACCCUGACUGACUGACCCCAAUGUUUCGAAAACUGGAUCGGAUCAGUUGGUUCGAUCGGUUGAAUCGCGAACCGAUCGUGCCUCCGAUCCGGUUCAAUUACAAAACUAAAGAAUUAAUUGAACUAGUCAAAACCGAUCAAGAACUUGAAAAAAUCGGAGGUUCAAUCGAUUUUUAUUAAGUAUUUAUUUUCUAAAAUAAAUAUUUUAGUUUUAUUCAAAAAUUUUAAUACUAAAAUGAAUAAAAAUUUAUUAAACUUUGAACCGGAGUUGAAUCAGUUGAAUCAAUUGAAUCGUAAAUCGAAAAAUUUUCCGGUCCACUCUCCGGUCCGGAUUUAAAAACAUUGACUUACCCAGGAAAAUAGUUAGUCAACCCAAUCUACGGCCCAAUUGUGGACCAUUUGCUAAGUUUAUGACUCUUAAUGUUUUUAUUCCAUAACGUUGCACCCUUUGAAUUGUUUCUCUGAAGUACCAACAGAGAAACAUCAUUUGAUCAUUUUAUAGAAACGUCAUGCAAACUGAUUAAAGAGAGACAAAAGCACAUAACAAACGGCAAUCUUUUUGUGAAUGACCUGCAGGAACAGAAUAGUUUUGUAUGUACCAAAUGUAAAGAAAUAUUCUUCAGGUGUUAGACCUGCGUGCUUCAUUAAUCUCUUCCAUUUGGUUAAUAUAAGAAAAAGUAGAGCCGUAGAAUUGGAAACAUUUGAUUCUAACUCUUUUUUAUUUUACAGUUGUAACAUUGUCAUAAAUCAUAUAUAGAGGAAUAGACUAUAACCCAAAAAAGCCAGUAAAAAUGCAACAGAGGAAGAUACUAAAAGAAGUCGUACAAUUAUAAAUCAGAAAAUAUGCUACGAUUUUCAAAGUUCACUUGAUAAAUAGCAGAUUUUGUAGACAGUAGAGAAUUUUCAAUUUUGUAAAGCAAAUGUACCUCUGGAUUGCUAAAUGAAAGUUUGAUUGGAGAUGCAGUAUGGAAAACCUAUUCACAUCCCUCGACUAUUGGAUCAAACGAUCCCUCUUCUAGUAAGUUUGCCGAGUACAACUGAAGCCUUUCUUUAGCUCCAUCAAGUGAUGUCAAAUGUUGUGUCCUUUCCUGAUCAUCUGUGUCAUGACUGCAUCAGUAGAAUGUUCGGAUAGCUAUAAUCAAAACCAUGCCGCCAACAGGAGACCGCCUUGGUUUUCACUAUGGUCAAAACUGAAGAAGAAAUGGACUUAAGAGUAAUAAUAAACGAAUCUCAAAGCAAUGAUAAAUUUGACUAGCUAAAGGCAAGCGGGGAAAAGCGAAAAGAAAUUGACGGGCAACAUAAUAUGACCACAAUAAUAUCAUAGCCCUAUGAUUUCUGGUUUUGAGAUGCGUACAUUUGUAACUUUCUUGAUAACAAUUAAUUCUUGAGAUAAUUAUCAGAGCGACAAUUGUAUGCCAUCUACCACUAUUUUUAUAACAAACUCAGUCCUUCAGAAGAAGGAUAUAGAUUCGAUAGGGUAAAGAUUUUUGAGUAUAACUUGAUCUUUGUAUCUGGAGCAUGAAACAUUACUGUUAAGGUGUACAUUAUAUAGUUUCAGCUACUCAAAUAUCAAUUAGGUUGGUCCACAUCAAUUUUUUUUUUUGCAAGUGAUUUUUUUUUUUUGAGCAAACAGAACAUGGGGAGCAUUUACUAGCAGCUGUUGCAAGAAUAUCAUCUGAAGCUACAAAACAAUUUCACACUGCAGAGUUGAAUAAAAAUGUUGGGCAAAUUACAUAUAAUGCUCCUGUGGCUUUGUUUGUUGCCACAUGACCCUUCUAACAUUUUAAAAUAUCCAAUUCACCCACUAUGAUUUAUGUAAAGCGGAAACUUGAUAGAGAAUAGCCUAUGUAAUGUCGUUAAUUGAAAUACCAUUAGUAUUUUUACUUUAAUGCUAAAUCAAUCGAUGAUUUAAUUACCUUAUAUAAAAGUAUAAGGGGAUUAUGUGGAUACAUAUAAAAAUCACAAGAGGGAUAAAGUAGGCAUUUAUACAAACUAUAAGGGAAUUACAUUGAAAUUAAGACUUUAUCACACAUGCUUUUAGAGCACGUUUGGUAUAAAUGUCGUAACUAAUUGUGCAUUCCAUCAUUUUCCGCUUUACAUAUAACUAUGGGGGGUUAUGUGACUAUUUGGAAAUCUUAGGGGGACCAUCUAGCAUUAUAUAAAAUCAACCUAAAAUAUAGUUAUAAGUAAUUUACCCUAAAAUGUUAGAUUCCAGGAGCAAUUAAACAACAAUCAGAACAGGGCAUCAAAAACUGCACAAGCCACUUGGAUAUUUGAUCAAGAAUAAAAACUGGACUAACUGGCAUCUCGAACAGAACCUUUAACAGUAUAACCGCGCUCGAGCAGCAGCUUCACCAGCCCUGAAGCUGUGUAACCCGAAGCUCCCGUCACACACACCAUUUUCCCUUCUCCUUCUCCACUCAUUUUGUUAUAAUAUUUUUGUGUGUGAAUCUGUCCCUGUUUUUAAUUUGUUCAGAGGGCUUCUCUAACUUGCUAAGAAGAGCUGAGGAAAGUAAAAGGAUUCAAGGCCUAAAAAUCAGCAGGCAUGGACCAGUUCUAACUCACCUUUUCUUUGCUGACGAUUCUAUCAUCUUUUGUAAAGCCAAUAAGGAAGAGGCAGUGGAAAUUAUGGAAGUUUUGAAAACAUAUGAAAACGCCUCAGGGCAAUUGGUCAAUCUGGACAAAUCUGCAGUUUUCUUUAGCAAAAACAUGGACAGUGAGCAAAAGAAAGAGGUCUGUCUUGCUCUUGGAGGAAUGGUAGAGGCAAAGCAAGGUAAAUAUUUGGGACUCCCUAUGGUAGUCUCAAGAACUAAAGACCAGAUUUUUGGAUUUGUGAGGGACAAUAUAAGAAAAAGAUUCCAGAAUUGGAAAAACAGAUUUUUGAGUCCAGCAGGUAAAGAAGUAAUGUUAAAGGCAGUUGCAAUGGCUAUGCCUACGUAUGUUAUGUCUUGCUUUAAGCUGCCAAGAAGAUUGUGUAAAGAUAUUUGUACAUUGAUGGCCAACUUUUGGUGGGGAGAAUCUAAUGGCAAGAACAAAAUGCACUGGAUUUCUUGGGAAAGAAUGGCAUUGAAAAAAAGUACAGGAGGUCUAGGCUUCAAGGAUCUUGAAGCUUUUAAUCAAGCUCUGUUAGGAAAGGAAGUUUGGCGUUUACUUACUAAACCAAAUCUGUUGGUUAGUAAGGUGUUGAAAGCCAGAUAUUAUCCUAAGGAGUCCAUCUUACAAUGCCGCUCUACCAAAAAUGCAUCCUGGAUCUGGCAAGGACUAAUGGGAGCAAGAAGCUUACUCAAUGAAGGACUGAUCAGGAGGAUAGGGAAUGGGCGUAGUACAAGCCUCUGGGAACACAAGUGGGUUCCAGAUACAGCUACAGGAAGGCCAACUACAUGCCGAUGGAGUAAUUGUGAGCUGGAAAGGGUGGAUGAGCUAAUAAGUCAUCAUAGAUGGAACAGGAAUAUCAUUUUUAGAAACUUCAAUAGAAAUGAUGCGCAAAAAUUUCUAGCUAUCCCUUUGAGCCUAUCCGAGAGGGAGGAUAGUUUUUAUUGGCAACCAAAGGCGGGAGGGCUAUACACUGUUAACUCAGGUUACAAACUCUUGAUGAAGCAAUACAGAAAAGGGACAAGGAGUAAUCCUGAGGGAGGUUGCUCUAGUUAUGUAGAAGGUAGUUCACAAGUAGUACAGAUGUGGAACACACUGUGGAGGUUAAACAUUAAAGACAAGAUCAAGUUUUUCAUCUGGAAAUGCAUUCAAGGAGCUCUGCCAGUGAAGGAAGCAGUGAGUAGACGAAUGGGGGGUGGAUGAUCCGAUAUGCACGACGUGUGGAACAACACAGGAAACAGUUGAACACCUCCUGCUGACUUGUCCUCACACGGUGAACAUAUGGAAGGCAGCUCUUAUUCAGUGGGAUGGAGCUAAGGAUCAGCAGGGAGAUUUCAAAUGUUGGUGGCUAAGAAUUUCAGAAGCAAGGCAUAGGCCAGAAGGGAUGGAACAUAUUGGUUUGACUGCAAAUAUCUUGUGGCAGGUGUGGAAAGAAAAAACAAAAGGGAAUUUGAGAAAUCAGAUAGAGUUCCACCAUUAAAAAUGAUAGGAAAAGCUCAUAAGGAAUGGUUGGAACAGCUGCAGUUAGAGCGCACGAAAGAAGGAGAGAGCACAGAAGAAACAAUCCCUAGGCAAGAAUUACCGGGCCAGGACAAUGCAAAUGAAGAAGCUAUGAUUAUGGAGAUGGCAACAACCAAGAAGAAAGGGCAGUUUUUUUUUGGGAUUGGAGUCACAGUCAAGGAAUAUGCAAGUAAUAGAAUGACAGGGUGGGUACUGAAAGAGAUAAGUCUGGGAAACAAACUCCUAGAUGAAGCACUAGCACUGAAGCUGGUCUUGUGCAAAGCUGUGCAACGUAAUUGGAGCAAGGUCAAGCUGAACUUUUGUAACAAGGAGCUGUGGAGACAAAUCACACAGCAGAGUCCUGUGGACAGCAAAAUGGCAACAGUACUAGUAGACAUCUCUAAUUCACAGAGAUUGUUUUGCAUGUGCUCUUUUGACUUGUGUAGGGAAGAAAAUAUGAUAGUUAGCAAAAAACUGAGUGAUGAUACCUUAGGCGUUAUUGUUGAUGAGGAACGACUGUUUCCUCAAUGUCUUUGAACACUUCUUGUAUAGUUUCUCUCGAGCCGUUGCUCGUACAUGUAAUCUUUUUCUUUAAAGCAAUGAAAUUCUCUUGUGGUUUCGAGAAAAAAAAAGAAUCUGUCACCUGUUUGCCUUACUUCUGGACUAAUAAUAAUGGAGGGAGGCCUAUAUGGUGUACAUAUAGCUAUGGUGAAGAAGACGAAAGAUUGGAUAUGAGAUUACUGGGAGACCGGAGAGAUCCAUAUCUAUUCUUGCAAUUUGCAUGGAUCAUCGCUGACAUACGUAUGGUAUAAUCGCGUCACAUCCCAUUUUAUCAAGGUCAAUUGAUCAGUGUAAAAUAGAAAUGAGCAAUAAAUACGAGGAUAAAUUACCUUUUACACCUUAUGCUUUGAUGUUUUAUCACAUAAUCCCCUAUGAUUUAAAAACCUAUAUAUGACUCUCUCAUAGUUUGGGUUAUUGUAUAAGUAAAAAGCCAAAUUCAAACUUAACAAAUUCACUGUUUCACUACUUUUUUUUUUGUUUUUUUUCUCUUAUUUUCCUUUUCUUUCUCUUUUUUUUUUUGGAAAGAGUACAGAUGAUUUUGAAAACCUAUAUUUUGGCUUACAAAACCUUAAUUUUUUCCAAAUACAAAAGAGACAGAAGGGAAAUAAAAAAUAAAAUCAAUAAGAAACGAAAAAUAUGGAAGGUAAAGGUAAAACAAAAAAAUAAGAAACAAAAAAAUACCAAAUCUUUUUUUACUAUAAAUAUCAUUAUAGGUUUUUAAACCAAAUCUUUUAUGGUAUUUUCUAGUUCUUAUUUAUCUAUAUUUUAUUCAAUUUCUUCCUUUUUAUGUUUGGAGGAAAAAAAGAAGUAAUGAAGGGAUAAAUUUGUCAAUUUAUCAUUUUGACAUUUUAAUAUGGACUAUUAGUUUUAACGAAAAAACUAAUAAUGACACAUUAACCCAAAUCAUGAGAGGGUUAGAUAUAUUUUUAAACCAUGGGGGUUUACGUGGUAAAACAUCAAACUAUAGAGGUUAAAAUGAAAUUUAGCCUAAAUCCAAAAUCAGGCGGUUGCAUAUGAACAAAUACCAAGGUUCUUGACUUUGUUCAAUACAAUCCCAAGGCUAGAGGCACAAAUUUUAAAUUCACUACCAAGAUAAACCAUUCUCUUUUUUAUUUUGCCAUUUUUUCGGGUCAAAAAGUACAAACUACUUGAACUAGAAACUAGUCCUGACAAAGUUUGUGGGUUUUUUUGCAAGAGUUUUAGUUAAAUAUUGGUUACUUCGCCUAAUUUGCACCUAUUUUAUCAUGUAAAUGCAUGCACACUUUUAAAAAAAUAAUGCAUGCACUUAUAUUAUUGCCUUUCUUACAUUUAAAUACUUUUUUCAAUUUAAUUUUACUUUUCUGGCAAAACUAAAUCUGAAGCCCAUUUCAAGAAAUAUCCACCGAAUACCAGGUAAACAAACCUCCUUCGUAAUAAAGAGGACAAAAAAAAUUUUUUGUCUUUAAGGAUUAAAUUUAUAACCAGUCCUAAGAUAACACGCAGCGGUCUUUUUGCAUCUAACAAUUGGGCCUGUUUGGAAGGUGAGUUUUUUGGGUGUUUGUAUAAAACUUUACUGUAGAUCACUGUAGAAGUUGUAGAAAAACUUUUGUAAAAAUUUGGGUAUUUGUAAGAUGAAAUUUUUUUUCCUUUUCAUUUUCUUUCUUUCAUUUUCUUUUUUCUUUUUUUUUUCUUUCUUUCUUUCUUUUUUCUUUUCCUUCCUCCCUUUCUUCCUCUUCUCCCUCCCCCUCCCCUCCCCUGAUCCCUCUCCCGGUACCUCCAUGGCAGCAACCAACAGGUGAGAAUCAAAUUUUUUUUUUUUUGCGUUUUUUCUCUUCCCCUCUCCCUCCCCCGCCAUCCCUCUUAUCCCUCCCCCUCUCCCCUUCCCCUCUCCCUUACCCCGCCACCCUCUUUUUUUUUUCGUCUUCUCCCCUCCCUCUCCCGCCACCCCUCCCUCUCCUUUCCCCGCCAUCCCUUCCUUCCCCCGCCAGCCCUUCCUUUCCCCUUCCUUCCCCAGCCACCCUCCCUCUCCCCCUCCGGCCUCCCCUAGCUGCGAUCCCCUCCCUCUCCCCCUUUGCAAUCUGGUCGCGCGACCAGAUCGGUCAAAAAGGGGAGGGGGAGGGUGGCGGGGAAGGCAGAGGGAAAGAAGGGAGGGGGAGGGAGAAAGAAAAAAAAGAAAAAGAAAAAGAGCUUCAGCGACCAGAUCGGGCAAAGGGGGAGGGGGAGAGUGGCGGGGGAGGGAGAAGGGAGAGAAAAAAUACAAAAAAAGAGGAUCGCCGGAACUGGUGGCCGGAAUAGUGAUCGGCGCCGGAAGUGGUAGUGGAGGUGGUCGCCGGCGCCGGAGGACGUGGUGGGUUGGGUGGGGGAGGAAAAAGAAGAAAAGUUGAAGGGAAAGUUUUUUGUGUAUUUUUGAAGUGUGUUAGGUUAAAAACUUUGAUAAGUUUUUUGGGGUUCCUGUAGCAAAAGUUGUUAAAAAACUAGUUUUAUACAAACUUGGUAAAAAACCAAGCUUCCAAACAGGGCCAAUCCUUCUCUGAUUGAGAAAAGGGAAUUGACUUGAUGAUAGCAACUCUACUUAGAAAACUGGUCCACACCCUUGAAUGUGAUUUAAAUUUAAUAACACCAUUUCAUCAUUUCUGACAACUGCAUUUUCCGCACCCUUGGGUGACGACUGCACAAGAAAAUUUUAACUUUACUUGAUAUGUUGAGUUUCUACAAGCAGGGCCAAAUAUCAUCCACAGAACCAUUGCUCCUAUUAGAAAAGCUCUUGAAGUAAAUCAUAUUUCCAUUUCCUGCUAUUUUCAUCAAUUAAACAAUCUAUAGUGGAGUCUUCCAGUAACACAUCAAAAUGAGAUAUAAUUUUGAAAGUAGAAGGACGUGGAAUCUAUCUAUCUUUCCAAAUUUUGAUAUGAUUUCCGUUUCCAACUCGCCAUCUACUACCAAAAACACCUUUGACUAAUAAUUAAAUAGUUAAAAAAAACUAUAUCUACCUAAUUUGUUUACUCAAUAUUUAUGUGCACUUAAACAUAAAAAGAAAAGGUCAAUCCAUAUAUUAGUGUUAUAUUUGUAAUAUUAGUUCCCUAUAUAGUAGGUUGCUGUGUUGGAUGUAUUUAUAUUCUACCGAGUAAAUGCCCAAUCUUUUCAAAACGUGGCAAAAAAAUUGUGUUUGUUUUUUUUUGGUAGAUUUCAUUCUUUUUAUUUUUUUUGGUAACAAUUAAUUUACUCUUCCUUUUCAAUUCAUUAUUUAUAGUAAAUUUCAAUCAAUCAUCAAUUACUUACCUUAUAUGCAUUUCUAUUAAUUAUACCUCUAUUUGUUUUCAAUCAACUCAUAGCUUUCCUUUUUAAUCAGGCACUCGUUAAUAUAUAUCUUAGGUGUUAAAUUAUUAGAAAUAGAAGAUUAAUUAGGGAAAGCGUAUAAAUGUAAGGGAAUUAAUUAGAAAAAUAUAUAAAUACAAGAGAAAGUAGUAAUUGUUGCAUAUAUACAUAGUAUAUUGGGUGAAAUGUAAGUGAGUUAACGAUUGCCCAUAGGGCACCCAUUAGAAAAACUCAUCAAAAUUUGGAUGAAUUUUAUUUUGCCUAUCAUUGCAAUCAUUACUACCAUUUUUCCUAUCAUUUAUUACUAUAACUUCAUGUUUUCUAAAUUCCAAUCAAUGUAUUACUCUCUUACUUUUUAUAUGAUUGUGCUAAUUACAGCUUUCCUUUUACUUAAUCAAUUAGUCAAUCAAUCAAUCAACCCAUGAUUUUAAUUUUCUUUUUCAAUUACAAGAUUCUUUCUUUUAUCCAUCAUUAGGGAGAUUUACAAUUAGUCACAUUUUUUCUAUUUUGUACUUCCAUUAUUUGACCUGAUUAUUAAUUCAAUCCACAUAUCUUGUAAUAUGUACAAGAAUAUGCAAUCAUAAGCACAAAUAAAUGCAAUUCUAAUAAUUUUGCAUAUAUGCUUUCAUAUUGUAUUGCAACACAUUUAAUAAUUCAUUAUAUGGUUACAAAAGAAAAAAAAUCUAGUAUUACCUAGACCUUAGAUAGUUCCCAAUGUAUACGCUGAUACUAUACGGAAAGAUUAAAAUCUGCUAAUGUAUAUACUGAUUGCUUAUGAAGAUUCAUCCCUAGUUUAGAUCUCUUAGAUAGUUUCCAAGCAUUAUAUUCCCUUUUUUUAAUUUCUUGUUUAGUUUAAUUCCUAAAGUUAAUGAAAUGGUUUUUAAAUCUCCCCUACAAAUGUACCUUAUUACCAUUUAUGAUUUUUUUUUAAAUUUAAGCAACAUCUUCCAAUAUUUUAUUACCAUUUUAAAUUAGUUCAUUUUAGGAGAUAGUAGUAUAAGUAUGGUAGUUUGUCCAAAUAACUUUGAAUAUGCAUAUACAACCCAAAAAUAAAAUGAUAGUUGUUUAUAUUCUUAUCACUCAAUGAUGAGAGUGGUCUAUAAUUUAAAUGAUUGAGAUAUAUCGCCAUCCAAAUAUAAAUUUAUUACGAGGGUAUGAUACCUUAAGUGACUAUAGAAUCUCCCUAAAUGAUAAAUAAUGUGAAUUAGAUAUUCCCUCAAAAACUUGUAAAGUGCUUAAUGUAUAUACGGGUAAAUUCUUGCAAUAGUGAAAGGAAAAUAUCGUACUAGCCUUGAUUUUUUGGCUAUGUAUUGACUUUUGUUAGCUAAAUUAAACUAUCCUGGAGUGAAGACAUAAAAUCUGCUACAAAUAUUGAGAGAAUUGUGAACAUAGCUAACUUAUCUAGCAUACAAAUUUUUUCUCGAGUUUGAGUUCUCUAACUUACACUAUAAAAACAAAAAAAACUAUCGUACAUUUAACUUCCAACUAACAACGAUGUAUAGAUAACAAAUUAUAUGCAUGGGAUAUUCCCAUAAAUAAAUGAAAUAUAUUUAAGUGAGAAAGAGUAAAUUCUUAAAUUAAGAAGAAAUAAUAUUAUAGUACCUGUCAAUUUGAUUAUAUGACUUUUUGGUUUGUCUUUACUCAUGAUAGCCAAUUAUAUAUGUUAUUUUGAUGUAAAAAUAUCCAAAAAUGGUUAAAUACAAUGAGGGACAUUAUUAUUAUUACUCGGAUUAAGCAUGUCAAUGGGUAGGGUUUGGUUUGGAUCCCUUUGAUCCAGAUCCAAUCCCAUUUAAUUUACCUCUUAUUCUUAUUUAAACUUCAAUAUUGGUAGAUGUCUCGCAAUCCAGCACUAAAAUAGUAAAUGAGAUAAAAGUCAUUUGACUAAGGACUUGACAAAUAAAUAAUAGAAUAAGAAGAUUUACAAAUACUUAUUAAUUUUUUGGGUAAAAUACCAAAAAACUCCUUGUGGUUUACUAAAUGUUUAAUUUAACUCCCUUUGAUUUGGAAACCUACACUAUAACUCCCAGUGAUUUUAACUAAUUUGAAAAUUGGACGGAAAACAUCCAAUCUAAUGGUUAUACGUGAAAUGUCAAUAUUGCCCCUAUACAAAUGAACUCCUUAUAGUUUGUCGAAUAUUCAAUUUAACUCCUUCUAGUUUGAAAAAUUACAUUAUAACUUCCUGUGGUUUCGACUAAAUUGAAAAUUGAAUGGAAGCAUCGUACAUAUAGUAGGGACAAUAUUGAUAUUUCACACACAACCGUUAGAUUGGAUGCUUUCUGUCCAAUUUUCAAUUUAGUCAACAUCACAAGGAGUUAUAGUGUAGGUUUCUAAACUAGAGAGAGUUAGAUUGAAUAUUUAUCAAAUCACAAGGAGUUUUUUUGGUAUUUUACUCUAAUUUUUUCUUUGAUUUAAUUCAAUCAUCACUAGUCACUAAUGUUUCAAUCAUAUCUAGAACCAGUUUGACAUGAGUCUCUUCAAUCACCAAACCAUCAACACUAAAUACAGAUUCUGAUACCAUAAAAUCUUACUAUAUUUGAUCCAAUAGCCAUAAAAUAUUAGAUUAUUUUAUAAAUUUACUAAUAUAUAUAUUAUUUAAUUAUAUAUAUAUAUAUAUGGAUUUGGGUAAAGUUUGGUAUGAGUUUGGAUUUGGAUAUGGAUUCUAUAAAACUAGACCCUACCUAGACCCACAACUCUCUCACAGGGUUUGGGUCUGGGUAUAGGUAGGGUCUAGAUUUGAGAAAUUAAAUCCAAACCCUACCCAAAUAUAGUGGGUCUGGGUUGGAUCUGGGUAAGAUUCGACCCAUUGACAUGUCUAACUCUAGAUACCUCAAUAAUUAUAAAAUUGGUUAAAUUGGAAUCCAUUUGGAUUUAAUAGUAUUUUGAAAAAUUAUUUUUGUUUUUUAGGUCUACAGUAAUAAAUUUUAAAAACAACCUUAAAAACAAUUCAAAAAAUGCAACAUAUCUCAAAUACAUUAAAAAAUAAUUAAAAAAUUCCCUCAUUCUUCUUCCCCACACCACCCACUACAGCGACCACCACCACCACCCAUUACUCUCCACUACCACAGCCACCCCCACACCCACGACCCUCCUUCCUCUCUCCCCUCUCCUCUCUCUCUCUCUCUCCCCCCUACUAAUUCUCCUUCUUUUUUCUCCUUCCUCCUCUCCCUUGUCCUUUCUCCCUUUCCUUUCCCCACCCCCCAAGCCCCUCUCCCCUCUACUAGCCGCAACCUUCCCGGUCGUGACUAGAAAGGUCACCAGAAGUCGUGACUGGUGGCUUCUCAGAUGGAGUCGUAACCACCACCCGCGAGGGAAGAGGGGUUUGGGAGCGGGAGAGGAGAAGGAAGGGGGGAGAAGGAGAGGAAAGAUGAGGGAAAAGGAGAGGAAAGAGGAGGGAGAAGGAAGAGGAGGGGGAGGAAAGAGAGGGAGGGAAAGAGGGAGAUAGAGGGGAGGAGGAGGGAGGGGGUGGCGGCGGCAGGUGGUGGUGAUGGGUGGUGUAAAAUUUUUAAAAAAUACCCCAUACAGUUGUUGCAAAAUACAUUUUAAAGAUAUCCCAAAAUAGAUUUUGAAAAGCCCUGAAAAUACUUCUAAAGACACCUCAAAAAAAUCUAUAGUAAAAGUUUUUUUAUAUAUAUAGUUGCAGUAAGGUUUUUGAAAGACACCCCAAAAAACAGCUAGUCCAAACGGAGUCUUGAGUUUUGAGGUUAAGGUGCAAUGAUUGACUACCUUUUAGGUCAAAAUAAAGCUUGGCCGAAAGUUUAGUAGGUUAAAAUAUAAUUUUAAAAAUUAAUCAUUUUCCCUGAUCCUCACAGCUGCAAUGACGGACACCAAUGUUUUCAGAACUGGACCGGACCAGCUGGUUCGACCGGUUGGACCGUGAACCGGACAUACCACCGGUCUGGUCUAGCAUCAAACCUGCCAAUUAAUGAAAAACCGCUAGAAACCGGUCAAACCAUAUGAACCGUGAAAAACCGUACUGCGGUUUUUAAAUUUUCAACAAAAUAUCCCAAACCUGGCGGUUUUUAAAUUUUCAACAAAAUGUCUCAAAUGAGGCUAAUCAGAAUCAAACCUGUGCCUUCCUGCUCACAUAAGAGUGUCUUACCACUAGACCACAAUCAUAGGGCAAGUUGGGUUUGUUGAGAAUUGUAUUUAACUUGACUAAAAGAUAGAUUAAAAGUUUGAAACCCUAACAUUAACAAAAGAAACAGCAGAGUGCAGCGCACUUCUCUUUUCAUCACUUUCUCGGCUUCAUCAGGCGGCCAACGGCUCUCCAUUCUCCUCUUGAAUUUUUUUUUUCAACAUUUUCUUCUUAACCCUUUCAAACCCAAAUAUCCACAACAAGAUUUUCUCAAGCCUUCACCAUUAUCAUCAACUAUCAUCUUUAGCAGAUUGUAGACGACUUGGAAAUUUCAACUUUUCCUGUUUUCCAUCAUCGUGGUUAGUUUAAUUUUUCCUUUUUCAAGGUUUUUUGUUUUCUAUAUUAUUAUCUUUAGCUGAUUUUUUUUGCAUUUUCUUCUUUUCCCCCUCAAUUUUUGUUUUAUUUUUAUUUUGAUUAAUUAAGGAUGAAAUUAUUGCAAAAGUAGCGCACCUCCGUGCUGGAAUUGGGUAGGAAUUACAAAUAAUAACAUUGGGCUGGUCAAAAAUAUGGUAGUUGGCACAUAAUCAAAGCUAUUGAUCAUUGAAUUUAAAAUAAUUAAUGGUAUAUGAUCAUGGAAUAAUGAAGAUCCAAACAGGAAUUAAAAUAUUCUUGAACCUUUCUGGCGACAAAUGAAACUGGUCAUCAUGCGAAAUCGGGAGUAUGUCCUCUGGCUAUAUAAAUGCUAAUGGUAAUAAUUUGCAUCCGUGUGAAGUCCAUUCUACAAUAAGGCAUGUUCCAAACUCCUUUAUAUAUAUUUUAGAUUUUGCAAUCAUAUUUGGACAAGCUAUUUUUUGGAUGAAGUAUCAAAUUAAUAAAAUUUGUAUCAAUGAUUGUCCUGUUUUUUCAAUGAUUGUAUAAUUUUUCUAUUCUGUAUUGAUUUGUGAAAGUUGUCAAACAAAAGCUUAAAAAAAAGUGCCAAGAAUUAUACAAUCAUUUAAAGCUAUUGUUUCAUUUAAAGCUGGUUAGAGUUAUUCUUACUCAAAAGUUUCAUUUAUUCUGUAUAUUAGAUUUCUUUUUUCUUUUUUAGCUCACAUAACAUGUUAAUUAGAGAUGUUUAGUAGCAAUUAAUUUUUUGUGUUUAGUUGUAUCUUUGUUUUUCAAAUUUUUUUUUUUUGAGUUUGAGCAAUUAGAUUUAUAUUUUUAUAAUAAAAUUUUAACUUUUUCAGGUUAAGUUGAUGAAAUUGUGAAAGUGGUGUUGUUGCUUAUCAUGCCACUGAUGGAAGUUUGUUAUUCAAAUGGUUUAUCUUGAAUAUGAGUUGGACUAUUUUAUGGACUUUUUAAGGAUUGUAAAAGAAUUUCAAUUUUUAUUUUAUUUAUUUUUGUGUUCUUAUUUGUGAUAAUUGGUGAACAUUUGGAUUGUAUCUUGGUGGGUUUUCACUUUAAGUGCAAGUUUAAUUCCGAAUUUACACCCGUUGGACUGCAAGUAUACAGGUCGCAAUUGUAGUACGAGAUGUGUAUCGGGUCGAUCCCACGAGGAGCAAUUUAAAACAAUUAUUAGAUACUAAUUUACUCUAUUAUUUAGACUUACAAUUAAUUUGAGCAGAAACUUCAGAUUUUAAUUCAACUACAAAAAUUCUUAAAUAGAUAAAUGCAAUUUCACAAUAGGAGUAGAAUUCACUAAAUAUUAAGAUCUAGGGAUGUAGAUUCCACAUAUAACACAAAAGAUCUAAAACGAAUGAAUUUAACACUUGUUACUGCUCUUGUUUAACCAAGGAUUCAUUUCCAACAAUACCAAAAUCACAUUUUCAUGAUAAUAAUGGGUUAAAACAGAUUAGUUUUUCCUAAUCUCUUGGAAAAUACUAAAUCUGUUUUGUGCAUACCUGAAAUAUAGAUUUUAUCCACUUGAAUGUAUUUCUAUUCUCAUGAAUAUACUACUCAAGCUCUACUUAUGUCAUUCCAUUAUUUUUACCAUUUCUCAAUGAGUAAAAACAACUAUAAACCUGCUAUUGGUGAUCAAGCAACAACAAGUAAUCCAACAUACACAAGUAGAUAAGUUAAUACAAGAUAUAACAAGCAUAAAUCACAAUCACUUCAUAUCAUUUGGCCAUAAGCUUCAUCUACUCCCUAGAUAAAGGAAAUUAGCUACUCAUGAAUGAUUUAACAAUCAAACUCACAAGUUUAUUAAUGCAAAACAUCAUGAAGUACAAGUAUAAGAAAGGUAAAAGAAAGCUUAGCCAAUUGAAGGUAAAGCUCUCCAAUUCCUGCUAUGUUCUUGUACAAGAUGGUUACAAGUGAAAAACCAAAUGCUUCUCUAAGAACUCUAGAGAGAAAACUUGUUGCAAGAAGGAAAACUAGCUACGUAUGGUGAUGCCAGGCUUCUCCCCUGUGUUUCUGCAUAAAAGGUGGUAGAAAUUCCAUUCCUCUCACUUCAUAAUUUCCUCCACUCAGAUUUUGUAAAAAGAAGUCAAAGAUAUGAUGUUUCCUUUUUGUCCACACUCAUUUGGUCUUCUCUUUUAUUGCAGAAGCAUGUGCACCGAAUUCCCUUGCAUCUUAUAGCUGGAAAGUGGUAUGAACACAAGAGAAUUGACUGAGUCAAAUUGCAGAAUUUCGGCUAUAAAACGCGCCUACACAAAACGCGGCAUAAACUCGCGUUUUGUCUACUCGCGUUUUCACUCUGGCCUUAUUUCAACUGCGAUUUUCUCCAUGAUAAAGGCCAAACUAGCUUUUGUGCAAAACACAAAAGUUGUAGCCCUUUGAGUUAGCUUUCCAAUGCUUCAAGAAUCAUCAAAUCGGAGCUUUGUAGCCUGAGAUAUGAUCGAAAUACUGUCACCUGUUCAAACCUCUGUUUUAACUUCCGACCACAGAAUGCAGCUUCUGUAUUCCAACGUUUUGCCCAUGAAGAUGGCAGAAAUGGAUUUCGAUGUCUUCAUACGAAUUGUAGGUCUCUUUCUUAGCUUUAAAAUGGUGUAAAGAUCACCUCAAUCCGAUAAGUGUAGCUCCAGAUAUGGUCAAAAUACUGAAGAGUGUCAAAACUGACUUGUAUUGCAUUUCCUCACUUGAACGUUUUUCACUUCAUUCUUCUUGUUGCCACUUGAAUUCAUCACCAAAUCUCUAUUUUUUAUCUCAUUUGACAUCCUUUGGUGAUUGAAUCAUCAUUCCUGCAUAAAAAUGAAGUUUUUACCAUUAAAAUCAAUAGAAAUGCAAUAUUAUCCACUUUUACCAAAAAUAUAUAAUUUUACCAAAAACCUCUUUAUUUUAUUUAUAAAACUAAAUAAUCAACUCAAAAUUAACUAAUAAAAUGCACUUAAAAAUACGUAAAAUAAACUCUUAUCAAAUACCCCCACACUUGAAUCAUUGCUUGUCCUCAAGCAAUAUAAAAUUCUAACCAUCAAUGAUCCAAAAAAAAUUGAAAAUAAACAUAUGUAGUAUUUCAACUCCAUUUCCUUGAAUCAAGGUAAAUAACCCUUAUGUGAUCUUUCCAUUAAGUUCAAGUACUCAUAAUAUCAAGCAAAGAAGAGCCAAGUAUACCAUAAUUUUACCAAUUCAACUCAACUUCUUAUUUUUAUCAAAUUUCGCAAGCAAGCAACUCCUAUAGUCAAUAAAGAUGCUAACUAAUCUCAUUAUCAACUUCUUAUUUUUCUUAAAGAGGGAUUUAAUUUACUUUUUAUUUAUUUAUUUUAUUAUUAUUUUUUUAAUAUAUUUUAAGGGAUAAAUAUUACUUAAGUUGUGAAAAAUGCCUUUUGACGCGAAGAUCAACAUUUUUAGAUGCAGAUCCCCGGUUACUCAACAUUUCACAUACUCAAGUUGCUUUGCAUACUCUUAAUUCAAGUACCUUUUUACGCGAAUGUCGACAUUUGUAGAUGCCAACCCCCGGUUACUCGGUAUGAGAAUCAUUGGAGUAGAAUAACCCUUUUUUUUUUUUUAAUAUAUAUAUAUAUAAUAAAAUUCCCUCUAAGAGUAAUCAUGAGAAGAGUAUGACACUUAUUAACCAUAUUAAUUUCUUAUCUUAUAAAAUUAGAUAAAAAGAAGAAUUUUCAUCAAAUAUACAAAAUGUAGGCAUAAUUUUCUCCACUUUACUAGAUAUACUUUCCUAUAGAUGUAAAAAUUAUAAUCACAUAAAAAUCAUUUCCAAAUUUUAUGAGAAAAGAAGUAUCAAAACCGCAUAUAUUUAUUUCAAAAGGAUAAGUGACAAAAUUUUAUUUAUUUAUUAUAGUUAAUAACAUAUAUAUGUAUAAGGUUUUGGAAAAAUUUUGACAGAGUCUCCCCUUAAAAGUGGACUAAAUCUCCCUGCCAGCAACCACAAGAAACACCAUUUAAGCACAAGAAUUAUAUCAAACACAACUAAAAUCACAAGUACCACACAUUUCUUCCCCCACACUUAGAAUACACAUUGUCCUCAAUGUGUAGGGAAAGAAAAGAAAAGAAACAAAAGAAAGGAACAAGUGACUCCCCAAGUGAGAUGACUGCAGUCCAGUGAAGCCUUGAAUCAUGAGUCAUCGACCGCUCAACCAUCCACAGUCAACGAUCUACUAGUUACUGCCACAAGUUCCAAUAUUCAAAAUAAGGAAUGUAAGUUAACAUUUUUCAAACAAAAGAUAAAAAUAACAAGCAAACAAAAGAAAAGCCAGCCAAAGGGCAGCCUCAAUCAUCCUCUUCAUCGUCAUCUUCAUCAUCAUCGAUGGGAGGUGGGCGUGUGCCUAAAUGAUCUUCAAUUCGGUCCAGGCGAGUAUCCAUUCUGGCUAAAUGAUGGUCGAUGUCGUCCAAGCGACCGAAAAGCCGCUGCCAGUUGGUCUGUGGCGGAGGAGGAGGUGGUGCUGCAGUAGAAGGUCCAGCUUCAUCCCGACCAUGUCUAGCCUUUUGUCUCCGCUCCUGAACAGGGCGUGGAAUGUCUCCCGUGCCAAUACCAAGGCGGCGAAGAGUAGUGAUAGUCAUCUCAGCACGUGGUGGAACAUACUCCCGCCGCAUGCCUUCCAAGGGAACCUCAAAACGGGGAAAGAUUAAAGUCAGUAGACGAGGAAAUGAUAGUUUGAAGGAAGUUGUCUUACGCCUCGCCGUAGACCUAAUAUGGCUGAUGAUGAUGUUAGGCAAUGAAAUCCGAGCAUAUGGAGAUGUCCGGUUAUGGAACAUGUAAUCCAAGAAGUAGAUAUCGCUCUUGCGGACCUCCGUGUGCCCCGUCUUCUUUGGGAUGACAUUGUGAGCCAUCAUGUAAAUGAUAAGACGAUGACGAGGUUCGAAUACAUUCGCCAAUAUGGUCUCCUUUCUGGUAGAGCGAAAAGGUUGGUACUCGAGACCAAACCUAGCCAUGGCCAAUGAGGGAUCCCACCUCCUAUUCGGGGGAACAAACUCCUUCUUCAAGUCUACUGGACGUCCGUCAUCCAUACACCCCAAAAUAGCAGCCAAAUCUUGCCGUGACAAGGUGAUUCGUCUUCCACGCACCCAGGACUCAACUAUUUCUCCACUAUGGCGCGCCUUACUUUCAAUGUUGGCGUAAAACUCGCGCACCAACUCUGGGUAGUAAUGGUUUGGAAGGGUGAGAAUCGGAGCCCAUCCUAGCUGAGCAAAAGCUUCUGAGAUGUUGUACAUCAUCUCAACUGGUGGACUGACGUGCAUCUCAAACAAAAACUCCAAAUUAGCACGCGCCUCAUGCCACUCCUGAUUCCUGCGAGUGUUGAACCUAGCACUGUCAAAUACUGAUUUUCCCGCUCCACGGGAGGUGCCCUCACCAGGUCGACGGUUAAUUGGUGGAGGAGAAGGUUUAUUCUCCUCUUCAGUCACCUCCAUCUCUUCAUUAACCUCCCUCUCCUCGCUACUAGAGGAUGAAAGUACCGCUCUUCUUCCCCUGGGCAUAGUACCUAAAAAAUAUUUCAAUUAUUCCACAUGUACUACAACUCAUUAUUUGGCAAUAAAAGUUCAGCAUUAAUCCAAAUAACCUCAAAUACAAUUGCUCAAGUUCUAAUCAUUCAAUGAUCGUACAAGACAUAUUUUCUGCCUAAAGUUGCCCAAAAUCACCAAAUUACACAAGAUAUGUAUCAAUUAUACUUUAAUUAGUGAAAAUAGGAACAAUUAUGAUUAUAACUAUUUAGAAUUAACAAUAAUAAUAUGCUUUUAGCUAUAAUCAUGUUUAGGCAAAAAUUAAACUAAUUAACUCACCAAAUCAACCAAAUUACUCACUAUACACAAUGCACAUGCUUAAACAUCAUCAACUAACCAUUUUUAACCAUAAUUUAACAUCACCAAUGACUCAAAAACAUCCUAGUUCCUUUUUCCAAUUUCAUCUAAAUAUAGCAAUUGUGAAUUUUAAAGUACUUGAAAACCAAUAAAUUGCUACAUUUAAACAUUUAAACAUGCUUAAACAAUCAUAAUAAUCAUGAAUAAAAUAAAAAAUAGCCAUGAACCUCAUCAAAUUUUCGAAAUUAAAAGAUGUCAGAUAGCUCAGGAUAAAAAAUAUGAACUUCUAAAAUCAAAAGAUUUGAUGAAGAAACUUACCUCAAUCACGUAGAAGGAUGUUUGGUGAUGCUAAAAAUGCAAAAAGCCCUAUGAAACAACCUCCAAUUGACCUCCAAUUGAAGAAAUUAGAGUUUAAGAACCCUAACCUUCAAUCCCUCAAAAACCUGAUUUUAGGUGUUUUUCUUGGAUUUUAAUCGGUUAAAAAGGGUAUAUGAACCUCAAAAGGUGUUGGGGUGAUGAUUUCUAGCAAGAUUAUGGAGUAAAAAUGAAGAUUUGUGAGUUGGGUAGAAGAGAAGAAGAAAAACGCGGCUGGAAAAAUUUGGAGAAGUGAAGAAAUGUUCUGGAAAUCGCGUUUUUGAAGCAGAAAAGUGAACCUAAAACGCGACUAAAAACGCGCCUUCAACACGCGUUUUUAAAGCCGCGUUUUCUGCACAAAUCUCGCAGAAUUGAAAACGCGGUUACAUAUGAAAACGCGACUUAAAGUCGUGUUUACAUGUGUCGCGUUUUCAAGUUUUGCUCAGGCGAUAAAACGCGACUUCCUCCAAAACGCGACUUCAAGUCGCGUUUUAAAGGCGCGUUUUCUGUUCUGCAGGCGCAGAAUUGAAAACGCGAUUCUUCGAAACGCGAUUUGUAGUCGCAUUUUCUUUGGAAAACGCGUUUUCUGCUUCGAUUUUUAGCAGAAUUUCAACUUUUGAAAAAUUACAAAAGGUACCCCAAUGACUCAAAAUGCAUCAUAGAUCAUUUGUUUGUCAAUUUUAAUGACUGGAACAAAUGUAAAACAUUAAAAACAUGCAUUUUACCCCUUUAUAAUGAAUCAAAAACACCUUUAACGCAAAUCGAGGGGUUGAGUUGUUUGAUCAAAGUUCGCCUUUUUUGUACUCAAUUGGUCCUUCUUGCCUUCAAUUGCCAACCCUACAUUACAAAAACAACAAUUUAGCUAAAACAUUGAUUCAAACCACAAAAUCACACCAAGUUAACAAAUAUAACCUAAAUAUUGGGUUGCCUCCCAAUUAGCGCUUUUGUUUAUAGUCGUUGGCUCGACUCACACAUUCAGUUUCUUAAAUUGAAGAAGAGUCGCCCAAAAGACAUAUGAGUCCUUUGGGUACGAUUUCACCUGCCAAGUAGGGUUUCAAUCGUUGUCCAUUGACCUUAAACCUUUCAUUUCUUGAAUUUGCCACUUCAACCGCUCCAUAGGGAAAUACUUGAGUGACUUCAAAUGGUCCAGACCACCUUGACUUCAAUUUUCCUGGAAAUAACCUCAGGCGUGAAUUGAAUAAAAGCACUUUUUGCCCUACCUGAAAUUGUUUAGGAAUAAUGUGCUUGUCAUGCCAAUAUUUGAUCUUUUCUUUGUAAAUUUUGGCAUUUUCAUAUGCAUGUAACCGGUGUUCCUCCAAUUCACUCAGCUCAAGUAAUCUCCUUCCACCUGCAAGAUUAAAAUCUAUAUUAAUUGCUUUAAUAGCCCAAUAAGCUUUAUGUUCAAUCUCUACAGGUAAGUGACAAGCUUUUCCAUAGACUAAACGAUACGGCGACAUCCCUAAGGGAGUCUUAAAUGCCGUUCGGUAAGCCCAUAGUGUGUCAUCUAACUUUGUAGCCCAAUCCUUGCGUGAUUUAUUCACAGUUUUCUCCAAAAUGAGCUUUAUCUCACGAUUAGCUAGCUCCGCUUGUCCAUUGGCUUGAGGAUGGUACGGGAGUGAUGUCUUGUGCCUACAACCAUAUUUAAACAAUAAGGAAUCCAGUUGUUUGUUACAAAAAUGUUUUCCUUCAUCACUUAUUAUGGCCUUAGGUAUACCAAAUCUACAAAAAAUAUUCUUUUUAAGGAAUCGGAGUACAACCUUAGAGUCAUUAGUAGGUGAAGCGAUUGCUUCUACCCAUUUAGAAACAUAAUCCACUGCUACUAAGAUGUACUUAUUAUUAAAAGAGCUUGGAAAUGGUCCCAUAAAGUCUAUACCCCAUAUAUCAAAUAAUUCAACUUCUAAGAAGGUAGUUAGGGGCAUUUCAUUCUUUCGAGAUAUAUUUCCAGUUCUUUGGCAUGCAUCACAACUUUUAACAUAUUCCCGAACAUCUCGAUACAUAGUUGGCCAAUAAAAUCCUGAUUGCCAUACCUUUGCCACAGUUUUUGAGGUGCUAAAAUGUCCACCUGUUUCAAGGUUAUGACAAUGAUAUAAAAUAUUAUGUACCUCGUUUUCGGGAAUACAUCUACGUACCAUACCAUCGGCACAAUGUUUAUACAGCAAUGGUUCCUCCCAAAAGUAACUUUUGACAUCAUGUAAGAAUUUCUUCUUUUGAUGGUAAUUAAAUCCCCUUGGAAUCUCUCCACUUAUCAAAAAAUUAGCAAUAUCAGCAUACCAUGGAGAAUUGAUAAUUGCUAGGACAAACUCAUCCGGGAAAUUCUCUUGAAUAGGAACUUGAUCCUUGACUGGAAUAUAUUCUAGGCGUGAUAGAUGAUCCGCUACUAGAUUCUCUGUUCCCUUUUUGUCUUUUAUUUUCACAUCAAAUUCCUGCAAUAAAAGAAUCCACCGAAUUAGUCUUGGUUUUGCAUCUUUUUUAUGUAACAAAUAUUUUAGAGCCGCAUGGUCCGUAUAUAUAAUAACUUUAGAUCCUACUAGAUAAGAUCUAAAUUUAUCCAAAGCAAAUAUCACUGCCAAUAGCUCUUUUUCUGUGGUUGCAUAAUUGAGUUUUGCUUCAUUUAGCAACUUGCUAGCAUAGUAAAUGACGUGCAACCGUCCUUCUUUCUUUUGUCCCAAAACUGCUCCAACCGCAUAAUCACUUGCAUCACACAUCAAUUCAAAUGGUAGUGACCAAUCAGGCGAAGUUAUAAUUGGGGCCGAAAUCAAUUCCUUCUUCAACCUUUCAAAUGCAACCAAACAAUUGUCAUCAAAUUGAAAAGGGGAAUCUUUACAUAAUAAAUCACAUAAUGGCUUUACUAUUUUAGAAAAAUCUUUAAUAAAACGUCUAUAAAAGCCAGCAUGUCCUAAAAAACUCCUUAUCCCCUUGACAUUGCUUGGGGGUGGCAAUUUUUCGAUGACUUCUAUUUUGGCUUGAUCCACCUCAAUUCCCUUGGAGGAAAUCUUGUGUCCUAAGACAAUUCCUUCUUUUACCAUAAAAUGACAUUUCUCCCAAUUCAGUAUAAGAUUUGUUUCCUCGCAUCUCUGCAAAAUUAAUUCCAAAUUAUGAAGACACUGAUCAAAAGAUGAACCAUACACAGAAAAAUCAUCCAUAAAUAUCUCCAUAAUUUUCUCAAUAUAAUCAGAAAAAAUAGCCAUCAUGCAUCGUUGAAAAGUUGCAGGAGCAUUGCAUAAACCAAAUGGCAUUCUUCUAAAGGCAAAAGUGCCAUAAGGACAUGUAAAUGUGGUCUUUUCUUGAUCCUCUGGAGCUAUAGCUAUUUGAUUAUAUCCUGAAAAACCAUCAAGAAAACAGUAAAAUUCAUAUCCAGCUAUUCGCUCCAAUAAUUGAUCAAGAAAUGGUAGGGGAAAAUGAUCUUUUCUUGUUACCGUAUUUAACUUACGAUAAUCAAUACACACUCUCCACCCUACCACAAGUCUAGAUGGAAUUAAUUCAUCAUUUUUACCCACGAUUGUAGUCAUUCCACCCUUCUUUGGUACCACAUGAAUUGGACUAAUCCAAACACUAUCGGAGAUAGGAAAAACUAUACCUGCGUCAAGCCAUUUAAGAAUUUCAUUUCUUACCACCUCUUUCAUGUUUGGAUUGAGUCUUCUUUGUGUUUCCACCACUGGUUUGCAAUUGUCCUUCAAUAAAAUUCGAUGCAUGCAUAUAGAAGGACUUAUACCUUUAAUGUCUGAAAUUGUCCAUCCAAUUGCCUUCUUACGCCUUCUUAGAACUCUUAACAACUUUGCACACUGUUCAUCAUCAAGGUCAGCACUAACAAUUACAGGUAAAGUUUUAUUUUCUCCAAGAAAUUCAUACCUUAGAUGAGUCGGAAGUGGCUUGAGCUCUAACUUUGGAGGUUCAAUUUCUGAAGGUUGUGAAAACCCUUUUCCUUGGCCAAGACUUUCAUACAAAUUACCCCUUUUAUAAGGUGCUUGAAAAUCCAAGUACUUGGCCAAUUCUUCAAUUUCUUCACAAACAUCUUCUUGCUUACCUAAACUCAUUAAACAAUACUCAAGAGGAUCUAAGUCAAAGUUGACUUGACUCAUCUCUUGGGUUAGUUUAUCAAUUGUGCCAAUAGAAUAAGCAUGAUCGGUAAAAGAAGGGUAUUUUUCCAUUUCAUUCAAAUUAAAUUCUACCUCUUCUUCACCUACUUGAAACUUAAGCUUGCCAUUUUUUACAUCAAUAAUAGUACCUGCAGUAGCUAGAAAUGGUCUACCUAGAAUAAUUGGCAUAGAUAUAUCUUCUUCCAUAUCUAAUACCACAAAAUCCACUGGAAUGAUAAAUUUUUGAACUUUUAUCAAUACAUUCUCCAACACUCCCAAUGGAUAUCUAAUAGACCGAUCCGCUAGUUGCAAAGUGAUAUUAGUGCGUUUAAGCUCAUGCAAACCCAAUUGUCUAGCCACCGUUAAAGGUAUUAAUGAUACACUAGCACCAAGAUCACACAAUGCCUUAGAAAAAUCAACGUUACCUAUGGUGCAAGGUAUAGAAAAACUCCCCGGAUCCUUCAACUUCGGUGGUAGCUUAUUUUGAAUAAUUGCACUACAUUCCUCCGUUAAUGCUAUUGUUUCGCAGUCUUCCAACUUUCUUUUUCUAGUCAUGAUUUCCUUGAGAAAUUUCGCAUAAGAUGGAAUCUGCAAAAUAGCAUCGGCAAAAGGAAUGUUAAUGUGCAAUUGUUUGAAAAGUUUAACAAAUUUUUCAAAAUCUUUAUCAAACUUAUUUUGCUUUAAUCUUUGUGGAAAUGGAACCGCAGGGGGUAUUGGAAUGGUAGUGGAAGAUGAUGGUUGCUUUUCUCUUGGAUUCUCCCGACUAUUUUCCUCCACAAUCGCCUCUUGGUUCCUCUGCUUUUCUUCUUGUUUUUCAUUCUCAUCUUUCUCAACUUCCUUCACUGGAGGAUCUUCUAAUUGUCUACCACUACGAAGAGUAAUGGCUUUCACAUGCUCCUUAGGAUUGACCUCUGUUUUGCUAGGUAAUUCUCCUUGAUUUCGAUUAUUCAAAGAACUAGCAAUUUGACCAAUUUGGACCUCUACAUUCCUGUACAUUGUAGUGAGUUGGUCCAACCUUCCUUCUACUCGCUCAAAUCUGUCCGAGGUAACUUUUGCAAGCUUUUCCACUGCCAUCUCCCAACCAGGUUUAGUUUCAGCUUGUUGUUGCCUUGAUUGAAAUCCCGGUGGAUUGGUUGGCCUUGGUUGAUUUCCUUGAUCCUUCCAUCCAAAGUUUGGAUGAUUUCUCCACCCCGGAUUGUAAGUAUUCGAGUAGGGGUUAUUUUGAGCAUUACGAUUGUAAUUAUUGACGAAUUGUACCUGUUCAGAAUCAACACACUCAUUACUAUCAUGUUCACCUCCACAUAUAGAACAACAUGCUACAUGUGCAUUAGAUGAACUUGGACCAACUCCACCUUGUCUACUUAGCAAUUUCAUCACAUUAUUCAUUUGAGCACUCAACAUAUUGAGAGUGUCCAUUUCGAUCAUACCUGCGUGACGUCUUGUAUUACCUCUCUCAUUGGCCCAUUGGUAGUUAUUUGCUGCCAUUUCUUCUAUCAAAUUAUGAGCCUCUUGGGGUGAUUUACCCAUUAAAGCUCCACCUGCAGCUGCAUCGAUCAUAGUUUUAGUAGAAAAAACUAAACCAUUAUAGAAGGUUUGUAUGAUUAACCAUUCCGGCAGUCCAUGAUGUGGACAUUUCCGAAGCAAAUCUCUAAACCUUUCCCAUGCCUCAUAUAAUGAUUCUCCUUCCAAUUGGCUAAAACUAGUGAUAUCCAUUCUAAACUUAGCAGUCUUACCUGGUGGAAAAUACUUAUUUAAGAAUGCUCUUGAUAGUUCAUCCCAUCCAGUGAAAGUAUUAGGAGCAUGAGAGUGUAGCCAAAGUUUGGCCUUAUCUCUCAAUGAAAAUGGGAACAACCUUAGUCUUAUAGCAUCAUCACUAACUCCAUUCAUUUUAAUUGUAUCACAAAUUUCCAAGAAUGUAGCUAAGUGUGUAUUAGGAUCUUCUACUGCAUUACCUCCAAAUUGAGAUUGUUGAACCAUUUGGAUAAGUGAUGGUUUAAUCUCAAAAUUGUUAGCAUUUACCGUAGGCCUUACUAUGCUUGUUUGAGAUCCUUGUGUUCCCGGUAGAGUAUAAUCUCGUAGAACUCGCCUAUUUGGGUCAUUUUCCGCCAUUUCUUCUUCAAAUGGUAGUUCUAUCAAAAUGUCCUCUAUCGGUUGCCAAAUCUCUUGUUCCUCUUGCUGUUGUGUGUGCCUCCUUUGUCUACGUAGUGUCCUCUCAAUUUCUGGAUCGAAAGGUGUAACUUCCCGAGACGCCCGGUGCAUACACUACAAACAGAAAUAAGAGAUAUUAUGCAAUUUCAAUUGUCAAAAACUGAUUACAAUAUAAGAUUAAAUAUAAUCUAACUAAAAAAAUAAAUCUGUCUAAAUUAAUAAAGAUGAUUAGGCUCUAAUAUUGCCGCUCCCCGGCAACGGCGCCAAAAACUUGACGGGAUUUUUUUUAUCAAUGCAAGUUUAAUUCCGAAUUUACACCCGUUGGACUGCAAGUAUACAGGUCGCAAUUGUAGUACGAGAUGUGUAUCGGGUCGAUCCCACGAGGAGCAAUUUAAAACAAUUAUUAGAUACUAAUUUACUCUAUUAUUUAGACUCACAAUUAAUUUGAGCAGAAACUUCAGAUUUUAAUUCAACUACAAAAAUUCUUAAAUAGAUAAAUGCAAUUUCACAAUAGGAGUAGAAUUCACUAAAUAUUAAGAUCUAGGGAUGUAGAUUCCACUUAUGACACAAAAGAUCUAAAAUGAAUUAAUUCAACACUUGUUACUGCUCUUGUUUAACCAAGGAUUCAUUUCCAGAAAUACCAAAAUCACAUUCUCAUGAUAAUAAUGGGUUAAAACAGAUUAGUUUUUCCUAAUCUCUUGGUAAAUACUAAAUCUGUUCUUAUUCACACAUGAAAUGCAGAUUUCAUCCACUUGAAUGUAUUUCUAUUCUCAUGAAUAUACUACUCAAGCUCUACUUAUGUCAUUCCAUUAUUUUUACCAUUUCUCAAUGAGUAAAAACAACUAUAAACCUGCUAUUGGUGAUCAAGCAACAACAAGUAAUCCAACAUACACAAGUAGAUAAGUUAAUACAAGACAUAACAAGCAUAAAUCACAAUCACUUCAUAUCAUUUGGCCAUAAGCUUCAUCUACUCCCUAGAUAAAGGAAAUUAGCUACUCAUGAAUGAUUUAACAAUCAAACUCACAAGUUUAUUAAUGCAAAACAUCAUUAAGUACAAGUAUAAGAAAGGUAAAAGAAAGUUUAGCCAAUUGAAGGUAAAGCUCUCCAAUUCCUGCAAUGUUCUUGUACAAGAUGGUUACAAGUGAAAAACCAAAUGCUUCUCUAAGAACUCUUAACUAGAGAGAGAACUUGUUGCAAGAAGGAAAACUAGCUACGUAUGGUGAUGCUAGGCUUCUCCCCUGUGUUUCUGCAUAAAAGGUGGUAGAAAUUCCAUUCCUCUCACUUCAUAAUUUCCUCCACUCAGAUUUUGUAAAAAGAAGUCAAAGAUAUGAUGUUUCCUUUUUGUCCACACUCAUUUGGUCUUCUCUUUUAUUGCAGAAGCAUGUGCACCGAAUUCCCUUGCAUCUUAUAGCUGGAAAGUGGUAUGAACACAAGAGAAUUGACUGAGUCAAAUUACAGAAUUUCGGCUAUAAAACGCGCCUACACAAAACGCGGCAUAAACUCGCGUUUUGUCUACUCGCGUUUUCACUCUGGCCUUAUUUCAACUGCGAUUUUCUCCAUGAUAAAGGCCAAACUAGCUUUUGUCCAAAACACAAAAGUUGUAACCCUUUGAGUUAGCUUUCCAAUGCUUCAAUAAUCAUCCAAAUCGGAGCUUUGUAGCCUGAGAUAUGAUCGAAAUACUGUCACCUGUUCAAACCUCUAUUUUAACUUCCGACCACAGAAUGUAGCUUCUGUAUUCCAACGUUUUGCCCAUGAAGAUGGCAGAAAUGGAUUUCGAUGUCUUCAUACGAAUUGUAGGUCUCUUUCUUAGCUUUAAAAUGGUAUAAAUAUCACCUCAAUCCGAUAAGUGUAGCUCCAGAUAUGGUCAAAAUACUGAAGAGUGUCAAAACUGACUUGUAUUGCAUUUCCUCACUUGAACGUUUUUCACUUCAUUCUUCUUGUUGCCACUUGAAUUCAUCACCAAAUCUCUAUUUUUUUACCUCAUUUGACAUUCUUUGGUGAUUGAAUCAUCAUUCCUGCAUAAAAAUGAAGUUUUUACCAUUAAAAUCAAUAGAAAUGCAAUAUUAUCCAAUUUUACCAAAAAUAUAUAAUUUUACAAAAAACCUCUUUAUUUUAUUUAUAAAACUAAAUAAUCAACUCAAAAUUAACUAAUAAAAUGCACUUAAAAAUACGUAAAAUAAACUCUUAUCAUAUCUAUUUAUGUUUUUAAUGAAUUUAUGAAAACUUGUGGUGAAUUAUGAUAUUUUAAUUAUGUUUAUCAUUCCAGGUUUUAUGUAUAACUUUUAAGAAAUUUGUUAUUAUGUCAACUUAAAUUUAGUUAUGUUGGUGGAUGCAUUUUAGGAACUUAAGUUAUCAAUAACCAUGUUACAUUGUACACUAGCCAUCAAGUUCAAGUGUAGAAUGUGUAAGUCCCAAAGACAACCAAGAGGGGGGGGUGAAUUGGGUUGUUCAAAAUCUUAAUCAGAUUUAGGCAAUUUUUGCUAAAUUAAAAUUUCCUUCUUUUCUAGUAAUGAUCAACCAAGUGAAUUAGAAGACAAGAGCAAUAUUGAUCAGAAAUACAAGUAUAAACAAGCAAUGAGAAUUUUAUUAAACAGAAAAGUAAAUUGGGGAAUCAAACCAAGUGUCUACCAAGCUAUCCUCAAACUUGAAGACCACACACUAGGAAGAGCAACUUCUCUUUGAUGGAAGACGAUCAACUAGAUGUACAAUGGAGGGAGCACUUCCUCCUUGCCCUAAGCCUCACUUAGUCAAGCUAAGAAGUUUUACAAUCACUCUGAAAACCCUCAACAAAGCUACACUAAAGAUCCUUUCAAUCACAAAAGAAAUGCUCACCAGAAAUUCACACCACUUUAAAACAAAUCUAGCUUUGGAGACUAUUUUCUAACUAAAAUAUCUCUUGAGAUCUUGUAAACAAAGUGUGCAAAAGUCCUUACUUCGUUCAGACCAGUUUGAUUUUAAAGGGAACCAGAAAUGGGCUUCAUCAAUGCUUCCAACGGAUAGAAGGCAGCUGAAGAGUCAACUAGCCGUUGGGGCUGUCGGACGUCCGACGAUCAAAUCAUCGUCCGAACCAAUCGUCCGAUGGCAUCCAAGUUGACGUUCGGACGUCCGAUGCGUCUUGAUCGUCCGACACCGCACCGUCCGAUCGUAGGCAGAGAGUUGGCAAGUCAGCUUGGAAUUUUUCGGACGUCCGAUGCGGUUGAUGAGCGUCCGAUGGCAAGCGUCUGAUCCUUCCGGACGUCCGAUGCUUCCUCACGAGCAUCCGACAGAGCUUCCUUCUUGAUGCUCUUUAUCCUUUCGGACGUCCGACAGAUUCCUUUCGGCCGUCCGACGUGAGUAUCCUGUUUUUGCUUCUUCUUUUGGUUGAAAUGCAUUUCAUGACCUAUUCAUACCUGAUUCUUUGAUAUGUAAAGACACUUAUAAUCGAAGAAGGUUAGAUACAUUUCAAAAUACCAAGAAUAGCAAAAUUGUCAUACUUAAAGGACAGUAUCUUUGAUUGGAACAAAACAAUGACUAAAUUCAUUCAUUUUAUUCCAAUCAUGUUUGCCACAUCCAAAGCAACGUAGUCAGGAGAUAAACGAACAUAUGCUUUCUUUGUUCCAUCAGACCUGAUCAAAGUGUUCACUUUCUUGGUUAGUAUAAACAUUUCAAAUUACUUUGUGAUCAUCAAAACCAAGAAUAACAUUCUCCCCCUUUUUGAUGAUGACAAAACAAAGGUUUGAAAUGAGAUUUGAUGAUUUGAAUAAAAUCUCCCCCUUUCACAAUAGACAAGAACUCCCCCUUUCUUAGUGAAUCAUAAACAAUUUUGAAAAACUCCCCCUCACUUGGCUGCCCAACCGAAUUACACAAUUAUCCAAUUAUACAAGCCAAUCCAAUCAAUCCAAUAUCAAUCCAACAUCAUCAAAUUCAAUCCAAUAUCAAUCUAUAGAUCCGGCCAUCUCCCCCUUUUUGUCAUCACAAAAGGGUAAUCAAUUACAUCCAUAAAUGCAAACCACAGUCAUUCACAAACACAUUCAUUACACCAAUGCAAACCAAAUUCAUUAUAUUCACACAAUCAGAAUAGACAAACAAACAUCCAUCAAAAUACUUAGACAUCCAUCAACACAGUACUUAAACAUCCAUCAAAACACACCAAAAGAAACUUAGAAUAUCCAUUACAUUUCAUAUUCAUUGUUAAAUACCACAAACACAUAAAUAAGAUAAACAAAAUGCAAAUGUCCUAAAUGAUGAACUAAGUGGAUCCAGGUGUCCUCCGAGAGAGCUGAUAUUGGUCAAGAUCCUCCUCUUCAGUUUCUUCAUCAUCUUCAGCAGCCUCUUCAACUGGUGCCUUGCCUUUAUCUGAUGUAGAGAUGCCAUGAGGAGUCACAGGGGUUGAAGAACCAGGAUCCGGAAUUGAUGAACUUGGAUCAGUGGGGUGUGACUCUUUGUCAUGGGAAACUUCCUCAACCACAGGUGGAGGAAAAAGAAGAUUCUUUUUGUCAAGAAAGGCAGUUUGUUGCUCAGAAGACAUGGUGAGCAUGAGACCAUGUUCUAGAAGAAGAACAUGCUGUUUGAGUUCUUGAAGAAGCUCAAUUACUUCAUUACUGGAAGAGGAAGAUGCUUUAGUGGCAGAUUUCCUAGGGUGAAUGGGAGUGAGUGAAAUGGGUGAAGGAUCAUGUGCAGUCUUGGACCUAAGUUCACUAGAAGAUGCACCCUUAUAAGCCCACAGAUUAUCUUUGAAAACAAGAUUUUUCCUUUCAAAAUACCCUUUUGUAAAGGCAUAAGAAGAUGCUUCUUUAGGACAAACACCUAGAAUAGGGACUUUGUUAAACUCAAAAAUCUUUUGAAAAAACUUUCCAUAAGAUAAUUUUCUGCGAGAAUCAGUGGCAUAGCGAAGUAAGAACUUGCACAUGACAAAACCAAAAUCAAUACGAAUUUUUUCUUGAAAACAAUAAAAGAGGUACAACUCCAUUUUGUUUGCAUCAGUUCUAUGGCCAUCAGUAGGCACAAGCAGGUUUGAAAUGAUAGAAAAAGCAAUUAAAUUCACAGGGGCCAGAUCAUUCAAUUUAGCAUCAGCAGGUGAGGAAAAACUUCUUUUGAAAUAGGUUAACAUUUUUGUCCCAUCAAAAUGAUUUGCCACAGUCGGGAGCUCUUCAUAGGAAAAGAAAUUAGCAAUCUUAUCUUUGCAUAAACGUUCAAUGGUAGUAUUUAAAAUGGAGUUCACAAUUUCAGAGUCAAUGAUUAAGUCUACCCCAUUAACCCUGGAAAAUAUUUCAGUUGGGUCGGAACCUUUCCUUAGAUUGGCAAAAAAUUGAUGCAACAUAUCAGGAUAGUAGACAUUUGGCAUAGAAAUAAGAUGUGACCAUUUCUGGAAAGCAAAUAGACUCAGAAUGGAUUCUAAACCUAUGGAGCGAAAUUCAGAGGGGUUUACAGUUCUUUGAGGGAUGACACCCUUCUGGGAUAUCCAGGAGUAUUUGUCUUUCGCAGCAUCAUCAAAGAAUGUAGGAGGAGGGACUGAUUUAGGAGGCGGUUGAGAAGAGGUCCCCUGUCCAGAUUCUGGUUGAGAAGUGAGUUGUGGAGUAGGUCGUGACAUUUGACCCUUGAUAGCUCCCCUUUUGAAGCGUUUGGAUGUCCGUUUGACAGUGGGAAGAUCCUCAUCCACAUCCCUGAGUGGAUGCUUGCGUCCGGCAGUAACUUUUCCUCCCCUUAGAUUCACCAUUGCGCGAAAUGUGUGGAAUGAAGAAUGCAAAUGAUGCACACAGCAGUAGGGAAGUGAAUCGAACAAAAAUUUGGAACAAAAGACCUUGUACAAGAUUUGACAGAGCGGUUAUGAGAAGGUAGGGUUUUGAGGAAAAUUUGGGAAUGUGCGAAGUGAUAGAUGAUUCUGUGAAAUGAUCAGGAAAAAUGACUCGCAAUUGACCAGGAACUGUUUUGGUUGAGUCAAUUUGGGAAUGGGGGCUUCAGAAUAAUAUGAAUUUGGGAGUGAGAGACAAGAGGGUUUUCGUCCGAGAGAAAAUGAAAUGGGAAGAGUCUGAGGCAAUUGAGGAAGAAAGUUGUGUUAAAAAAUGAGCCGUUGCACUGUCGGACGGCCGAACGAAGUUGUGCGUCCGACAGCUGCGUCCGAACAAGCGCAAUCUGGAAAAUGGCUGAAGAACAUCAUCGGACGUCCGUUCAUCUUCUUUCGGACGCCCGAAGACCCAAAGAAAAUUAAGAUGAUUUUUCGAUUAUUCCUAAUUUUGAUCUUAGAUGAAUGAACUGUUCUAAUGGCAAAGCUUUUGUAAAAAUAUCAGCAAAUUGAUCUUUAGAACAAACAUAAUUUACACAUAUUUCACCUUUUUGAACAAGAUCACGAAUAAAGUGAUGCUUUAUAUCUAUGUGCUUUGUCCUAGAAUGAUGAAUAGGAUUUUUGGUCAAAUUUAUAGCACUAGUAUUAUCACAGAAUACAGGCAUGCAGUCAUACAACAAUCCAAAAUCAUUCAAAGUGUGCUUCAUCCAUAAAAGUUGAGCACAACAUGCACUAGCGGCAAUAUAUUCCGCUUCGGUUGUAGACAAAGAUAUUGCAUUUUGCUUUUUGCUAAACCAAGAGACUAAACAAUUUCCAAGAAAAUGACAAGUUCCACUAGUACUCUUUCUAUCCACACGACAACCUCCAAAAUCAGCAUCCGAAUAACCGUAUAGUGCAAACUCAUUAGAUCUAGCAUACCAAAGACCAUAGUCUAAUGUACCUUUCAAAUACCUAAAAAUUCUUUUUACAGCAUUCAAAUGUGAUUCUUUUGGACAAGAUUGAAAUCUAGCACACAAGCAAACAGCAAACAUAAUAUCAGGUCUACUUGCGGUUAAAUAGAGUAGGCUUCCGAUCAUACCUCUAUAUUGCUUUUCAUCCACAUGAUUACCUUCUUCAUCUUUGUCAAGCUUUGUAGAAGUGCACAUUGGAGUUCCAACUUGCUUUGAGUCCUCCAUGCCAAACCUUUUCAGCAACUCCUUGGUAUAUUUUGCUUGAUUUAUAAAAAUUCCCUCAAGAGCUUGAUGUAUUUGAAGUCCAAGGAAGAAAUUUAAUUCUCCCAUCAUACUCAUUUCAAAUUCACUUUGCAUAGUGGUGGAAAAAUCCUUCUCGGAUGGAUCACCAAUUAUAAGCUCUUUUGGAUGAUUUUGGCUGAAUUUCCAAGCCUUGGGAAGAUCUUUGAGUGAAUCAUCAUUUUUGUCUUCAUCUUCCUCUUCUUGAUCAUUAUGAACUUCAUUUUCCAUUUCAGUUGCUGCUGGUUUAGAACUUCCUUCAUUUCCAAUUGACAGCUUUUCCAUUCCAACAUCACCUAUUCCAAUUGUUUUAGCUUUCACAUCAUCACCAAAUGUCACUUUUCCACUUGAUCUUGAUUUCAGCUUUAUGAACAAAGAGGGAUCACCGGUCAUAUGCCUUGAACAACCGCUAUCAAUGAACCAUUUGGACUUGUGUGAGCAUUUUUCCUCAUUAUCUCCAAUAGCCAUGAAGGCCAUUUGAGCUGAUUCUUCCUCUUCUUCAACUUCCCUUUCAGAGUUGCAUUCAUUCCAAGUAAUCUGGAAGUUGUUGAAUCUUGGCUUUCGAUCAGCUUUUCCAUCUUUCAUUUUCUUCAUGGGGCAUUCGUUUGCAUAGUGUCCAGGCUGUCCACAUUCAUAGCAUUUGUCCACUUGCUUCUUGUUGAAUUCUUGUUUUCCUUUGUUCCUUGCAUUUGAUGAAUAAUUUUGGAAUUGAUUGCUAGGUCCUCCCUUUCUGAACUUCCUUUAUUCAAGAUUCUUUUGAAACCUCUUGUGAUGAGAGCAAGAUCAUUAUCAUCACCAUCCGAAUCUUCAUCAUCCAAGUGAGCUGGAUCAUCUUCACUUUGAGUAGUCUUUAGAGCAAUAUUUCUUUUUGCUCUAGCAUCCUCUUCCUCCUGCACUUUAGAUUUCAGUUUCAACUCAUAAGAGGUUAGUGAGUUAAUGAUAGAUUCAAUAGGCACAGAACUUAAAUCCUUAGCCUCCUCUAUUGCAGUCACUUUAUUUUCCCAUUCUUUGCCCAAUGCAUUGAGAAUUUUUCUGUUCUUCUCUCCCAAGGUGUACUCUUUGCCCAACACCUCGAGAUCUUUGAUCAAGUCAGUGAACCUGCAAAACAUUUUGUCAAUAUCCUCAAGAGGUUCAAUCUUAAAAGAUUCAUACUUUGUGACCAAGAUGGCCUUUCUCUGUUCUCUCACAUUGUCACCACCCUCAUGGAUUUCUCUUAACUUAUCCCACAUUUCUUUGGCUGAUUUACAGCCUUUCACUCUAAUUGAUUCAUUUGAAUCUAAGGCACUAUAAAGAACAUUCAUGGCCUUGGCAUUCAAUGUGAGGUUAGUCCUGUCUUGAGCAUUCAUUUCAGCUCUCAUUUUUGGCCGAAGCAGCCCUGUAUCUGCAUCAAGAAAGUUAGCUUCAUGCGGUCCUUCACUCACAAUAAACCACAGUUCAAUAUCAAUAGAUUGCAAAAAAAUAAUCAUCCGUUCUUUCCAGCUAACAUAGUUGGAGCCACUGAACAUGGGAGGCCUAGUAACAGAUUGCCCCUCAACAAACAUAGCAUGACUGGUUGUCAUCUUUACUCCAAGCCGUUAGAGCUUAAUCUCAAGGAGACCAAGCUCUGAUACCAAUUGUAAGUCCCAAAGACAACAAGAGGGGGGGUGAAUUGGGUUAUUCAAAAUCUUAAUCAGAUUUAGGCAAUUUUUGCUAAAUGAAAAUUUACCUUCUUUUCUAGUAAUGAUCAACCAAGUAGAUUAGAAGACAAGAGCAAUAUUGAUCAGAAACACAAGUAUAGACAAGCAAUGAGAAUUUUAUUAAACAGAAAAGUAAAUUGGGGAAUCAAACCAAGUGUCUACCAAGCUAUCCUCAAACUUGAAGACCACACACUAGGAAGAGCAACUUCUCUUUGAUGGAAGACGAUCAACUAGAUGUACAAUGGAGGGAGCACUUCCUCCUUGCCCUAAGCCUCACUUAGUCAAGCUAAGAAGUUUUACAAUCACUCUGAAAACCCUCAACAAAGCUACACUAAAGAUCCUUUCAAUCACAAAAGAAAUGCUCACCAGAAAUUCACACCACUUUAAAACAAAUCUAGCUUUGGAGACUAUUUUCUAACUAAAAUAUCUCUUGAGAUCUUGUAAACAAAGUGUGCAAAAGUCCUUACUUCGUUCAGACCAGUUUGAUUUUAAAGGGAACCAGAAAUGGGCUUCAUCAAUGCUUCCAACGGAUAGAAGGCAGCUGAAGAGUCAACUAGCCGUUGGGGCUGUCGGACGUCCGACGAUCAAAUCAUCGUCCGAACCAAUCGUCCGAUGGCAUCCAAGUUGACGUUCGGACGUCCGAUGCGUCUUGAUCGUCCGACACCGCAGCGUCCGAUCGUAGGCAGAGAGUUGGCAAGUCAGCUUGGAAUUUUUCGGACGUCCGAUGCGGUUGAUGAGCGUCCGAUGGCAAGCGUCUGAUCCUUCCGGACGUCCGAUGCUUCCUCACGAGCGUCCGACAGAGCUUCUUCUUGAUGCUCUUUAUCCUUUCGGACGUCCGACAGAUUCCUUUCGGCCGUCCGACGUGAGUAUCCUGUUUUUGCUUCUUCUUUUGGUUGAAAUGCAUUUCAUGACCUAUUCAUACCUGAUUCUUUGAUAUGUAAAGACACUUAUAAUCGAAGAAGGUUAGAUACAUUUCAAAAUACCAAGAAUAGCAAAAUUGUCAUACUUAAAGGACAGUAUCUUUGAUUGGAACAAAACAAUGACUAAAUUCAUUCAUUUUAUUCCAAUCUUGUUUGCCACAUCCAAAGCAACGUAGUCAGGAGAUAAACGAACAUAUGCUUUCUUUGUUCCUUCAGACCUGAUCAAAGUGUUCACUUUCUUGGUUAGUAUAAACAUUUCAAAUUACUUUGUGAUCAUCAAAACCAAGAAUAACAGAAUGAAAACUUGUGAAGUACUUAACACUAAAGUUGCAAAAAAAAAAAAAAAAAAAAACCGGUGAACUGGUUGGACUGUUCGGACCGCGAACCUGCCGCCUCUCCGGUUCGCUAGCCGGUCCGAGUUUAAAAACAUUGGCCGACACUGGUUGCCCAUCUUCAACCACCACCAACACUGCUUUUCAAGAUCAAUUCUUGCCCAACACUCAUUUUAUUCGCUUGAGUCAUGAUUAUGGCAUCAUUUUUCAUCAGUUUAAACCCUUUGACGAUACAAAAACAAGGUCACAAUUGAAAUUUUGAUUUGAAAAUUUGAAACUUUCGGGAUUGCCUCCUACUAUGGGCUUGUCUCAUACUCGGGCAUAUGCCUAAACAAAUUCAUCAACCAACACUCACUCUGCCAUUGGGGCACCCAAUCAACCCCUUUAUAACAAUUUUGAAGACACACAAUACUAGGGUUGGACAAAAAUACCCGUUAACUCAAAAAUCCAUCAUAUUCGAUUCGAUUCGAUUCAACAAAUAGGGUAUCCGAUGUGCAUUAUUUGAUUAGGUCAAAAGAGGGUUAGGUAAUUACUUAUAUGCGAUGCAAGGUAGGGUAUUAAGAAUCCAUGGGUAUCCAACGCAUCACACAAAUAUAUUUUUUAUUUUUUAUUUUUAUACACAUACUACAAAAUAAUACUUUUGGGGCUAAAUAAGUAAUUUUAUUGAAGAAGCUAUAUUAUAAAUAUGAAAAUUAUAGUUUGUUUAUAAGAUUCAUUUAUAGAGGUCGUGAUCUUUUUUUCUUUUAGGAAAGAGUUUAAUUAAUGUAGAAUAUAUACUUUUAAAAAGGUACUAUUUAGUUGAAAUUUUCAUUGAUUUUGAAUUAUUUUAAUUAUUUUCUUUUUCUUGUAUUCUCUUCGCAUAUUUGUUUUUUGGUAGGAGACUUUUUUUGAGAAAAAAAUCUUUAUUAAGUCUUAGAUAAAUAUUCAUAAUACAAAAUUAAAUUACUAUAAAUUAUUUUUUUUUAAAAUUAAAUGAUAACCAAGGCGACACAGGUACCUGUUGAGCCAACCCUACCUUAACGAAUACCCGUUCAUAUGUGGGAUGGAUAAGGGUCAAAAAAUAACUGACCUGCAAGGUGCAGGUCUAGUUAGCCAAAUAAUGCAUAGAACAUGUACUACUCAACCCAUACUCACCCCUACCCAAAACAAAUCUUAAUAAUCAUAAAAUAGCAACCAGAACAUGCAAAAUCCAAUUUUCAAAUUUCUCCUCAAGAUUUAGCAUCAAAUUUUACAAAAAUUACACAAAAACAAUCCAAUCAACAAAUAAAUACUCAAGCACUGAAUUGACAUUAUACUGUAUUUGUGCAGCACCGAAUUGACAUUAUCUGACUUGUAUGUAUGGCGAAAUAGAGGAACUAUGGAGAGGAGGGGGAGGAGGGAGAAGGAUGCUGAGAGUAAGGGAGGAGAUGAAUCGGAAAAUUUAGAUAUUUUUUCUUUUUAUUUUUCUAUAUUUUCUUUUAACCGUAUUUGUAGGUAACUUGCACCAAAACAGCCUUAUUCUCUUAGUACUUUUUUGCCUUUUUAUAUAACACAGGUGCAUUAACGCACAACAGAAGCACCCUAUCAAUCUAAGAUCCCAGCCUGCUUGUAGCUUUCG
Molecule: long non-coding RNA, 162983 nt
Filed under: Coffea arabica (coffee)
Lineage: Eukaryota; Viridiplantae; Streptophyta; Magnoliopsida; Gentianales; Rubiaceae
Description: long non-coding RNA (CARA_LNC001745)
Rfam family: Plant small nucleolar RNA R71 (bases 150936-151042)
Source: RNAcentral